Molecule: long non-coding RNA, 95722 nt
Filed under: Brassica napus (rape)
Lineage: Eukaryota; Viridiplantae; Streptophyta; Magnoliopsida; Brassicales; Brassicaceae
Description: long non-coding RNA (BNAP_LNC023606)
Rfam family: U2 spliceosomal RNA (bases 18575-18770)
Source: RNAcentral
AAGUCUUACUCCUGCGGUAUGGAUGAUCAGGUGGUAGAAAUCGUCUGUGACAGUCAAACCAACACGUUUUCCUUCCGUUCUUUAGUUGGAAAGCAUCUGUGUCAUCUUGACAAUAUGGACAUGAUAGCUUCCCAUGUGUUGUCCAUCCAGAUAACAUACCAUAUGCUGGAAAGUCACUUAUUGUCCACAUAAGUACUGCCCGCAUCUGAAAGUUUUCUUUGCGCGAAACAUCGUAUGUCUCAAAACCAUGCGCCCAUAGUUGUUGCAACUCAUAUAUUAGUGGUUGAAGAAACACAUCUAGUGAUCUUUUAGGAUGAUCUGGCCCGGGGACUAGAAUUGAGAGAAACAAAAACUCUCGUCGCAUGCACAAGCUCGGCCGUAAGUUGUACGGUGUCACAAUAACUGGCCAUAGAGAAUACUGCCUUCCAUGCUUUCCAAAUGGGCUGAAACCAUCAGUAGAUAAUCCAAGAUAAACAUUUCUUCUCUCUUCCGCAAAUUCUGGAUAUGUUGACUGGAAAUGUUUCCAAGCCUUUGCAUCUGAAGGAUGUCUAAUCUCACCAUUUGUGGAAUGCUCUGCAUGCCAUCUCAUUGCUUUUGCUGUGCGCUCACACUGAUACAACCUCUUCAAUCUUUCCGUCAAAGGCAAAUACCACAUUCUUUUGAAUGGGAUCGGAACUCUUCCCCUCGUCUCCUGAUAACGAGGUUUCCCACAAAAUUUGCAUACAUUCCGUGUCUCAUCCGCUCUCCAGUAGAUCAUGCAGUUGUCAAUACAUACAUCUAUCACUUCAUACGGUAGUUGAAGACCUGCAACACGUUUCUGAACCUCGUAGUAUGAACCCGGUGCAAGGUUAUCCUCAGGUAGAAUACCUUUGACAAAAUCAGUAAUCGCAUCCAUACAUUCUUCAGCCAAAUUAUAGUCUGUCUUAAUACCCAUUAAUCUAGUUGCAGAUGAUAAGACUGAAUAACCAUCUCUACAAUUUUGAUACAAAGGUUGUUUUCCUGCAUCCAACAUGUCAAAAAAUCUCCUAGACUCGGGGUUUGGUUCUUCCCCUCUAUAAUGAUCAUGUACCAUCUGCUCAGUACCUACACCAUAAUCUAUAUCCGUUCUAGAUUCUUCUAACCUAAUAUCAGGCUGAGGUUCACUAACAGGCUGAGGUUCGCUAGUACUACCAUAUUCAUAACCAGUUUCCCCAUGAAGGUACCAAACUUUAUAAUUACGUGAAAACCCUUUCAUAUACAAAUGAGUCCAAACAUCAAAUUCUUUUAUAACCUUAUUAUUAUUGCAAGAAGAGCAGGGACAUCUUAACAUACCACUUUUUGCAUCCGGUUGCUGUUGAACAAGCCUCAUGAAUUCUCCAAUCCCUUGAACGUAUUCUUCCGUAAGCAAAUUGGUGUUCGGAUCCAAAUGAGGUUUAUCCAUCCACGAACGAUAAUAAACUUCUGAAGACAUGAUUUUCACGGAAUUGUUAUGACUAAAGAGAAUGAAGAGAGAAUGAAGUGUGAAUGAGUUGAAUGAGGAGGGGUUGUAUUUAUAGGAAAUUGCUUACGGACCUCCGACGACUUUCCGAAGAAAUUCCGACGGAUAUAAAGAAGUCCGUCGGAAUUCCGUCGGAAUUGUCCAAUCCCAAACGGCUAUACAACGGUCAUAUGUAUUUGUCGGCAACGGUCACAUGGUUCGUCGGAAUGCCGUCGGAAAAUACCGAUGGAAUUCCGACGACUUUGCUGUUAAUCGGAAUGUCGUCGGAAUUCCGUCGGAAUAUACCGACGAACUUCCGACGACUACAACGGUUACAUUUUUUAUCGGAAUGUCGUCGAAAAGUCGUCGGAAAAUUCCGACGAACCGUAUGUCGUCGGAAUUCCGUCGGAAAUGGCCGACGGAAUUCCGACGACUUCAUUUUUUUGGAUUUGGUCGGAAAUUUGUCAGUAUUCCGUCGCAAAUGUCCGACGACCUUGGUGUCCGUCGGAAGCUCCGUCGGAAUUCGGAGUGUUUUCUUGUGGUGCUCAGUGAGCAACAAAGUUUACAAUCAAAGUAGAAGAUCCCAGAGACAUGCUCGACGUUAAGACGAAAAUAGAAAGCAUUACAAAACAUAGAAAGAUAGAGCUUUUAUGGGGCGAGUCAAGCUCAGCAGUAUGAAAAAAACCAUGGAGAGACUUCAUCUUAUUCCCUAAAGGAUUGUUCCAAAGAACAAUUGAUAGUCGAAAACGACGUUGAUACACCUGUGAGAAACGGCUGGAAUGAUGACCGACAAGAGCUUUUGGUGAGAAGCUCCAUGACCGUGAAGUCCUAUUUGACUUGAUUUGGCAUGGACUAGAAUAAAUGGACUAUGUGAAUCCAGUAAUGAGUAGAUGACUAAAAUCACGACAUUGAAAUUGUAUCGAGGCUUGCCGAGAACUUCUAAAGCAAGGACGAGUAAUGCGUAAAGACAAGAGCUUCUUACUUGCACUUUAUAAGUUCAAUAUCACCUCCAAUAAUAAGAUCUCUCUUUGCCCGUGGACUUAGCGCUAGGGGUGAACCACGUUAAAUAUAUGUGCCAUAGUUACAUCGCUUUUAUUCAUCUGUUUCCGCAUCUAUUCCUUCUCACGUCCUGUACAACACAUCAGAUAAAGAUGAAAAGGCUGAGAAGAAGCGUAAGACCUGAUCAUCGAACUCUGAUGACUAACAAAAAUAUGGUGACCUUUUAUUGAACAUAGUAGAAGACUCGGCCGUGUAGUUCCAAGCGACUUGAUGAAACGUGGAUCGGCGGUGAUUGAUAACCAAAGCUUCGACAAGCAAUAAAACCUCCCAACAGAUUUUGCAGGCAACCGAAAGAGAAUCUCUGAGGUUAGGUCGAUGGGUAACGAAGAAAUUUUUUGUUCCAUCUUAUGUGAAGACUCAAAACCCUAAUUUAUUGAGGUUGGUUGCUGUCGACCUUUUCUUUGCUGUCGACCUUUUUCUUAGCGUUUUAAUUUGAUUUAUUACUAGAUUGUUUUGCUCGGUUUACAUAUAUAUGAAUAUUAAUAAUUUUUUUUGUUAUCAACAAUUUAAUUUUAUAAUAAUUUAUUUUCAGUUUUAUUAAAUUACUAGAUGAUAAUCCGCGCGCUUGCGCGAAGUGAGUUUUUAUAAUAAUGUUUGUUUAUUAAAUGGUUUUAACAUUUUGUAACACUACAAUCUUUAUCGAUUAUAAAAUGACCAAUACAAAUGAUUCAAACUCUUCUUGACCUGCCGAUUCGUUUUCUUCUUUAUUUAGAUUAAAAAACCGAAGGAAUUUUUUUCAUUUGAUGGUAUAAAACCGUCAAAACAAAAAUUCAGGUUAAUCGAAUCAUUUAUUUUCGUUUGGUUGCUGUGGUAGACGUCUCCUUUUAAGAUUUAUUGAUUGUAAUCUUUUUUGGUCUCUUCAAUAUAGCAUCAUUGUUGAAUAGUUAUUACAUCUCAUUUUAAUUAUUUUUAAGACUUCAUACGCACAAAAGGAAAUUAAGUUUUACGGCUGACACAAAUCACUGAAACCAAAUAGGCAACCUCGAUUGUAUAAUGACGAAAGAGGAUUAGGUUUUCUUCUCCCAAUUUGUUUACUAUUGACUCUCCGUAAGUGAUUUCAUUUUCUAACUCUAUAAAAUUGUGCUUUCGUUCUGAUCUUUGUUUCAUAGAUAUGAGUUAAGUUUUUUUUUUAACUUAUUCUAUUAAUUCGGUGAAUUACAUAAGUGUCAAUUUAAAAAAUGGACAUAUGUAAACAUUAGUUUCAUUCCAGAUACAUAUCUAAGAAUCAAAAUUUUGAAAACAAAAUCGCCGGCAAACUGUGUUCAAAUCUAAUAUAUCAAGCUGUUAUAGAAUAUACGUGCAGACUCGAAAGAUAAACGUCUGUCUAGUAUAUAUUCACCAGCUCGAUCUAAAAAUCAUCUAAUUCUAGAACAACAAAAUAAAUUACUUAUUUCACCCGUUCGGGUAAUAUCCGAAUCCGAAUGAAUAUCCGAAGAUAACUAAAUAUAAGUAUAAUUAACCCUAUAUUUCUAGUUUACUUCUCUCAUUUUACUCAAAAUUUUUAUAUUAAUAAUGUUUAUUGCUCAAAAUUAGAUAAUAUACAUAUAAUUAUGGACAAAAUCAUUUACUACUCACUUAAAAUACAUAUCAAGCUCUUGUUUCUUGCAUUAACAAAAGUUGCAUCUAAAAUUUCAAAACAACAAUUAAAUUAAUGUCAUUCUAUUUUUAACGUUUUAUAUCCAAACCUUUUAAUAGUUUAAUCUUUUAAAAUUAGAAAAUCGGUUAAGUUAAAUAUAUUUUAAAUACAAAAACUUAAAAAAUGAAUAAUUUUUUUUUCUUCAAAAUUUAAAUAUCCUAACCCGACCCAAAAUAUCUGAACCCUGACAUAAAACACCCGAACCCGACUCGAAGUGUAGAAAUACCUGAACGUGUUCUAUAUCUUUAUACUGAAAUAUCUGAUACGAACCCGAACGUGUAUCUGAACGCCCACCCCUACGAUAUAUGAUCAUUUGUAUCUUGCUUGAACAAAAAAAAAGUUAAACCAUUGAUCACAAAAUUUCCAAUGUGAGACUUUUACCAUUUUUAGUAAUUUAUAGUCAUUUUUAAAAAUUCAAAAUAUAACAUAUAAGAAAAAAUCUAUUUUUUUUAUUAUAUAUUUAAUGUGAUUGUUUAAUUUCUUUUAAUAGUAUAAAACUAAAUAAAAAAGAGAGAGGUUAGAAAAAUUGUUACCGAAUAUGUAUUAUUCAUAAUCAUUAAUUGUUAUAUAUAUUAACCAUGUUAGGUAAUUCUGUAGCUUUUAUUUAAGAAAAAAAAAUAUUCUUUUGUACACUACUAAUUAAUUUGAUAGUUAGUUUAAUAAAAAACAUAGUAUAUGUUUAUAUGAAUCAACUUAUUUUUCUAACAAUUCUAAGAAUCAUUCUUGUAAUAACACGUGGCUACGAAAAUAUGUGGUAAUGCUCCAUGAUUAAUAUAUAAUCAUAACUCACCCUUUCUGUAAACCGAGCGAGUUGGAAACCGUGUUCUUUACACAAACUCCAGUUACAAAUCCUGCGACAAACAUGAUUAAAAUAGUCUGGUUAUGGAAAAGCUUUGAGCACAUGUGUACAUAUCAAUUCAUCAACAAAAUAAACUCAUUAAAUACGAACAGCAAAAACUUCAUUGCACAAAUGUGUAAAGGGAAAAAAGGAGAGUGUACUCACCUCAUGAACCAAACAAUCUCCACAUAAUUGUCUUUGGUCCUUGUCACACUCGACAGCUUUGAGCACAUGUUCCCAACCAUUAUUUAACCAUUCAUUUCAUAAAAAUUGUCCAUGUAUGUAUCUUGUUCCACAACCACCCCUGAAUCACGCAACCACCUAGUUUGGCUGUAGCUUCACCAGAAGCAUCUGGAGGCACAAAGCUUGGUUUGGGAUGACACCACCCGCACAAUCAUCAACUUCAUUGGCACAAUCCAUGACACGUUCUUAAUUCGGCUUGCUUGGCAGCUGGUUAUCUAUGGAAACCUGGCGAGUACGGAAUCACAGUCUUCAUCUCGGUUCCUUUAAAGCUCCUGAUUAUCUCCUCUCCCUCUAUCUCUAAUAAGUAGGACAAUCACAAACAUAAUUUCAUCUUUCAGACCGGGGAAUCCUGAAGGCUCGAGCAAAGAAAUGCACCGAUCCAUCCGUCUUCUGAGUUACUAUCAUUACAUGAGCCUCAUCAUUACUUGGGCCUUCGUGUUCGUUUCUAACUUCAUAAUGGGCUUUCUGGUCCAUUUUGUCGAUCACUAGUGUGUUUGCCUUUUUCGUAACAUCUUGCCACUCGGGCUAAACUCUUAGUUGAAGCUGAGUUGACUAAACAAAAUAAAUAUCCAUCGAAUUAUACACGUGGCAAACACAUCUUCUCUAUCGAACCGGUAAAAUGCGAUCUCUGAGAUCAAUCUGAUCUGUUAAACCGAACCAAACAAAUAAAAUCGAAUCACCGACGACGAGAAAAGGAAAGAGACGCGACGACUGAGUGAGUGAGCGGCGUCCCGAUGAGAACUCCGGCGCUCCUCCUUCUCCUAGCCUUCGUAUCCAUCAUUCCUCCGUCAAGCGGUCAUGGCGAAUGGGGUAUCCUCACGGAGCAAAACUUCUCAUCUCAGAUCCGCCUCCACCCUCACAUCCUCCUCUUCGUCACCGCUCCAUGUACCUUUCCCUCCCUCUCUCUAUUUCUCCCGUACCUUUGCUUAGUUUCCGUAGAAAUGUACUUCCGAUGACUCUGCUCGAACAAAUAUCUCGAAGCUUCUUGCUCAAAUCAUUGAUUCCCACUGAUUGAAAACUAUGAAGCGUGACGCAUACGAAGAUGUGGUUAUCAUUUGGCUCUAAACUGAUUAGCUUCUUGCUCAAAUCAUUGAUUCCCACUGAUUGAAAACUAUGAAGCGUGACGCAUACGAAGAUGUGGUUAUCAUUUGGCUCUAAACUGAUUUAAAAAUAUAUUUGUUGAUCAUUUAGCUUCAAUCCUUAAUUGGAAGCCCCAUUAAUCUCCGGACCUCCACGUGGAAUUGCUUUCAUUGUCUCGUUUGUUUUCUGAUUGGUUUCAUUGCUGAUCUUGUAGGGUGUGGCGAGUCAAGGUCCCUUAAGAAUGAAAUAACUCAGCUGGUUCAGAGUGAUUCAGAGUAUGACUCGUUGAAGUUGAUGGUUGUGUACAGAAACUCAGAGAAGGUAUUAGCACAAGCCAUUGGUGCUGCCAACGAGAUUACGAUUCUGUACUAUCACCAUGCUGUGCCUUACCACUAUCGUGGGAAACUCCGAGCCUCAAAUAUACUGUCGUCUCUUCAUCCUUAUCUGACUUCUCCUCCCCAAGAACUCCCUCUCAGACAUUUGAAGUCUCCAGAGAGUUUGAAGGCUUUUCUUGAAUCAUCUGACAAGACUUUGAUUCUGUUCGAAUUUUGCGGAUGGACUAGUACACUUCUCUCUGAGUUGAAGAGGAAUGUCACUGAAGAUAACCUUUGGCAUGGUGAGUUAGUUGACUCUGGAUUUUUUAUGUUGACUAUAUGAUUUGAUUUCCAAAGAGUUUUUCCUGAACUCCUGAUACAUUUAGUUUAGUACUUUGUUAAGGUGAGUGAACUCUGGCGAGUAUUAGUUCGUUAGAGUGAAGAGUAGAAAAUUUUCCAUCUAACAUCUCUAAGCAAAAUGUCAUUUGUUUUUUUAGGCUAUUAAUCUUACCGUGAGAUUAGUCUAUUCUGGUAUAAUCCAUCAAAUGAUUUUACUUUGCUGUCACUAGAUUACUUUCUCCCAGUAGUGCAUCGGUCCUCUCCUGAUAUUUAUUUGGUUACCCUCUUUAAUCUUCAAAAAUCAGGAUACUAUAUGAUAGCAGUAAUGGCAUAUGAUCUUUAGUAAUUUUUAUCAAAAGCUGGGAUGUUUGGCUGAUUCCAACUUUGCAGGAAACUUCUCCAAAACAGUUGAAACUGACCGAGUGCUGAAGUUAAGAGGAAAAAAUAACCAGAAGGUGGCUGGUAGAUUCUCACUUUUAUGUCUAGACCUUGUUGAUGUUGAUACGUUUACUGUUUGUGUAUUGCCUCCAUAAUGUGCCAUUUUCUUCGUGCCCUAGUAGCAGACCAUGCAAAAUGGAAAUUGAUGUGUAGACUCCAAAGCGGAUUUGGUAGAGUUCCUUGGCUUGAGGAUUUUAGCUAUGUCAAUGAUACUGCUGCUUUGCAGGAGAAUGACAGAGCAAACGGGGGUUCUGGACAGACAUGUAACCAUGAACAGUUCAAGCAAUUCAGUUCAUUCCUCUCGAAAUUGAUUGCCGCCGCAAAAGAGUUUUCCCUGCCUCCUGAAAGGCAAAAAUUUGGUCUGAUCACAGAAAAAUCGCUGGCUUCACCAUUUACUGUUGGAGCAUCUGAUUCGUGGGCAGCAGUCCUUCAGCUGGCAGGAUGUCCACAUUGUUCAAAGAUUCUCAAGGCCGGAGAUGACAUUCAGAGACUCUUAAAGAUGGAAAAUCCCAUAGUCUCAGAGGUAUGAUUCUUGUUUAUGUCCAUAUGUUUUAGUUAAUUUUGCAUAUUCAGAUAUCUUUAUUCUACUUGUUGGGGAGAACUACCUGGAGCAAAAUGAGUGUGUAACUUGCUAAGUGGGAUCGUGUGCUUUGCUUGCUGUAUUUAUUGAUAGAAACCACCCGUAACUUAAACUACUUGAAAUCUAACAAUAUAAAGGACAAAGUUGGGUUUUUCAUUUCAGAAGAGAUGUUGCAAGAAAAAUAGAAAAUCAUGAAGUGACAUAUAUAAUUCGAGAUUUCUCUUCCAUAUAUAAAUCUAAAUCUGGUUUUGGGUUUUACUUUGUAUAAAGUUUCUGUUUGUUAUUUUUUCUGUCAUGGUGUUGUGUGAUUAGAACUGGGUUUUAUAUGGAUCUCCCUACUGUCAGUAUAUCUAUAACAGAAGAGAAGAGGGGAGUUUUUCAUGAAUGCAAGAUCUCUAUUUUGUUUGAGUCGAUACAAUUUGAAAUUGUAGUUGCAUUUCUGCUCGUUUCAUUGAUUUAUUAAUUACUAUAUUUCCAGUCCAUUUAUUACUAAGAUUAAUAAUUCUGACCAUUUAAUACUGUCCAUUGUGCAUUACUUACAUCAAUCUUGUUUUCUCAUGUAGCUGGAGGAUAACAGGCAGGACCACGAGUCAUCUUUGCCUGCAAAUAAACCGUCGGUUAUUCUUUUUGUGGAUAGAUCAAGUGGCUCCUUCGAAACUAGAAGGACGAGUAUGAAAGCACUUUGUACUUUCAGGGAGGUGGCUGCACAACAUAAAGCGUCUGACAUAAUAAACUGGGGGAAUGAUAUUGAGUCUGAGAACUCCGUUAGCCAGGCUGAUGAAGAAUCGGGAUCCGUGUCUCUUCAGAAAACUGCCCGAAGUUUUAAGACGAUCAAGUUAGAGAAUAAGGUCUCUUUUGUGAUUAUGGAUGGGGAUAAACAUGUGGCCCUUGAUACUAUAGCUUCAGGAAUGGAAGGCAGUUCCCUGCAGGAGCUACUGACAAACCUUGUUCACAGAAGAAAAGAAAAAAAGUUAAGCUCGAUUGCUAAGGAUGUUGGUUUCCGUCUAUUAUCUGAUGAUGUGCACAUAAAAAUACUGGAUGCUUUACCAUCACAAGCAGAAGUUAGACCUGGUAAAGACACGUCUUCAGCAGAAGGUUCCAGUGAAAGUUCUCUUGAGCCUAGAGAAGGAGAUGUGCAGAACAAGGUCGGUAUGAGUUCGAAAGAAAAGGACAAAAUGAAACCUCCUGAAAGUGAAUCAUCCUCCCAAGAUGAUAAAGAGCAGGUUUCUACAAACCGAAGUGAACAAUUAGUAAUGGCGGAGACCGAUAAGGCUGGGGUUUAUAAAACAAAAAAUGUUGAAGAAGAGAUCAAGGUAUUGUUGAACUCGGAAUCGAAGGAAGAUCUAGUUGAUAGUUUCACGGGUUCAUUUUUUUUCUCUGACGCAAACUAUGCGCUGCUUAGAGGUCUAACUGGUGAUGUAAAGAUUCCAUCAGCAGUAAUAAUUGAUCCUGCUUUACAACAGCACUACGUCCUUCAAGAUGAGUUAGCAUUCAGCUAUUCGUCGCUGGUCGACUUUCUUCAUGGAUAUCUCAAUGGAAGUCUAUCACCUUAUACACGGUCUGAAACCACUAUUCACAAGCCUAAGGAAGCUACAGUUCCACCUUUUGUCAAUCUGGAUUUUCACGAGGCGGAUUCUAUUCCGCGUAUCACAGUCAAUACGUUCUCCCAUAUGGUUCAGGCAUGGAAUCAAUCCAGUGGAGAGAAGACUCCCUGCCCUUUGUGCAAGGACGUUUUGGUCCUUUUUAGCAAUAGCUGGUGUGGCUUUUGUCAGAGGAUGGAGCUAGCUGUGCGUGAAGUAUACCGAUCACUAAAGGAUUGUAAAGCGAUUUUACUGAGAGAAUCCAAGAACAAACAUAAAUCAGGUAAUUGAGUCUUUAUAAUUAUGUGACUUAGAAUGACUAAUAAUUACGGAAAGUGAAAUGGACAUGUAUUCCAAUUUUCUUCAUGGUCUUCUUCUGUUCUGAAGCAGAGACACCAACUAAUGGUGAGAAUCUAAAGUCUCCAUUGAUCUACUUAAUGGACUGCACGUUGAAUGAUUGUAGCUUGAUCCUAAACUCAAUAAAUCAGGUACUUUUCAUGAUAGCUUGUCUGAUUCUAGUCUGGUUUGUUCUAUUGAUUAUAGUAUUUGCAUAUCACAAUGCAAAAAUUUAUUCCUCUCAAAACACCUCUAAAUAUUGAGAGUUUAUUUAUGCACCUUCACCUAGUCUCAUUUCAGUAUUCACUCGCUCUAUGAAUAUGUAACGUUGCAGAGAGAAGUGUAUCCUUCUGUGGUGUUCUUUCCAGCCGAGAGAAACAAAGUCAUUUUAUAUGAAGGGGAGACGUCUGUAACUGACAUAACAGAGUUUCUGGCUCGACAUGCAAAUAACUCUCGUGAGUUUUUCAGUAAGUCAACAUCAUCAUCCUUGUUUAUUCACUUUUUACACGUGUGCCAAAAUAUUACAAUAUCUGAAGGCACAACAUGACGUCACUCACUGAAUUUGCAGAGAAAAAUAAUAAUAUAAAAGGAACAUAGUUCUGCAGGAUCUUAAUAUGCAUUACAACUAGUGACCCUGUUUUUUCGUAGAAGCAUGUUUUCUUUCAGAAAAAUAUACUGCAUUUGGUUAAUACUGUUGUCAAAAGCUAGAGCCUAAACAAAGUAAGUUAUGAAUCUCUGGCAGGAAUCAUUCCUACUCUGUCUGGAAAAGGAAGAAAAAACUCAAACAAGCUCGACCAAUCUUCAUCAGCUGUAAACAAUGAAGUGAAAGAGAAAGACGUGGAUAAACUUGUUGAGGUCGUUGUAAGUAACAGAGAUCCUCCUGAAAGAGAGGUAACGCAGGAUCAGGUCAGUCCCCAAUCGCCUCCAAUGCACUCGGUCAUACCUGCUGUUCCUAAAGUGAAAAUUGGCACAAUCCUGGUUGCUACAGAAAGGCUAGGUGAGAGUCCACCGUUUGCAAACUCAAAGAUUCUGAUCCUAAAAGCAGGCCGAGAAUCCGGUUUCAUGGGUGUUAUCUUCAACAAACGGUUACGAUGGUCAUCGUUCCCUGACCUGGACGGCGGCCAAACAGCUGAGCUCUUGAAAGACACGAUUCUGUCUCUCGGAGGUCCAGUGAUGGAUCCAGAAAAGCCGCUUUUGGCUCUGAGUCGAGAGGGAGACCCCUCCACGGAUCUUGAACUCUCACCAGGCGUGUAUUUCCUUGAUCACGAGUCGGUGGCCCGUCGAAUCCAAGAGUUGAAGUCUAGAGAUGUGAAACCAAGUGGUUAUUGGUUUUUCGUGGGGUACUCAAGCUGGAGCUAUGAACAGUUGUUUGAUGAGAUUGGUCUUGGAGUAUGGGAUGUUGAUAACAGCCAGCUUGACUUCGCUUGGCCUUGAAGCAAGCUGUUAGCAUCUAUGUUUCUUGUAUCUGACCUCACGCGAUAUAGUAAUGUUUUCUUUUAGAAGGAAGAAUCUUAAAAAUCGUAGAUGGUGAAGAACCCGUGAUGUGGGUAGAAAGAUAUGUUGGUCAACUAUAACACUUUUUUUUGGGUUAACUGUAACACUUUAAAAUGUUUUCUUUACAACAGAUGAAAUACAUAGCUUCCUCUUGCGUUUGUUACAUAGCUUCCUCUUGCGUUGUUAUUGAAUUAAGAGACAGCAACAGUCCAAUGAUAGCAUAUUCCAAAACGGUCGUUGACUCGAAUAUAAUUAAUUUACAAUGCAAAUAUCCAUCAUUAGUUGUACAAAGCAACUGAAGACUUGUAUUCAGAGACUUGCAGCAAUAACAAACAGUGAAAAAUAGUAGCUGCUUCUACCUUUCAUUAGGUUCGGAAACAGCCCAAGGUUCAUCUCUAGCUUUUAGUUGAUACCAAGAGUAGUAUAUUGUCAAGUCAAAGACAUAUUGUUAUAAGCUUACCACACAAGUAUUGACCACUUACUUUCGAACAAUUGAGUUUCGGACUAUAACAAGGGUUAAACCAAUGCACGUUACACUAGUGAGUUGUAUGUUCCUUGGAGUGAACACUUCUGUAACAUGCUCUUAUCUAAGAUAAUCAAAUCUCUUUCCAAACAGUUCAUUGUAGGUUAAUAUUCAUAUGACAAACUUUUCUAGCUUUCAGCUCCUCUAUAAUCAAAAGAAACAACUCAAAGUUAAAUAUCAUAUGGAUAAAAAUGAUUUUGAAAUAUAUCAGAGAGGAAAUACAUGUGUACAUAACUGAUAAGCAUAUUUGAAAGAAAAUAUACAUACAGUAUUUUUUUUGAGAGAAGAAAUUAUACAUAUUCUAAAACUAAAGUAGGUUAUAUAUAUUAUAUAUGCUUAUUAGUUAUAGUAAUAUUCCACUAAAUGAUAAUCCACGCAUGCGCAGAGUGAGUUUUUAAUACUAAUGUUUGUUCAUUAAAUGAUUUUAACAUUUUAAACACUAUAAUCUUUAUCGAUUGUAAAAUGACAAAUACAAAUGUUGGUCUCUUGAAUGCAUCAUCGUUGUUGAAGAGUUAAUGUAUUACAGCUCAUUUUAAGACUUCAUAUGCACAAAAAAAAAUUAUUUUUUUGCGGCUGACAUAAAUCACAAAAACCAUAUAGGCAACAUCGAUUGUAAAAUGACGAAAGGAGAUUAGGUUUUAUGCUCUCGAUUUGUUUACGAUUGACUCUCCAUAAGUGAUUUCAUUUUCUACUUCUAUAAAAUUGUGUUUUCGUUCUCGUUUAUGUUUUACUGAUAUGCGUUUUGUUUCUUUUUUAACUUCUUCUAUGAAUUCUGCGAAUUGCAUAAGUGUCAAUUUAAAACAUACAUAUCUAAGAAUCAAAAUUUUGAAGAAAACCACCGGAAAACUCUAUUCACAGGUUAGUGUUCAAAUCUAAUAUAUCAAGUUGUUCAAAAAUAUAAGUGCAUACUCGAAAUAUAAAUGUAUGUCUAGUAUAUAUUCACCAGUUUGGUCUAAAAAUCAUCUAAUUCUAAAACAACAAAACAAAUUACUUAUUUUAUUAAUCUACGCUUUUGAGGUUACUUAAGAGUGUACCGAUAAAAGUAUAUAUAAUACUUUACCAUUCUAGUAUAUGUAAACUAUGUUUGAUUUACUAAAUGAUAAACCAGACAACUUAUAAUAAAUAGUUAAAAUAUCUCAUCCUUACAAUUAUAAUAGCUAGAUAGUGUAUUAGUGAGAAACAAAUAUUAGACGAAUGAUCGAAUCUCUCAUUCUUCGAACAAACUCAAAAUGAGGUGAUUAAAAUCUUGUCAUGAUAUUUCAUUAAAAGCUUUUUAGGAAUACAAAUCAAGAUUAAAAUAUUUAAUCUGAAUGAAAUAAUAUAUAUAGUGCUUCCAAAAAUCACUUUGAUUUGAAGAAGUGUAUUUCUGGGAUUAUCAUAAUCAAAUAUCAUAUUAGAAACCACCUAUUUAUAAAAUAAUUUGUAUACAUAAAAAUAUAUACAUUAGAGUAAGCACAUAAAUCAAAACCAAUAAUUUUUAUUUAUUUACAAUCAUGGUUUUGGUAAAUAAAUCAAAACAAUAAUUGUAUUUAUUUUAUUUGGUAUAUAAUUAAACUUUAGUGAUAUUGGCAUAUAUAUAGUAUAUUUUAAUAUAAAGAUUUACUAUUGACACUUCCUACUCAUAUGAUUUUAUUAAAUAUUUUAUAUUUACUGUAAUAAAAACUUAAGUCAUUAAUCACAAAACUUUUAAAGUGAGAUUUAUUAAUAAAAAUUUCAAAAUAUUAAGAUCUCAAUAAUUGAUCAAUGCAAAUUUUGAAAUUAACAUAUUUAUAUAUUUUAUAUAGUAUAUAAUUGAUUUUUAAUAAUAUAUAUAAUAUGAAUAUCUAUUAAUGAGAUUUCAUAUUCAUAUGAUUUAUGUUCAUUUGUAUCUUUGCUUGAACAAACAAAAGUUAAAUCAUUGAUCAUAAAAUUUUCAAUGUGGGGUUUUUACAUUUUUAGUAAUUUAUAGUCGUUUUAUAAAAUUCAAAAUAUAACAUAUAAGAAAAAAUAUAAUAUUUAUUAUAUGUUUAAUGUGAUUGUUUAAUUUAUUUUAAUAAUAUAAAAUUAAACAAAAAAAGAGAGGAUACAAAAGUUAUUAUCAAAUAUGCAUUAUUCAUAGUCAUUAGUUAUCAUAUAUAUGUUAGUCAUAUUAGAUAAUCCUGUAACUUUUAUUCAAGGAAAGAAUUGAGAUUAUUAUUCUGUAUACUACUAAUCAGUUUGAUAGUUAGUUUAAUAAAAAAUAUAAUAUAUAUUUGUAUGGACAACUUUAUUUUUCUAAGAAUUCUAAAAAUCAUAUUAUUGAUGACACGUGGCUACGAAAACAUGUUGUAAUGCUCUAUGAUUAAUAUAUAUGAGAUGUACAGUAAAACCUCUAUAAAUUAAUACUCGAUAAAUUAAUAAUAUCUAUAAAUUAAUAAAUUUUGUCAGUCCCAACUUGGGUCGGUUCAAACUUUAACACAAAUCAAUAAAAUAAUAAGAUAAUAUUUUUUUUAGAAAAUUCUAUGUAAAUAUAUGCCUCAUUAAAAUUAUAAAUUAAUAUAAAAUAUAUGGUCUCAUUAAAAUUAUAAAUUAAUAAUUUAUAUGUGUACAUAUUUUAUAUAAGUAAGAAACUAUUAUUAUAUCAUUUUUUAUAUCCACAUUGGAAUUAUCUUUAUAUUUUCUUAAUACUUAAUAUAUUUUUUGAUGAGAUUUAGUAAUAUUAUAUCUAAAACCACAUUUAAGUUCUAGGCAAUAUAUAUUAUAUACACCAAAUAAUAUAAUAAAAUUAAUAGAAAUGUCAAAUCUCAAAAAGUAACAAUUAAUGUCUAUGCACUAAAAUCAAAUUUUUUCUUAUCUUAGAAUAAAUAUAUCUUAAAAUAAAAAAUUUAAAUAAGGAAAAUUUCGUAAAUUAAUAUCUCUAUAAAUUAAUAAAAUUUUAAAGUACCAGCAUUAUUAAUUUACUAGGUGUUUUGCCCGCAUAUGCGGGCAUAAUCAUCUUACGAAUACUUAUUAUUUUUGUCUUAUUAAUCCAAAAAUCGGCAUUAUAAAACUCUAAUUGAUGAACAUGUUGAAGAAAAAAAAAUUAUGGUAAAUUCUUUGUUCCUCAAAAUUUAUACUAGUUAUGUUGAAAUUUUAGUCAAAUUAUUGAAAGGUAGAUCCCACUUUUUUCUUCUAAAUUCCCAUGGAGGAAUGAAUUUAUAAGAAAAAAAUUUCCUAUGCAAUUUUGAUAAGGAACAAAUUCAACAAAAAUUCAUAUUUUUUUAUUUUUUUCAGUUUCUCAAAUAAAAUUUUAUCUUUUAUUUUGUUCAUUUUUUUCAUUCUUCCAGUGGUCACCAACUCAAGCUAUAGUGUUUCACGGAUUAAACUUAAAUUGGUUUAAAGUAAAAGCAAGAAAAUUUGUUUUAAACUCAGUCACAACUUAAGUUAUUAUUUAUGAUUUUAAAUAGUUAAAUCAGACAUCAAAUUAUUUAUAUAUGUCAAAAAAACGUUCAUCAAACUAUGUACUUAUUAUUGUGUUAAAAAAUUUAAAACACUCAUAUAUUAGAAAUAGUUUAGAAAAUAUCUUUAUAUAAAUAUUUUUGUUUGACUAAUAUUUAAUUAUAAACUGUUUUAUAUCUUAGUUUUUUAACUUUAUAAUAAAAAAUAUUGUUUUUAGAUGGCAACACAAUAUAUAUAAGAAUUCUCUUAAUUUUUAAAUAUAUUUUCACAAUUUUAUUAUAUUAGUUUAUAAUUAAUUAUUUAAUAUAAGAUAUAAAUUAAAUAUUAUUAAAAUAAAAUGCGUGUUUUAUUAUAUAUAAAAUUUAUCACGGGUUUUGUUAAAAUUAAUAAAUACUCAGUUAAAAACUAAUAAUAAAUCAAUGACCUAUAUAAAAGCUUUAAACCUAAUAAAAUAUGACAAAUAAGAAAAUAAGAAUUUUAAUAUAACAUAUUGAUUUAAAUAUUAUUGAAUCAAAAUUCAUUUUUAAUUAUAUAUAAAAUUCAUUACAGAUAUUUGUUUUUAAAUUAAUAAAUUAGUGAUUCAGCUAAAAAUUAUUAAUAAAUCAAUGAAAAAGCUAAAACCUAAUAAAAACAUGACAAAUAAGAAAAAUUGACUAAAAUCAUGGAAAACAUGACAAAUAAGCAAAAUCAAAAUAAUUAUAUAUCUAAUUACAUAUUUUAUAGUUAUAUUAUUUAAAUUAAUAAAUUAUGGAUUCAACUAAAAACUAUUAAUAAAUUAAUGACUCAGCUUAAACCUAAUUAAAACAUGAUAAAUAAGCAAAAUUACCUAAAAUCAUAGAAAUCGUGACAAAUAAGCUAAAUCACUUCAUCAUAAAUAAUAGUAUAGAUAGAGGUUCUAGUUGUACUAUUAUUUUUGCUUGGUGUUUGGUGUUUCUAACCACGAUGAUGAUGAAGUUGGGUUCAAUUUUCUGUUCGUUUCUCUUCUUUUUCUUUGUUUACUUUUAUUUUCUAAGAAACACAGAGUUCAAAAAACCUAAGAAUAAAAAGCGAAACAUAGGGUAUAUUCCGGAUGAUUUGGUAGUGAACAUACUCUCAAAGGUUCCAUUGGCAUCUCUAGCAAGAUUUCGAUCGGUAUCCAAAGGAUGGAAUGCUCUGAUCAAAGGUGUGAUCAGAUUCGAGAAAUCGUCUCAGAUCAUGUUGAUUGAUUCUAGGGUUUAUUUAGUAAGCAUUGAUUUCCUUGGGGCUCAAGACAACAUUGUAAACAUAAAAAGUCAGUUUAGCCUCAAAGAACCCCUUUCUAACUCUUCCAAAGAAGUCGAUAUACGUGAGGUUUUUCACUGCGAAGGCUUGUUGUUAUGUACCACUGAAGACGAUAGACUAGUGGUUUGGAAUCCAUGCUUAGGUGAAACCCGUUGGAUCAAACCAAGAAGUUCCAAUAAUUUGACACGGUCGACACGUGAUAUCUACGCUCUCGGUAAAUCCUCAUGCAACAAGUACAAAAUCUUGAGGAUUGCUCUAUAUGCACAUGGACGUGCACAUAUGACGCCACACCUAUACGAAAUCUAUGACUUCACUUCUAACUCGUGGAGGGUUGUUGACCAGACUAGAGACUGGUUCAUGCCAAGGUUAGGGCGUAGCGGCACGUAUGUGGAUGGAAAUACGUACUGGCUUGCUUUUAGUUAUACUAAUGAACAGCCUUGGACGGAUAUCUUACUGAGAUUCGAUUUUUCAAAAGAGAGAUUCACAAGUAUGUAUAUUCCUUCUUCUGGCAGAAAUUUUGCUUUGUCUGUGACUAGAGAAGCGCAAAAGCUUUGUAUGUUAGCUUCUCGUGCCGACCAUAUAGAUGUAUGGAUAGCAACCAAGAUUGAUAGUACCGGCUCCAUGUCAUGGAGCAAGUUCCUAACAUUGAAACGAGUCUAUAACGAAGUUUAUGACUGGGAUGAAUUUCCUGGCAGACGAGGAGAAUAAAGUUAUAGUGUGCCCCGGUGAAUCUAUGGUAUCUGACAGGUUCUUACACAUUGUGGGAGAGGAUAAAUACAUACAGGUGGACCAUCAUGAGGCAGGUUCUAGAUGCUCACUUCUCCCUAGCUAUGUUCUCCUUCAAAUGCAACAAGGUUCUUUGGGGUAGGUGCAAGGAAAGCACCAAUCACAUGUCUUGUAAUUGUAAAACUAGGUUUACUUAUGCAUUAUCUAUCCAACUUCAUGAUAUUUUAUAAAAAAUGAAAGUACUUUUUGCUACUUUUAUAUGUUGGAAUUUUUUUUAUUUGAGUUAAUUAGUAUAUCUUCCUUACAUAAAGAAUACAGUAAGUCAGGAUAAUGAGAGUAGGUAAAAUCAUACAAAAGUAAAUAACAAGAUCAUUCAUCUCUCUUCUUCCCAGUCUUGUACUCCAAAUGUUGAUCCUUCCUAUAAUCAAAAGAAAUAAUUCAAAGGGUUAAAAGCCAUGAAUAUCUGGACCUGCUUCGUAACUUAUCUCUAUUAGCUAAGCAUGUUACAGUUAUAUAUGUCACUUGCUAUAAUGUAAUAUGCCAAGUUCAGAACAUGUUGAGAAAAAAAGUAUAUCAAGUCUGUUCAUCACUCCAUAAUAAAAGGGACAAUGUUAACAGGAUAAACACGAAUCAUCAUCUAAUAAGCAUGUAUGAAACCAUACAAAGCGCAUAAGAGAGCGCAAAUAAAAUCAAUUUCAAAUGCAAUAUAAAGAUCAAUCAUUAGUACAUACAAUUCUUUAGAGACUUGCAGCAACAGUAGCAUAAGAUGAAAACAGUAGAUGCUUCUGCCUUUUAGUUGAUACUAGCAAGAGUAGUAUAUUAAAUGAAGUGAAAGGCACACAGUAUUGUUAUAAGCUCACCACACAAGCAUUGAACAGUCUCUGUGGGAUCGCAUUGGAUAAAGUAAGUGGCUUUCAUGCGCUUCACACGGAGCAAACAAGAUCAAACGCAGACUAAUCAGUCUUGCAACCAAGGCCAAACCUCUCACAUUUCCCAGUUAAAUAACACAUAACGACCGAACAAAGAUGACUGCGCUAAAGUUGGCUUUUUCUUCUCACACUCUAGCUGAACAUUGAACUAAAGGCAAGAACCAAAGACUUGUUCGGCUUCAGGUUUAGGACUAUCGUCGGUUAAGCUUUAUUUAAACCGGCUGAAAGAGAGAGAGUGUUUUCAUUUGUCUUGUAUUACUCUUUUAAAAGUCCCACAUCGCUAACAAUACAAGAGUGGAAGGCAUGAGGAGUAGUAUAAAAGAAGAGGCCAUGAAACUGAGCAAUUCAUACCUUUCUCGGCCUUUUGGCUAAGAUCAAGUGUAGUAUCUGUUCUUAUCAGUUUAAUAUCUGAUAUGUGGUCUAUCGGGUCACACGAUAUUAACUCUAUUUUUUAAGGGAAGAUGCCCAUCAAGAUAGCUUGCUAUCUGGGUCUCUAUGAGUCGUCCAUGCGUUGCACUAUUGCAUGGGCUUGGCUUAUCCCGCCAAAUAUUCACUUAAGUAUUUUUUCCCCCAAACUAAUUGGGCCUAUUAACUCAAAAUUCACCCCAAAACUAUUAAGUAACGAUUUUAAAGGCCUGACAAUCAAAAAACUAAUCAUCCUACCAAUUACAACCCGAUUACCCUAAAACAAAAAAAAAACAAAGAACGAACUCUAACAUCGAAAUCAACGAAAUCGUUGAAACUGAAAAGAGAUUUUUGAGGGUUUUGGCUUGAUCACAUCCGAUAAUCAAUGUCUGUUGCGUUGUUUCAUGGAGUUCCUUCUCUUGUGGACGAAUCCGGCGAUGAAGAAGCUAUGGAGCCAAACGCGUUUCGAAUCUGAUCAGAAGAGUAUCUUCCGGAGGAUUUGCUAGUGAACAUACUCUCAAAGGUUCCACUGGCAUCACUAGCAAGAUUCCGAUCAGUAUCCAAAAGAUGGAAAGCUCUGAUCAAUUAUUUGAGAUUCAAGAAGUCGUCGAUUGAUUCUAGGGUUUAUCUAGUGAGCAUUAAUUUACUUGGAGCUCAAGACAACGUUGUAAACAUAACAAGUCAGUUUAGCCUCAAAGAUCCUCUUUCUAGUUCUUCCAAAGAAGUCAGUAUUCGUGAGGUUUUUCACUGCCAAGGCUUGUUGUUAUGCACCACCGAAGACAAUAGACUAGUGCUUUGGAACCCAUGCUUAGAUGAAACCACUUGGAUCAAACCAAGAAGUUGCUCUGCAUGGACCUAGACCUGCUUUUGAAUUUAUGAAGCCGCGCUUAUAUGAAAUUUAUGACUUUACCUCUAACUCAUGGAGGGUUGUACAUGAUGAAACUAAAGACUGGUCCAUUCUAGGGUUAGCGCGUCGCGGCACGUGCGUGGAUGGAAAUGCUUACUGGCUUUCUUUUAGCUCAAGUCAACAGCUGUGGAUGGAUAUCUUACUAAGUUUCGACUUUUCAACGGAGAGAUUCACAAGUAUGCAUGCAUAUUCCUUCUUCUGGCAGAAUGUUUGCUUUGUCUAUGACAAGAGAAGAGCAAAAACUUUGUAUGUUAGCUUCUGUUGCCGCCGACGAUGUAGAUGUAUGGAUGGCGAACAAGAUUGAUAGUACUGGAGCCAUGUCAUGGAGCAAGUUCAUAACAGUGAAACGAGUCUAUAACAACAACCAAUGGAUGUUCUUAACUGGGAUGAAUUACUUGGUGGACGAGGAGAAUAAAGUAAUAGUGUGUCCCGGUAAAUCUUUGGACUCUGGCAGAUUCUUACACAUUGUGGGAGAGGAUAAGUGCAUACAAGUGGACAAGCAUGAUGCAGGAUCUAGAUGCUCACUUCUCCUCAGCUAUGCUCCAAACUCUGGUCUCUGCUUCAGAUAUUUUAUAAAAUCAAUGUUGGUUUUGCUACUUUUAUUAUAUGUUUAAUUUUUCUUAUUAGUUUAGCAUCUCUUCCUUUAACAUAACCAAAAGAAACAGAUAGUGUUUUUUGGUUUAGGUAAGCCUAAAAAGAAUACAGUGAAAUCGUGAUAAAAAGAGUAGGUAAGUUCAGAAAAAAGUAAAGGUGACCACAUCCUUACACCAGAGAGAUUUUUGAGGACCUUCAUUGUGUGAACACACUGGUCAUCGGAUCUGAUGACUGACUGAAAAACUGCUCUCCUUGGCUUGAUCCUUCCGCUUGCACAAUCACUAGUCAUGAUUCAUGAAUAUCGGGACCUGCUUCGUCACUCAUGUCAAUUAGCUAAAGCAUAUUUCUGUUAUAUAUGUCACUUGCUAAUAAUGUAGUGUGCCAAGUUCAGAACAUGUUGAGAAAAAAAAAGUAUAUCAAUUAUGUUCAUCACUCCAUGAAAAUAAAGAGGGCAUUGUGAACAAAAUAAAAACGAAUCAUCAUCUCGUAAGAAUGUAUGAAACAACACAUAGCGCAAGGAAAAUGGAUUACAGUGAAACAUAAAAAUCAAUCAUGAGUGUAUACAAUGCUUUUAAGACUUAUCUUCAGAGACUUGCAGCAACAGUAGCAUAAGAUGAAAACAGUAGAUCAUGCUUCCGCAUUUUUAUUCCCCAAAGCUCAUUUAUAAUAACUUUAUAGUUGACACCAGCAAGAGUAGUAAAUUAAAUGAAGUGAAAGGCACGCGGUCACUACACAAGUAUUCUUAGACUGAAGAAACGUUAACAUACAUACAUAAGUAAAUCCUUGUGGACCUUUCAUUUAGAGUUUUGAAGAUCUGUGAAUUGAGCUUGAAGAGAGUACAAGUCGAGGGAGAGAAAAAAAAAGUAAGAGGAUAAGGUCAUUCAAAAACAUAUAAUGCAGAUGUCGAAGUCUAGAUUGAAAAUGUUAUAUAACAAACCAAUUGAGUUUCAAGAGAGUACAUGAAGCCAUGAUCAUUAUAGAAGAGAAGAUGGGAUACAGCUUGUAAUUUAAUCUUGUUUGAAAAGAACAUUAAAUAGACUAAUCACUAAUCUGUUAACUUAGAUUUGCACAGAGCUUGGAACAUAACAGUCCACAAGAUUGUCAAGCCGUGAGUAUGGAGCUUCUAUGCUCUCCACUUCUCUGAAAUCACCACUUUCCCCAUCAAUGAUGUAUGUCUUGAAAGAUCCUUCACAAUUAUCAAAAACUACAAAGUUCUUCUUCUCCUCGUCGAUCAAGAAAAUCUCAAACAGAAAACGACAAUUGAGUUUCAACGUUUCAACUUUGAAUAACUUGCUCCAGGACACAGCACCGGGCUCAAGCUUAUCCGUAACCCAAACAUCAAAAAUCUCAAAUAUUAUACCCCGUUGUUUUAACAACAACGCAAGCCUCUCUUCUUUAACCGAAGAUAGAGACGCAUAGCCUCCGUAAGCAAAACUAAAUGGUAGAGGCAGACGCGGUCCAAACUUCUCUCUAGUAAAAUCAAAACAGAGUAAGUAAACAUCUUCUGAGUCAUCUUUAGCAAUCCAGUAAGUGUUUCCCUUCGAAGACAAGCCAGGUUUAAUAUACUUUAUUACAUUGCUGUGAAAAGCUUCAUAAGGAGUCUUCCAUGAAUCACAACUCAAGUCGUAGAUGUCUACGUGGAUGACAAUAUUAUCAUCACUGCUUAGCCUAAGGAUUUUGUGUGUACGACAUGAUUUAUCGUAUCCAAAAGCAAACAUCUUAUAAUAACGUUCUGUUGGGCUUUCAAUCCAUCUUGUUUUACCCCAGUACGGGUUACAAACCAAAAGCCUACGUUUGUCGUUGCCUUUCCAUAGACAUAGCAGUAAACCGUUGCAAUAAAAGACAUGACGUACAGAGACUACUUGAUCUGACUUUUCUCGUGUAAUAAGUAUACCGUUACGGUUCAUGGAUGGAUCAAAGUUUUUCUUGUGAAAGUCAUAGAAUUUGACGCUAAUCAAAUGAUCUUUGGUAUUCACCGUGAUCACAAGAACCUCCUUAUCUCGUUGUGAUGCUGCUGUUUUUUCAAUGUGCUUAUUGGCAAAUCUCUCAUCUUUAGAUAAAACGUUCCAGUUUUUACAAGUAGAUCGCACUGCUCCUAUAGAUUUCAACAGAACCCUAGAGAGAAUCUCCUCUAGCAAGUCCACAGGAAGAUUGGAUAUCAUCGUCUUCAUAUUGUUUCAAGCUUCAAAAUAAGAUGGAUGAACACAAAUAAGUUUAGAUCAAUCUUCGAAGACUCUUUUUCUUUUCCCUUUGUAGGAGUUUUUCUUUUCUUACUGAGAAGCUGUGAAGCCCUAGUUCCCCAAUGAAUGUUAACGUAACUCAACUCCAAGGAAGAUCAUUGUUAUUGGACCUUUUCUUAUUCAGGUCCAAUGAUUAGGGAUGGACAAAAAAUCUGAACCAAACUAAAACGGACUGAUCCAGCCGAACCCAAACGAUUCAAGUUAAACCAAAGUAUAUGUUCCAACCAUUUAAUAAUAUUUAACCAUCUAACAUUUAAAAGAAAACUAAAGAUAUUUUUAUACAUUUUACUUCUAAAUAAAUAGAUAAAAUUAUAAAUUCUAUAUACUAUCAUUAAAACUGAAAAUUACUAUCAUAUUUAUAUUAGACUCGAAAAUAAUAAUAUAAAAUUAUUGAGUUAUAUCUUCUACAUUUUCAUAUGAUGUACUUUACAUAUAAAUAUGAAAAAUAAUAAUUUAAUUGAUGAUUUUUAUAUUUUAAUAAAAAAAAAAUUUUAACUGAACUACAAACAUAAAAAUUAACUCGAUUGAAUUAAACAAACACAAACAAAACUGAAUUAACUCAAACUGAAUAUAACCAAACUGAAGAUCAAACCAAACCAAACUAAUUUAUAUCAGAUACACUCAUCUUAUUGUAGAGCAUGUGAUCUUCGGGCGUUUUACCAAAAACCCAAAAAAUUAAACCAAGAAAACCAAAAUCAAACUGGUAUUCACAAAUACAUGAAGGGUUUCUAGUUCCUAAUUUUCUAACUUUUCUUUAUGGCAAACUUUUAAAAUUUUAUUAUUAUCAAAAUGGGGUAUGUUCUUGUUCUGUCCAGCAAUUUGGUUUCUUUAUUGUUGUUUUUUUGCUCUUGCUAGUCUAGCAUGUCUUAAAAAAUCAUCAAAUCUUUUCCCAUUAUGUUUACUGACAGAAGCAGGCGGUCCUCUCAGUUUUGUCAAAGAAAUUGUAGAGAUAAUGUAAUGAUUUAGGCAUGUUUGUUUGUCUGUUUAUGUUUUCUGAGACAUUGGUUAUGUAUGUGUUGACUAUGUUAUGGUGUACAAUGUUGUUGAGAAGCUGAAGCUAGCAGGAGAAGAAAAACAGUGCUUGGCCAUUUACGUACUCAAGCGUUGUUGGCGGAAUAACAACCGAUCCAACAGCUAUGUUCUUCCGUGAUGUAGUAGUGUGUCAACUUGAGAACAUUGUUGAGAAAAAAGUAUAUAAAGUCUGUUCAUCACUCCAUAAUUAAAAGAAGACAAUGCUAACAAAAUGAACAUAAACCAUCAUCUAAUAAGCAUGUACAAAAAAAGUAACAACACAGAGCAUAAGAGAGCGCAACAGUGAGUCCAGUGAGACAAAUAUUCCAAACGCCCGGUGAAUUAUGAACAGUAUUUUGCUUAUCUAAGCAAACAUAAUCAGCCAAUAAGUAAACAUAAUCAGCCAAUAAGUAUGGAGAUCAAAGGGAAUGAGAUCAAUGCUUGCUUACAAACUCAACAAAGACCAAUCUAGCACUAGAAUUCUGGAAAUCUGCAAUUAAUUUAAUUGUUUUUGUGCUGUAUAACAUUCACACGCUGAGUGAUGAGCUUGAUGUAAGAUUUAGCCCACUUCAUAUUCUCUUUUGAAACUUUUGGUACAAAUGAGUUUGAGGUUUUAUAACAGUAAACCCAGAAAAAAGAAGAUACAAAUCCAAAAAAAAGUAGUUGUUGGGUGUUGCUGUUGCAUUUGCUUUCUCAGUUUCCCAAGAGGUCCAUAAGAAAUCUACCUGUUGUCAUGGGAUCUGAUGUCUGACUGAAUAUCUGCUCUAAAAUUUGCUUAGUGCGGGUUUGAGAUGCGAUACUUGAAGAGAUGCUCCCGGCAAUAACAUGAUGAGUAACAAGCAUUAUCUAAGCUCAUCUAACAAGAGUAUUCUAUUAUGAAGUGAAAGCCACACAAGCAUUGACCAGUCACUUUUGGACACAAUUGAGAGAGUUAGGCGGUGAAUACUACAUAGGUACGAGUGCAUUGUGUGUUCCUUACAGAGGCUAACAUGAACAGUAUCUUGUUUUUCUAAGCUAACAUAAUCAGCCAAAAUCAGAGGCACGAGUGCAUCAUCCCCAACCCGAUCAAAAUUAUACUAGUAACAAGUGACAAUGAGGGUAAACAGUUUUUGCUUAACAUCCAAGAAAAAACAGUCUCUGUGCGAUCGCAUUAGAUAAAGUAAGCGGCUUUCAUGCGUUUCACACGGAUAUACAAACAAAGAUCAUGCAGACCUAAUCAGUUCAGGCUAAAGCUCUCAACUUUCCCAGUUAAAUGAGAACAUAACGAUCAAAUAAAGAUGACUGUGCUAAUAGAAACCAAACCCAUCAAGCUAAACCUAGUAGUACCAUGGCAAUACAAUGACCAAGGAUACCGACCACGAGAAUGGAAAAUUCUGAGAGACUUGGUUUCUUCUCCUCUCAGACUCCGCUGAACAAGGCAGAACGAAAGACCCGCUGAAACGAAAAGAGUGUUUCUUUUGUCUUGUAUCAGAGUCCCACAUCGCUAACAAUACAAGAGUGGAAUGCAUGAGGAGAAGUAUAAAAGAAAAGGCCAUGAGACUGAACAAUUCAUACCUUUCUCUGCCUUUUGGCUAAGAUCAAGUGUAGUAUCUGUUCUUAUCAUACUCCCUCCGUUUCGUAAUAUAAGUUUUGGCUAAAAGCGCGAAGAUUAAGAAAAUUAUUAUGUUUUUAAAAAGUAUUUUAUAAUAAAUAGGUUAGAUAUAAUUUAACCAAUAAAAAAUAAGUCUAUUUAAUUUGAUUGGUCACACUGUAUUCAAUAAAUGUAAAAAUUACCUAAAAAUACGAAAACUACUUAUAUUUUGAAACAAAAACAUUUCUCUAAAACUACUUACAAUAUGAAACGGAGGGAGUAUCUGAUAUGUGACCCAUCGGAUCACACGAUAUUAACUCUAUUUUUUAAGGGAUGAGGUCCAUCAAGAUAGCUUGCUAUCUGAGUCUCUACGAGUCGCACAUGCGUUGCACUAUUGCACGAGCCGACUCAUCCCACCAAAUUUCCAGUUUAAAUUUUCCGAGUUGUUAUGCAACGAUAGGCUCUUUGGUCUCAUUCUUUUUCUGAGAAGAAGGUUCAGAGACAGCAAGGAGAUUGUUCAAAGAAACAAUAGUCUGCUGGGAAUGUGUGUCUAUUAUGCAGAGAGUAAUUAUUCCAAAAAAAAAAAUGAUUAAUUCUCCAACAAAACCAGCCGGCUCCGGACCGAAAAGACCUAACAGAGUAGGUGUAGGUGAGCCCGGUGGUAUAAAUGUUUAUGUUGGACCCAAGACUAAAUGGAUCUAUUUGCUCAAAAUAAGGCCCACAACUAUUAAAUUGUGAUUUAAAAGUCUGAUAAUCAUUAUAAAUAGUUCGUAUCUACCCAAAGCCUUGUUUGGAAUUGAUAAAUUAUGAUAAUCUAGUUAAGGUUUUGAGAAAUUUGAAUCCUUGUUGGGUAAUGGAGGAUGCAUUGAUAUGAGAAUUUUGGCAGAUGCAAAAGUGGAAGGUUGUAUGCAUCAUAGAAGAAAAAAUCACAGAAUCUCAAUUCUAAAUAAAGUAGAAGUGGAUAUUGAGAAGUUCAAAAUCUUGAGGCAACAAGGAGAAGAAGAUAUCCCUCUUUGGAAAUGUGGGGAAUAUAAAGGGAAGUUCUUAACGAGUGAAACAUGGCAGAUUAUGAGAGAAAGGCAUCAGACUUUUGAGUGGUACAAGGCGAUAUGGUUCAAGCAUUCCACUCCAGAGUUCUCUUUCUUGGUUUGGGUUGCUAUGAAGAAUAGGCUUGCAACAGAGGACUGUAUGAGGCAAUGGAACGUAAAUGUGGAUGUGUCUUGUAUACUCUGUCAAGAGCCUAUAGAAACAAUUGCUCAUCUCUUCUUUGGGUGUCCUUAUUCAAAACAUAUAUGGGGGGAUCUUGCGAGAGGAGUUCUCAAGGAACAUUACACAGAGAGUUGGAUGGAGAUAGUGAGGUUUAUUACUGAUUCAAGUCGAAAUAAUCUUCAGCUAUUUGCAACCAGAUAUAUGUUUCAAGCGGCUGUUCAUAGCAUUCGGAGAGAGAGGAAUAGAAGAAGACAUGGAGAAAAAGAGUCUCAUCAGCUCUGUUGGCAAGUAUGAUAGAUAAGACUGUGAGAAACAAGUUUUCUAUCAUCCAAAAGAAUAAAGUUAAAGAACUAGAGGGAAGGUUGAGCUAUUGGUUUGGAGCAAACCAAAGCUAAAAAGGAAAUUGAAGCUUAAAGAUAUAGAAGAAAGUGGUCUAAUUCUAUAAGAAAAAUUUUGUAUAGAGAGUAUGAAAGGAAGCACACUGAUGUAAAAAGGUUUUUUCUUGAAUUCAAAAAAAAAAAGAAGAAAUUUGAAUCCUUGUUUGCCACAUGUUCAAAGUCUCACCCGUGGAAUGUUCCUAUUCUGUCCAACAACGAGGUAGUUUUGGUCUCUUUAUUGUUUUUUCUCUUUCCUCUUUACAUGUCUGAUAAUUCGUCUAUCAUAUCUUAAAAACAUCAAAGAUGUUCCCAUUUUGUUCAUUGACAUAAGCAGGCGUCUUCUCAAUUUUGUCGAUAAAAUUAUAGAUGUAGAGAUGCUGUAAUGAUUGAGCCAUGUUUGUUAGUCUGUUUAUGUCUCUAAGACACUGGUUAUGUAUCUAUGGACUAUGUUUUGGUGUACAAUGUGGUAUUUUUUAUAUGCUCACCACACAAGUAUUGAGCAGUCGAUUCAUGAUAAAGUCAAAAUGAAUCAUUUAUAAUAAUAGACUUGUUACUUUAAAAUUUUAAAUGGUAAAAUAACAUAUUUAUCUCAAUACACAAAUUUAUCUUAAACAUAAAUAAUAUAUAAUACAUCUAAAUGUUCAUCAUGCGCAAAGCACGAAUUUGGUUGGUCCAUCUAAAUGUCAAUAUAAAUGCUCUCUAAUAUAUAAUACAUAUAAAUAGGUUGUUCCAUCUAAAUGUCAAUCUAAAUGCUCUCUAGUACUAGGUUAAGAUUUGUGCUUUGCGCAUGAUGAACAUUAUAUAUAAAUGCUCUCUAGAGCUACCGAAUUUUGAUUAAUAUAUUUAUGUAUUUUAUAUGGUAUAUAGUUAAUUUAAAUGAUAUUAAUAUAUACAUAUAUAUAUAUAUAUAUAUAUAUUAAUCUUAAUAUAUAUUAAAUUAGUCUUCAUACUUAUAUGAUUUUGUAAUCAUUUGUAUCUUGUCAUAACAAAAAUUUUAAACCAUGGUUCACGAAAAUUAUAAUGUGAGACUUUUAACAUUUUUAGUAAUUUAUAGUCGUUUUUUAAAAUUCAAAAUAUAACAUAUAAUGAAAAAAUCUAAAUUUAUAUUAUAUGGUUAAUGUGGUUGUUUAAUUUAUUUUAAUAAACUAAAAUUGAAAAAUAAUAGAUGAUACACUAAUUUUUAUCAAAUCUUUAUUAUUCAAAGCCAUUAAUUAUCAUAUAUACUUUAGUCACAUUAGGAAAUUCCAUAAUUUUUAUUUAUGGAAAUAAUAAAAAACAUUAAUAAUUAAUUUAUGGUUAGUUUAAUAAAAAAAUAUUAUAUAUUUAGAUAAACCAACCUAAUUCUCUAGGAAUUUCAAAGAAUCAUUGUGGUGAUAAUACAUGGCUACUUCAAACGUUGUAAUGUUUCUCUUUUAAUAUAUAAAAGAUUCUACAAAUUAGAACUUGCUUUUUUAUAUAUAUAUGUUUGUCUGUUAUAGAAGUUUUCCAUUUUUGGCGAUAUUAUUUUCUAAUUAUUUAGCUCGGUGUAUUCCUCUUUUUAAAGUCUUAUAUGUAUACUGGAAGUUGUUGAUAGAAAUUUCUAAACAUGAUGAAGUAUAAGUGUUUUUUUUUUUGUAACAGCGAUGAUGAUGAAGUUGGUUCAAUUUUCGGUACUUUUUCUUUGUUUACUUUUAUUUUAGAAGAAAUACACAGUCCAAAAAAUUAGCGUGAUGAUCUAUUUCUCCUCAAAACUAUUAUAUAGCACUGUAUUCAUACGAAGUUUAGCCGCUAUUCUAAAUCUAAAAUUCGAAACCUUAUUACACCUAGAAUUAAAGUUUUAAAAUCUUAUUACAUCUUUUUCCAAAAAAUAAAAUAAUAUAUAUAUAUAUAUUUUUUUUUUUUAUUAGUACUGAGUCCAUGCUGCGCAUGGAAAUAUAUUUUUUAAUUUGCUCAUUAAACCAAAUGUCCUUCGUUAUAAAACCUUAUUUUUGAUUACUCAUGAAGCAUAUGAUUUAUGAUUUUUUCAAAUUUCAAAUUUUUUAAACAUACUUUAAAGUUAUAUUUAUAUUUAUAUUUCGAGGAAGAUUUUAAAAAACCACCUUGGUAAAUAUAUAAAAUCGUUAAUGAAUGUGAUUGUCUCAGUGCCUAUAUUAUUCCUGGCCCUAAAGAGGUUGUAAAAAAUUUGAAAAAUAAUUUAUUUGUGUAUUUAGAUGGCAAACAUCUGAAAAAUGUGUAUUGUAAAUACUUCAACAAUACGAACUUGUACCUUCUAAUAUGUAUAACUGUAUUUUUAUAAUUUAAUCAACGUUGCUAGAAUUUAUAACGGGAAAAGGUUAAUAUUACUAACUUUUUGUGAAUUUUCUGUAAUCUUUUAUACUAUAAAAUAGAAGUCAUUUGACAAUUUUAAGAGUGAAAUGUGUCUUUUAACAUUAUUGUUUUUAAAAAAUAUUUUGUAAUUUUUUGGAAAUUUGUGUACGUUAAAAGAAAAAUUUAUACUAACUAACAAACUGAUAAGUGGUUACACUGCCAAGAACCAAGCCACGAUCUUUAUAUAUUACUUUCUUGGUUCUUUUAAGAAAUCACCAUCAAAAACCACUCUAUCAAUCUCAAAACGCUAACUGUAGAAAAAAAGACAGAGGAAUUGAAAUAGAAGAAUCUUUUGAAAGACAAGAGUGAAUUAUUUUUUUAUUUAGUAAAUGAAGAGUGAGUUAUUUUGUAUUUCUAUUCCAUUUUGAAACUUUUAAUGUUUUUGGAAUUGCCAAAAGAGAAGAAAAAGUUUUCAGAUGGAUUUUUUUCUUAUGUAUGGUUGGCUCUAUAUCACUCGACGAAAGGGAGAAGGGGGAUUGAUGAUCGAUUUCAGGUAUUUUCUUAACUUUGUCUCUGUUUAUAAUUCAAAUUCACUUUGUAGAGCCUACUAAUCAAAUCUUACGUGCAUCCAUUAUGAAAUUUAAUGCAAACAAACUGUUAAGUCAAGACCAAACCAACAGAAAAACCAACUAGAAAUUGAAGAAAAGUAUCACGAAUGAUGAAUUAAAAGAAGACGAAAAUAGCAACUAGACAUUGGGAUUCAUUAGCGCUAAUGACGUCAUUUUCACAACUAUGUGAAAGGUUUGUUUUCUAAUCCAUAGCUAUUCAUUAUUACAUUCUGGUUUAUUUUGUGGUUCUUUACCGCAACUACAAACAUUUGUUUUUUAUUUUGGUUAAAUCUCUUUUCAACAUUUAUAUUGUCAGAGAUUUCAUGUGAUAUAGGGAAAAAUCAAAUCAAGUAAAGCAGUGAUAAUCAAAUUUAUGAAAAACUGUUAGUAUAUGGGUGUUCUCUUGUUUAUUUAUUUUCUUAGGUAUUGCCUGCUGAUUUUAUUAAGUUUUGCUUGGUUAAUGUGUUAAACUGCAAAAAGAAAUGUAUAUGCUUUUAUUUGUAAAAUAUUAACCUUUAAUCAUACUUAACAACAUUUCAUACUUUUAUAAAUAUUCUAUAUUUAAGCAAUCAUAAUUCGCAAUACAUAUAUUUAUAUUAUAAAAAUAUGCAUAUUUACAUCAUUUCAUACUUAGAAACAAUUAUUUUUUCUUCUUCCUAUUCAUAUUUUAUAUUGACAAAUAAAAUGUGCCACUGCUAUGCAGAGGCCAUAAUACUAGUAUAACUAACAACACACAUUCUAGCAAAUUGAGAAUUGAUUUAGUCUAUUUUAAACAUGUUAUUGACCUAUUUUGUUUGAGUUUACCUUUUUCAGCAUGUAGCUUUUCCAAUAUCUGAAGAAGAAAAACAUAAAAGAGUUUAAGUAGGUUAGAAAAUGAAAUUUUCGUGGAAAAAAUUCAGCAUGAUGUAAAUCAUAAUUUGACUAACCUAAUUUUAACCAUCAUUUGCCGAUAGCCUACUCUGCGAUACGCCCCAGCCCCUCCCAAAUUGUAUUUAUCCUUUUCUCAGUUCACUGUAGGAUUCAAAUAACUUAACAAACAAAAUAUUCUGUUAUCUUUGUAUAUAUUGUUAUCUCUUUUAGUGCUAAAGCUUUGUAAUAAAUUUUAUAUGGAUUCUUUGUUUGGCAUCAGUCAAAAAUCUCAAUCCAAAAAACGAAGAAUACGAAAAAUGGGGAAGAAAAAUGAUAAAACGCACGAGAGAAGGAGAUCAAAUAGAAAGUAAAAACUAGAUCGAAAUUAUAUAGAAGAUAAAACAGUUUUAAAAUGAUGAGCAUUAUCUAUCAAGUCUUUUUAACCAUGGUGUUGAUGAUUAGAGAAAAUUUAGGAUUUUGUUAUUAGGAUUUUUAAAAUUGAAAUCGUAAAUACAAUUUUUGUAUUAACAAUAACUUCGUAAAAAAUAUUUCAUGUGUCAUGAGUUGAUUGGUAGAGUGACUUGAACUUUAUUAUAUUAAAGAUAUUAUUACACCUCAAACUAAAAGUGUUUUUUUGGGUCAAAUACCUUGCUCUAAGUGAAAAGGGAAAACUUAACUUUUUUUGUACCUAACUUCUUAAUUAGAAACUUAGAAUAUAAAACAUAAUUAAAAAAAUAAAAAAAAAUUAUUUAUUGGUUCAACCGGUGGUUAAACUGGUAUCGGGUUCCAGGUUUUAUUGGAUUUUUGCGGGUUUCUAAAUAUUGUAUUUUUCGCAAAAUCUAAACCGAAUUUUUUAUGGAUCACUGGAUUUACCGGUUCAACGGGUUUACCGGUUCAACCACAGGUCCGGGUCGGGUUUCAAAACACCGGCUCCAACUAAAAGUUUGAAAACUUUGUUUACAUCUGAAGUUGUGGCUAACUCUUGAUUUGCUGUAUUAAAACUAGGUGAUUUUUCCGUGCUCAUGCACAUGUAUAUAUAUUUGUAAAGUAAAUAUACUAUAAUAAUUAAUUUCCAUUUACUUUUAAUUUUAAAUUAAUUUAUAAUUUGUAUGCAUCAAUUAUAUUAAUAAUAUUAUAUUCCUUUGAUUAUACAUAUGAUUUUAUAUAUGUUAUAUCUAAUCGUUUUUUUUUUUGUUUUUACAGUCGAUUUAUUUAUCAUUUGGGUAAAUUGAUUGUAUCUCUGAAUUCAACAGUAAUAUUUUUAUUCUAUAUAUUAAUAUUUUGAUUAAUUUCUUAUUUGCAUUUAGGUGGUUUUUUGUCUUAGAUAUGUAAAUAUAUUUUAUGAAGAUUUUAUAUAACUUAAGAUAUAUUGUUCUUAGAAUGAAAUAAAAAAUAAAGUAAAGUGUCUGAUUCCAAAUUACAUAAAUUAAUAUAACGAUAAUAUUCUAAAGUGUCGUGCAUAUAUAUAAAUUUUACUAAAGAACUAAAUUGUAACAGUUGGUUAAUAUUUUAUUUUUAUUUUAAUAUGUUUUGAGUUGUCCUAUGAUUUAUAUUUAUAAAAUAAAUUACUAUUCUUAUGAAAUUAUAUAUUUUUAUCAUAGUUAAAUUUAUGAUUUUAGAUAUAAGUUGGAUUAGUCGAGUCCCUCAUGUUGUGAGUAUAUUGAGUUACAUAUAUUCUUUCAAAUUCGAAAUGAAUUAUAAUUAUUUGUUAUUAUAAUUAACUCAAAUCAAUUCAAUUUUAUUUAUCGUUUAAAUGUGCAUGUAUUUUCAUAAUAUUUAUUAAAUUAUAUGUUGAUGUAUUUUUAAAAAAGAUUAGAAAAUAAAGUGAUGAUCAAUAGGAAGUUACAUGCAUAAGUAGCUGAUACAUUUUGAGAAACUCACGAACACAUAUCAAUAUUUGCAAUAGUUAAAAUAUUUUAUAAAUUCUAAAUAGCUUUAUGCAUUUGAUUUGUUGAAUGGAAACUGAAAUUUAUUUUAAAUAAUUUUAAAAAUGAGAAUUCAGAUUUUUUUUGGUAUUUUGAUUAUCGUUCUAUUAAUUUCCACAAACACAAAACCAUAAAAUUUUAAAGAAAAUUUAAUAUUAAGAAAGCAAAUAACUUUAAUAAUGAUAAAAUACAAUAUAACUACCUCAUUAAACUAUUUUGUAUCUAUUUGAUCAAACAAUGUUUAUUUUUAAUUUUUUUAAUAUCUCUUAAAAAUAAGCAGUAAAAAAAUUGUGAAUGUAUUUGAAAAUAAUAUUAUAUAAGUAAAAUAUAAUUUAUCGAUAUUUUUUUGCUGUAAAAUAUAUGAAAAAUAAAUAAUCUAUUUCAAUAAUACUAAUUAUAAACUAUUUUUAGUCAAUUAAACCAAUAUCAGUUUAGGUUGCUUAAUUAUUUUAUGUAUUCAUCUAAAAAAUAGAUAGAUAUAUAUAUAUAUAUAUAAAUAUAUUUCUAUUACUUUGAAUUUUUUGUAUUGUUUAACAUCUGUUUAAAUUGUUUUUAAUAAAAUCACAUUAUAUACAAUUAUAUUUUUCAUCUAAGAAAAUAUAGAUAUAAAGAAAGUAUAUUAUAAAUUCAAAAGUAUAUUUUAUGUUAUUUAAAAAUAUUUUUUUUAAUAUAAUAUUACUAUUUUGUGAAAAAUAUAUAUACUAAGUAUUUGUAAAUUUAACAAAAAAAUUAACUAAAAGAAAAUAAAAUAUAAUAUAAAGAAUACACGAUUUUUAACUUUCAAGAAUACAAAAUAAAAUAUACUUCAAAAUAAAAUUUCAAAAGUGUAUCUUUAAAAUAAAUUAGAAAUCAAUAUCAGAUGUGUUUUUUCUAAUAAUAUUCAAAUCAAAGAAUCGCAUAAUCCUCAUAAACAAAGAGCACAUCAAGAAAUAUAUGGUUUGAUGGAAAGUAAAUCAUACAAGCCGAAGACAAAAUCCGAUAGACAAAAAAUGUAUCACACCAGAAAAUACCGGAUAUACUAGUGAAUAAUUCUAUGAUGGAAAGUAAAUCAUACAAGCCGAAGACAAAAUCCGAUAGACAAAAAAUGUAUCACACCAGAAAAUACGGGAUAUACUAGUGAAUAAUUCUAAUAUAAAAACAAGAUUGGAAAUUUACUCUCUCUCAAAGAUGUUAAGUAAAGGGACAAAGUGAGAUUCCCAAGCCACAAUUUAUUUAUACGUUUAAAAUUAUUUUUUAAUCAAUCAAAAGAAAAUAACAAAAUUUUCACUUUUAAGUUUUUUUUUAAUAUUAAUCAACGUUAUUAUCUUAUGUUUUGAAAAAUAUUUUUUUGUCAGUUAUAGUCAAAAUAUUCUUAGAAACUAACUAAAUAAGCUAUACCGAAAUAAAUCUAACAUGGUGUGAUUUAUAAGAUUUUUAAAAAUUAUUGUUCUUGAAGCAAACUACAUGAUGAAUUUUUAUAAUCAUUAGUUUGAUUUACCUCAUACAACAUAUAAAAUUUAAGAUGCUCUCUGUUGAGUUAUGUGGAAGAAAAUAUUUAGAAAACAAUCUUUAUAAGAUAGAUGAAAAAUAAAAAGCCUAAGAAAGCAUGUUAAAUAAGUUAGUCAAUAUUUUAAAUAAAAAUAAAAGAUUUUACCGCGCAACGCACGGUUUGUUUGUCUAUAAACAUUAAACCUUAGAUUUUAAAAAAAAAGUUUGUUUUUUAAUAUUAUAUCAUUUAUUUGUUUCGAUAUAUUUUUUUGUUUGAAAUAUCAUUAAUUUAUGUUAACAUAUUAAAUGUCUCUAUUAAUCUUUUCGUAACCAUGUUUAAAUCUUUCUUAAAAUUUAAAAUACUCUACAUUUAAUAAAAUAAAAUAAAAAUCUAUCAUCUUAUGUAUAUUAUAUAUUUUCUUAUAUAUCGUCUGAUUGAUUUUGAAUUAUUUUUUGAAGUAUACGUAAAUAACCUUUACUUCAUAUAAAUAUAUAAUUUUAUAAAUGUGUAAUAAUUUUGAAUACUUAAAUCUGUAAUUUUGAUAACCAAUAAAAUGAUUCAGCAAUUCUUUAAGUUUUGAAGCCAUAAUUUAUUUUCAGUAUUAAACUUUUGGUCUUUAUUAUUUUGUAAAUAAUUAUUUGUUAUAAAAAUGUGAAAUGUGUAGUAGAUUUCAAUAUGAACAAUUAUGUAUUUAGCUACUACAUAAAAGGAUAUUGAGAAUCAUUAACAUAUUCAGAGAUGGUCAAUUAUUUAACUAAUCUUAAAAAUUAUCUCUUAACAUUAAAAAUUCUUAGGUGUUGAGUUUCAUGAUAUAAUCUUAUUAACUUAUUCUCUCUCUCUGUUAGAAAAAAUCAGAGAAGUGUAUGAAAACAAAAGCAUAAUAUUGAAAUAUGGACACGUACCUCUUCAUCAAUCAUCAGCAUCUCAAGGCCGAGAAGGAUGCCUCCUUUGGAAUUAUUGUGAGCUUUCCAAAAAUAGAUUAGCUUAAAAAGCAACUGGGAAUCUCCAUGUCCUGAUGAAACCUUACCGAAGAAAAGCGGAGAAUGAACUUGGGUGGUGGUGACUGCCGUUUGAUUUGCCAUAAAGGUAGGAAUGGAUUUGAAGAUCUGAGCAAUAGAUUUUUGGGUUAAGGAGGCAUCAUUAUGAUUGAGUAAGAGGAGGGAUGUGGAGACUUAGACGUCUAUUUGUCUGGAAGAGUAAUUAAGUUAAUUCGUUAUUAUAGCCGUCGCAAGCGUUAUACGGAGGAGAUAAGAAGACAGUGAGUUCUAGAAAGUCUUCUGUAGAUGUCGUAAUAAAAUUAGGUUGGAGUAAAAAGAUGGCAAAACAAAUGGGUCAUUAAACCUAAAUGGCCUAUUAGGCAUCAUAGAUUCCUGGUCCAACAACUUAACAUCCAUGAUAACAUGGACAAAUGAUUGGUUGCGAAUUUUUCGCUGACGUGGAUAGCUUAAAAGGGCUUCAUAUUCUCCUUUUAAUUAGGGCUGGACUUCGGAUAUUCGGUUCGGGUUCGGAUAGGAUCCGAUCGGGUCCGGGUUUUUCGGAUAAAUGAAUUCUAUACCCAAUGGGUACUUAGUAGAUUUCGGUUCGGGUUUCAGAUCAUGUACUACCGGUUUCGGGUCGGUUCUGGGUACCCGUUUCUUAGUGAAUUAUAUAAAUAUUUGCAAAAUUAAAUAAUUAUAUACCAGUUUUUUAUUUAUUUAUUUUAUUUUUAAAGGAAAAGUAAAUAGAAAUCAUAUAUAUAUUUGUAAUAUGUAUUAAAUAAACGAAGUUGAACUAGUCCAGUAGUAUUACAGUUGUCGCUUUGCCUAUCCAACCUGGGUUUGACCAUCGCAAGAUACAAAUCGCUGUUUUUUAAGCAUAGAAUUCAGAUUAAACGGGUACCCGUUCGGUUACUUUUAAUAGUGUAAGAUUUAUAACGAAAACCAACAAUAAAUAAAUAACAUAAAAAGUAAUAAAAGGAACAAUCAAUGAAUUUAUCAAUAUAAAUAUACUAUCUAAGUAUUAUAAUCAACAAACUAAAAACAUACAAAUUUUAAACAUUUAAAAAAAAAUCUCAUGAUUACAAUGAAUACGCUAUCUAAUACUUGGAGAAUUGUCAAAAAUAUCACAUUCAUAGUACUACUUUUCAUGUUUACACUAACCACUUUUAAUCCUCACUUUUAAUGAAGGGUAUAAGACAUUUAUAAUACUUCGGUUAAUUAAUCUAGAUUUAGGGUUUAUAGUGUAGGGUGGGAUAGGGUUUUUGGAAUAUGAAAUUUAGAAUUCUAAUAAAUUUAUAAAUAAAUACUUAAAAAUAUAUUUAAAAAACUUAAAAAUAGUUUCAAAUAUAAUUUCUGAUUUUCAAAAAGAAAUUUUGAAAAAAAAAAUCAAAAAAAAUUAAAAAAAAAAGUUUAUAAAAAAGUUCAAAUUUAAAAAAGUAAAAUUCGAAAACAUAAAAAAAUAUUUUUUUUCUAUUUAUUUAAAUAAUUAUUUAUUAUAUAUAAAAAGAACAAAGAUAUAAAAGUCUUUUGUCACUUAGUAAAGAACAUAUUUUUGAAAAUGUCCUACGAAAGUGAUAAACAUAAAAUUUUCUCAAAAAAAUAAUAACCUUAUUACACUUUUAACUGAAAGUUUAUUUACAUCUGAAGCCGGGGCUAACGCUUGAUAUUCUUUUUCAGACGAAAAAGGUUUAUGAAGAGCUCUUGAAAAGGGUUUUUGAAGAGUUCUUGAAUGGUAAAGAGACUUGAACUAUACACCCAUUAAAAAAAAAAAAAAAAAACUAAUCAUCCUAUAACCAAACGCACACAAGAUUGAACCAAAAUAACUCACUAAACCAGCAAUUACAACCCGAUCACCUAAUUUACAUGCCUAAAUCCUCUGGGGUUCUUCAUCUCCCAAAAAAAAAACAGAGAACGAACCCUAAAAUCGAAAUCCAUGAAAUCUGAUGUAUCGUUUCACGGAGUUUCUUCUCUUGUUGACGAAUCCGACGAUGAAGAUCGGAGAAGAGUAUCUUCCGGAUGAUUUUCUAGUGGACAUACUCUCAAAGAGGUUCUAUUGGCAUCUCUAGCAAGAUUUCGAUCGGUAUCCAAAGGAUGGAAUGCUCUGAUCAAAGAUGUGAUCAGAUUCAAGAAAUCGUCUCAGAUCAUGUUGAUUGAUUCUAGGGUUUAUUUAGUGAGCAUUGAUUUCCUUGGAGCUCACGACAACAUUGUAAACAUAAAAAAUCAGUUUAGCCUCAAAGAACCCCUUUCUAACUCUUCCAAAGAAGUCGAUAUACGUGAGGUUUUUCACUGCGAAAUGCACCACUGAAGACAAUAGAUUGGUGGUUUGGAAUCCAUGCUUAGGUGAAACCCGUUGAUGGAUCAAACCAAGAAGUUCCUAUCUGACACGAACGACAAGUACAAAAUCUUGAGGAUUUCUCUAUAUGAUGCCACGCCUAUACGAAAUCUAUGACGUUACUUCUAAUAACUCAUGGAGGGGUUUUGACCCAGACUAGGGACUGGUUCAAAUACGUACUGGCUUGCUUCUAGUUAUACUAAUGAACAGCCAUGGACGGAUAUUUACUAAGAUUCGAUUUUUUCAAAAGAGAGAUUCACAAGUAUGUAUAUUCCUUCUUCUGGCAGAAAUUUUGCUUUGUCUCGUGCCGACCAUAUAGAUGUAUGGAUGGCAACCCAGAUUGAUAGUACCGGCUCCAUGUCAUGGAGCAAGUUCCUAACAUUGAAACGAGUCUAUAACGAAGUUUAUGACUGGGAUGAAUUUCCUGGCAGACGAGGAGAAUAAAGUUAUAGUGUGCCCCGGUGAAUCUAUGGUAUCUGACAGGUUCUUCUUACACAUUGUUGGAGAGGAUAAAUACAUACAGGUGGACCAGCAUGAGGCAGGAUCUAGAUUCUCACUUCUCUCCUUAGCUAUGUUCCAACUCUGGUCUCUCCUUCAUAUCCAACAAGGUUCUUUUGGGUAUGUGCAAGGAAAAGACCAAUCACAUGUCUUGUGAUUGUCACACUAGGUUUAGUUAUGCAAUUUCAUGAUAUUUUGUAGAAAAUGAAAGUACUUUUUGCUACGUUUAUAUGUUGGAAUUUUUUCCAUUUGAGCUAAUUAGUAUAUCUUCCUUGCAUAAAGAAUACAGUAAGUCAGGAUAAUGAGAGUAGGUAAAAUCAUACAAAAGCAAAACAACAGGAUCAUGCAUCUCUCUUCCUCCCAAUCUUUGUACUCCAAGUGUUGAUCCUUCCUAUAAUCAAACGAAAUAAUUCAAAGGGUUAAAAGCCAUGAAUAUCUGGACCUGCUUCGUAACUUAUCUCUAUUAGCGUAUCAUCAUCGAUAAGCAUGUAUGAAACCAUACAAAGCGCAAAUAAUCAAUUUCAAAUGCAAUAUAAAGAUCAAUCAUUAGUUAAUACAAUGCUUUUAGAGACAUGCAGCAACAGUAGCAUAAGAUGAAAACAGUAGAUGCUUCUGCCUUUUAGUUGAUACUAGCAAGAGUAGUAUAUUAAAUCAAGUGAAAGGCACAGAGCAUUGUUAUAAGCUCUCCACACACGCACUGAACAGUCAAUUUUGACACAGUUCGAGUCUUCUCAGAGAGUUAAGCGGUGAAUAACUACAUAUGUACUACUAGUGCAUUGUGUGUUCCUUAGAGUGAGGCUAACAUGAUGAGUAACAAGCAUAUCUAAGCUAACAUGAUCAGCCAAAAAGUACAAAGAUGAAAGGGAAUGAGAUCCUUUAUCCUUCUCUUCACUGCUACAAUCACACUUCUACUUAUUCAGAUUAGCACCGCACUUCAAGCACAUUCCUUUACACGCAGGAUCACAUACCGCAGUCAUGGUGAUCUCUAAAUGCACCAAGUCCAUGUGCUGUGCAAUGUCGACAUUAAGAUGAGACGCUGAUUGCUAACUGGUUGGGUAAACCGUUUUUGCUUUAACAUCCAAAACAGUCUCUGUGGGAUCGCAUUGGAUAAAGUAAGUGCCUUUCAUGCGCUUCACACGGAGCAAACAAGAUCAAUGAUCGAAUAAAGAUGACUGUGCUAAUAGAAACCAAACCCAUCAUCAAGCUAAACCUAGUGGUACCAUGGCAAGACAACGACUGAACAAUCCCCUCUUCUUCCUUGGCCGAUUCAAGUCACUUUCCAGGCAAAAAAAAAUGCUUCACGGACGCCAAGAAGAUUCAGACUUUCGAAUAAGAUAACGACGAAAUCGAACGAGAUAAAACUGACCACGAGAAUGGAAAAUCAGAGAAAGUUGGCUUCUUCUUCUCACACUCUAGCUGAACAUCGAACUACCUAAAGGCAAGAACCAAAGACUUGCUCGACUUCAGGUUUAGGACUAUUGUCGGUUAAGCUUUAUUCAAAACCCGCUGAAUACGAGAGAGUGUUUUCUUUUCUGCUUGUACAUCUAUUCUAUUAAAACUCCUGUAUGACCAAUUGAUAUUUGUUUGAUCCAAUUAUUUAUAACCCACUUUCUUAAAAAUUUAACUGCCAUGACAUGUAUAUAUAUAUUAUAACCUCCUCUUCCCUUGGUAUUAUAUAACCUCCCGAUGAAAAAAAAAUGAAAAAAAAUAACUUUUUCUUCCCUUUACUUCCUAUCAUUUCGGGAUGCAUUACUUUGAGUGGAAAAAGUAUUCGACUACAAUCAUUGACAGCAACCAAUUCAUCUAUUAGAUGCUUUGAUUUUCGCAUGCUUGAUACCAUUCUGUAUAUACAUUAUCAAUAACAAUUAAUAGCAUUUAUAUUCAUAGUAUCAAUUACUAUGUUUACAAAUAAAUAAAUAAUUAUACCAGCUUUAAAUAUCGAACGGUUUGAAUAAAAAUAUCAAAUAAUUUAGAUAAUUUUAAAUUUAUGGAUAAAAAUAUUCAGGUAAUUUUGUUAAUAAAUAGUAUUUUUAGUAUAUUUAACUAUUUAAAAAUUAAGUAUAAUUAAUAUUUGUGGGUAUAUAAUUCCAUUUUAAAAUUUUGGAUACCUAUUUGGUUAGCGGUUUGGUUCCGUUCAAUUCAAUUUUUUGGUUCCAGAGAUAUAUGAUUCACUUGAUUAUUUAUGAAUUAGGUUUACAUUUGGUUUUAGUUUUUUGGUUCUGGAUAAAUGUGUCUAAACUUAUACAAUAUCUUAUACAUAAAUUAGGGGUGGUCGUUCGAUUACUCAUUCCGAUUUGGUUAGGAUCUAAUUCGGAUUUUGGGUUUUCGGAGUUUAAUAUUUUAGCCUCAUUCAGAUAUUUUUAAAUUUUAGUUCUGGUUCGAAUAACCCAUUGAAAUUAUUUUAAAAAUCUUAAAGUUCAUAUACUAAAUAAUAUUGAUAACUAAAUUGUAUAUUGAUAUAUUUGUUGCUUCCUACGAGCAAAACACAUACCUAUUUCAUUUAACUACUUUUUACAUUUAACUGAUUUUAUGAAUGUGGAACGGGUGAUAUUCUUUUUUUUUGUUCAACCAGGAACGGGGUGAUAUUCAUUUUAAGCUAUAUAUAAAAAAUAUACCGAAAAAACAAAACAAACAAUAUACCCGCGCUUUGUAGCGCGGGUCAAGAUCUAAUAUUCUAUUAAAACAGUAGUAUCUAUUAUAAAUAUUAAAAGAGAAGUCAUGAUUUAAUUCAUGUGUGAUUUUUUAAUUUGAAUCACUCCUUAGAAAGUUGUUAAAAUUAAUUUUUGUAUAAAUAUUUAAAUUAUUUGAAUUAUUCUAAGACAAACAAAUCAAAUAGAUAUUCCUAUAUUUACUCUAAAAUUAUAUCUGAAUAAAAUAUUUUUAUAUCUUUUUAUUUACAAUAUAAAUAUAAAUAUAUAUAACAUUUUUUAUUAAAAUAAACCUUUUAAAUAUUUAAGUAAUUUCGUGUUUGUUUAACAUAAAUGUAUAUUCGAUUUUCAUUUAAACAAAACUUUUAAAUAUUUAGUUAAUGUCGUGUUUAUUUUAAAAUUAAAUUUAUAUUUAUUUUAACUAAAACGAAAUUUUAAAAUAUCUAACUAAUUUUCUAAUUAUAACUAAACACAUGUACAUUUUUGUAUUAAUCUGCGAUAUUAAUUUAAUAUAAUAUUUUCAAUAUUUUUUUUGAUCUUUCACCAGUAAAAUUUUUCAAUUUAGAAUUUUGUAUCACAUGAUUUAAAAUAUGAAAAAUUAAAAAAAAAAAAAUUAAAUUAUUGCAUGUGAACUAUAAAAUUGUUGUGUAUUAAAAUGUUAUAUUAAACAAUUAGUAAUAUGGUAAAUAUUACAAUUAAUCAUGUAAAACAACUAAUUAUGUGUGUAAAAAUAAAAUAAUCACUGGUACGGUUGUGCGGAUCAACUAUUAUUUCAACAAUACAUAAAAAAAAUUUUAUAUGAUAACCACCACAUAUAAAAAAGGUAUGACGGUUAUGUACUUUUCCAGAUGAGUUGAUCAUUUUCCCUGUAACCGGCGGGACCUACUCCCUUCUACUACUUUUCCUUUAUUGUAGUAACUAAAUUAUUUAACCCACAAAUUAUUUUCUCAUGACCAGAAAUACAAAUAUAUUAUUUUAUAUGUUAGCUAAAAAUACGGGCCAUGGUCCAUACCUAAUUGAUAUUGUUACUAUUUAUUUCAAAUCUAUACAUGUCUACGUAAGCAGGGCCGGCCCUGGGCUAAGCCCAAUGAAACAUUAGCCUUGGGCCCCCAAAAAUUUUGAAUUUUUUUUAUAUGUAAAUAGGCUCCUAAUUUGUAAAAAAAAUUUUUUUAGGCCCCCAAAUUUUUGAAACCUUUACUGAAUGGUCUUGGGCCUCCAAACUCUCAGGGCCGGCCCUGUACGUAAGUAUAACAUUUCAAAUCUAUAAAUUUGUUGUAGCGUUCAAAUCCGCCUAAGGCAUACUACAUUACUCAAAUUACCAACUUUAUAAUAUUUUCAUAUAGAUGACCAUUAGAUUUAUCUAGCUUUUUUUGGAUCAACCAUUACCAGAUCACGGGUGAGUGAAUUUUUUUUUUGUUUUAACCGGAUUUUAUGGAGUUUUUAAAGAUAAAUUUUAAAAUUUAAUCCAAAAUUUGAACUAAAUUAUACGCAUAUCACUCAAUUUACCAUUUUUAACGUGGAUUAUGAUCAAAUAUGAAAAUAUCAUGAAAAUAUAUUAAAACUAUAUUGUAAAUUAAAUUUAGAAAAAUUUAGAUCAAUACAAUAAAUCAAUAUUUUUGGGUAUAUAGGUCAUAUUUAAUCGGAUCCGGGUCUAGAUUUACGGGUAGAUGCCACAUAGGUUUUCAAGUAUGAAUAUCAUUAAUAAUUCAAAAUGCUAAAAAUGCAAAAAUGUCAUGAUUUUAUUAAAACUUGAUUACAUAUUUCAUCAUCAAUAUAUAUUCUAUUAAAAAAGUUAAACAUAUUAUAAUCUGCACAAUUAUAAUUCUUUUUGUAACAUUUAAAUGUAAAUAAUAAUCAAAAAUACAAAUUUAUAUCAAAUAAAUUUGAUUUAUAUCAAAAUCUAGAAUAGACAAAUAUGAUUACAAAGAAACGGGCAUACGAGCAUAUAUGAUUACAAAGAUCUGAGCGUAUAUCGGAUCAACUUUUAAAUUUCUAUUAUUUUAUAAAAUAGAUUUUGAUUAAGAUUUAUAAAAAUAUGAUUUUAAAGAAAAACAAAAAAAAAUAUGAUUACAAAAAAAAACACAAAUAUGUAAAUUAAAUUUCUAAAAAUAAAAGGGCGGAUCAGAAUCUAGUUACUCUCUUUAAAGUCCCACAUCGCUAACAAUACGAGAGUGUACGGCACGAGGAGUAGCAUAAAAGAAGAGGCCAUGAAUCUGAACAAUUCAUACCUUUCUCGGCCUUUUGGCUAAGAUCAAGUGUAGUAUCUGAUAUGUGGCUCAUCGGGUCACACGGUGUUAACUCUAUUUUUAAGGGAUGAUGUCCGUUAAGAUAGCUUGCUAUCUGGGCUUUCAAGAGUCGCUCAUGCGUUGCACUGUAGCAUGGGCCCGGCUCAUCCCACCAAAAUUACAGUUAUAAUAUUUUACUCAUUUACCCAAAAUCGAAUGGGCUUAUGAAUUCAUAAUUCGGUCCACAGCUAUUUAAAUAAAGAUUUUACAUACAAUAAAAGAAAACUAAGAAAAUCGUCCUAUAACCGGUAACUUACACAAUUAAACCGAAAUAAAUCACUAAACCAUCAAUCACAACCCUAUUACCUUAAAAAAAAAACAAAGAACGACCUCUAAAAUCGAAAUCAUCGAUCGUUGAAACCGAGAGGAGAUUUUUGUGGGUUUUGGCUUGAUCACAUCCGAUAAUCAAUGUUUGUUGCGUUGUUUCAUGGAGUUCCUACUCUUGUUGACGAAUCCGACGAUGAAGAAGCUGUGGAGUGAAACGCGUUUCGAAUCGGAUCAGAAGAGUAUCUUCCGGAGGAUUUGCUAGUGGACAUACUCUCAAAGGUUCCACUGGCAUCACUAGCAAGAUUCCGAUCAGUAUCCAAAAGAUGGAAAGCUCUGAUCAAUUAUUUGAGAUUCAAGAAGUCGUCGAUUGAUUCUAGGGUUUAUCUAGUGAGCAUUAAUUUACUUGGAGCUCAAGACAACGUUGUAAACAUAACAAGUCAGUUUAGCCUCAAAUAUCCUCUUUCAAAUUCUUCCAAAGAAGUCAGUAUUCGUGAGGUUAUCACUGCGAUGGCUUGUUGUUAUGCAUCACCGAAGACGAUAGACUAGUGGUUUGGAACCCAUGCUUAGAUGAAACCACUUGGAUCAAACCAAGAAGUUACUACGAGAGAUCUGAUAUCUUUGCUCUCGGUAAAUCCUCAUGCAACAAGUUCAAAAUCUUGAGGAUUGCUCUUCUACAUGGUCCGGGACCUGCCUUUGAGUUUACGAAGCCACGCCUAUAUGAGAUCUAUGACUUUACCUCUAACUCAUGGAGGGUUGUUAAUGAGGCUAGAGACUGGUCCAUUCUAGGGUUAGGGCGUCGCGGCACGUGUGUGGAUGGAUAUCAUACUAAAAUUCGAUUUUUCAACAGAGAGAUUUACAAGUAUGUCUCCUCCCGUUGAUGUUCUUUCUUGCAAUGUUUUUGCUUUGUCUGUGACUAGAGAAGAGCACAAACUUUGUAUGCUAGCUUCGGUUGCCGACGAUGUAGAUAUAUGGAUGGCAACCAAGAUUGAUGGUGCUGGAGCCAUGUCAUGGAGCAAGUUCCUAACAGUGAAACGAGUCUAUAACAACCAAUGGAUGUUCUAACUGGGAUGAAUUUUUUGGUCGACGAGGAGAAUAAAGUAAUAGUGUGUCCCGGCAAAUCUUUGGACUCUGGCAGAUUCUUACACAUUGUGGGAGAGGAUAAAUGCAUACAGGUGGACAAGCAUGAUGCAGGAUCUAGAUGCUCACUUCUCCUCAGCUAUGUUCCGACUCUGGUCCCCGCUUCAGAUCCAACUGGUUCUUUGGGGUAGUAGGCUCAAGGAAAGCACCAGUCUCACUAGGUUUAAUCUAUCCAAGUCUUCAUGAUAUUUUAUAUAAAUAUAAAUGUUCGUUUUGCUACUCUAUUAUAUGUUGAAUUUUUCAUAUGAGUUUAGUAUCUCUUCCUUUUACAUAAACCAAAUGAAUCAAAUAGUGUUUUCACAAUCAUCAAGCAUUUAAGACAACAUAAAAUUUGAAACGUUUUCUCCUUGGCUUGAUCCUUCCGAGUCACUUGCAUAAUCACUAACCUCCUCCUCCUCCUCCUCCUCAGAAACAUCCAUAUUGGGAAUGUAGCUUUUGUUCUUGUUAUAUAUAUCUGGCUUCAGGCCAACUUCUAUAAUCAAAAUGAAAUCAUUCAAAGAGUUAUAAAGUCAUGGACUUGCUGCUGCUUUGUUACUCAUCUCUAAUAGCUAAGGGCACCAGCAUUGGAAGUUUAUUAGGGGGGUUCACACGUUUCCCGAAAUUUUUUUUUAUUAUAUUAUGCUACAGUCACGACUCUGUCUCGCCGCGCUUCUUCUGNNNNNNNNNNNNNNNNNNNNNNNNNNNNNNNNNNNNNNNNNNNNNNNNNNNNNNNNNNNNNNNNNNNNNNNNNNNNNNNNNNNNNNNNNNNNNNNNNNNNNNNNNNNNNNNNNNNNNNNNUUUUUUUUUUUUUUUAAAUUUGAAAAUGUCAAUUUUUUUUUUUUUUUUUUUUUUUUAAAAAAUCAAACGAAAAAUGAAAAAAAAAAUAAUAAAAAAUUCAAAUUAUGAACCCCAACCGGGGGUUCAUUAAUGCGGCUGCUCUAAGCAUGUUUCUAAUAUAUAUAUGUCACUUGCUAUAAUGUAGUGGUGCCAACUUGAGAACAUUAUCGAGAGUAAGUAUAUCAAGUCUGUUCAUCACUCCAUGAUAAAAGAGAAGAUUGUUAACAAGUAAAACACAAACCAUCAUCUAAUAAGCAUGUAACUAUGAAACAACACACAGCGCAAGGAAAAUGGAUUACAUAAAAAAAUCAAUCAUGAGUGUAUAUACAACGCUUUAAAGACUUGAAGCAAUACUAGCAUAAGAUGAAAACAGUAGAUGCUUCUGCCUUGUCAUUCCACUAAGCUCAUGUAACUUUCUUUUAGUUGAUACCAACAAGAGUAUAAGCUCACCGCACAGUAUAAUAAUAAGCAUAUUAAGUAAAAGGCAGGCGUAUUGUAAGUUCAACACACAAGGCAUUGAGCAGUCACAGCUGAGUCUUGUCAGAGAGUUAAGAGAUGUAAACUACAAGUGUACUAGUGCAUUGUGUGUCAUCCUUGGAGAGGGUAACAUGAUGAGUAACAAGCAUAUCUAAGCCAACAUAAUCAGUCCUUGUGUGUUCUCCCAGUGUUGUGAGGGUAUUUUGGUCAAUUUAAUAAAUCAAAAGGAUUUGUAAUGAUAGAAAACUAUUUUUCCAAUUGAUUCGUUUUAUUAUACGAACCGCAAGUUUUGUUUCUCCGAGCAUCAAACAAAAAUGGCGGCGUCUUCGACCACCACCAACAUCCUUUCCCUUGGCUCUUCUUCAGUUCAUAGGUUCCCUCCAAUCCACCACCACCCUCGCAAUCAUCCUCCUCUCCGUCCCUCCUUUCCCUAUAAACCCUCCUUCAACCUCUCCCUCAAAAACCCUAAAACCAUCGCCGCCGCCGCCUCCGCCUCCGCCUCUGCAUCUCCAACGCUCUCCUCCGCUAAGCCCUCUCCUCCGUUUCCCUUCUCCGAGUCAACCAAAUCAAUCACGACCCUCGCGGUUCUCGCCGGAAUCGUAACCAAAUCCCUUAUCCAGAAAUUCUCCGCCGCCGUCGUAACCCUAUCCCCUCAUAUUCAAGCUUCUAUCCGAGUCUCCGGUCCGCUCUUCUUCGCGGCGGCCCGCGACCGCCCUGCGGGUUAUCUCAACACUCCCCUGACGGUUGUGGCGGCUGGUUUGUCCAAGUGGCUGGAUAUCUACAGUGGUGUGCUGAUGGUUAGAGUUUUGCUGAGUUGGUUCCCCAACAUCCCUUGGGAUCGUCAGCCUCUCUCUGCCAUCAGGGAUCUUUGUGAUCCUUAUCUCAAUCUAUUCAGGAACAUCAUCCCUCCCGUCUUUGAUACCCUUGACGUCAGCCCUCUGCUUGCUUUUGCUGUUUUGGGUACUUUGGGUUCCAUUCUCAACAAUAGCAGAUGAUUGUUAUUACUACUCGGGAGGAUCUUUUGUGUUUUAUUUAUUGUCUCUACUUAUAAGAAGCUAAUGAUUAUGUAUUGGAUCUUAUGGUCUCUGUUUCUGUGGCAAUGAAUGAGUUUGGUUUCAAUACAAGUUGUAUUUGGAUCUAAGAGUUUUUGUUAAUUUCUGAGUUGCUUUUGCAGAUGUUGUUCAGCUUCUGUUCCUAAAACUUGUUACAUCUUUGAAUCUCGUUUUACCAAUUUUUGUUUCUCCAAAGUCUCUUAAAAGAUUUUGAUGCUAUUCAUGUUCAAAUACAAUAACAGAAAGACAUUAAAACGUGGGACGAGUAAAUGUAAUGCGCAAAUUAGUAACUGAAAUUGUGAAUUCCAGAUUCGUUGAAAGCUUUACCACUGGCUUUGGGGUAUGCUAAUGAAUUGAAACAGUUAGAGCUUUUACAAGUAUCCAGCAGUCACUUUUGACACAGUUUGAGUCUUCUCAGAGAGUUAAGCGAUGAAUACUACAAACUGCACUAGUGCCUCGUGUGUUCCUUAGAGAGGCUGACAUGACCAGUAAGUUGCUUAUCUAAGCAAAAACAUAAUCAGCCAAAAAGGGAAUGAGAUCAAUGCUUACAAACUCAACAAAGACCAAUCUAGCACUAUAGUUCUGGAAAUCUGCAAUUAAUUUCAUUUGUUCUUGGUGUUGUAUAAUAUUCAUACGCUGAAUGAUGAGCUUGAGCUAAAGCUUUAGCCACUUCAGAUUCUCUAAUGAAAUUUUCGGUACAUUUGGGUUUGAGGUUUUAUAACAGUAAACCGAGAAAGAAAAGAUACAAAUCCAAAAAAAAGUAGUUGUUGGGUGUUUAGUUUCUAAGACCCUCUUUCUGUUGCAUUUGCUUUCUCAGGUUCCCAAGAGGUCCAUAUCCUUUAUCCUUCUCUUCACUGCCACAAUCACACUUCCUCUUAUUCAGAUUCGCACCACACUUCAAGCACAUUCCUUUACACGCAGGAUCACAUAUAGCGUUCAUGGUGAUCUCUAAAUGCACCAAGUCUCUUAUAUGCUUUGAGAUAUCUACUUCUUUCACCUCAGGUGGAAAAUGGAGCUUAUCCUCCCAAUCUAUCUCAUCAUCCUCAUCCUCAUCUUCUUCUCCGUCGUCCAAAGAAAAGGAAUUGGCUUUGUCAUUACCGAAUGUGAAUCCUAGAUCAAUGACAUCCGGUUCUUCAACUGGCUCUUCGGUUAGUAACAACGAGAAGUUGGAGAAGAUGCUCUCACCUGCUUCCUCACCGCAUCUUCAACACACAUAAGGAAAAAACAAGUAAACAACAAAGUUGAUGCAGUGACAAGACUAGUAAAGACUCAUAAGAAAGCUACCUGUUGCAGCCAAGUGUGAUAACGGUCCUGACAAUCCCAUCGAGUCUCAGCUUCUUCUUCUUCCUUAUGACAUCAACCGAAACUUGAACGGGUGUCCCGUCCGGAAAAUCCUUGACAUCUUUUGUCACUCUAAGUCCCAUCGAAGAAGCCCUCUUCUUCGAGACCUCAGUGGACAGCUUCCCCAACCCAAGCCUCUCUAAGGUGGUGCAGUAUUCAACGUGUGUGACUGAAGCAUUUCUCCGGUACAUAACCGAACCUUCCCAUGGUGAACCGGUAUCCUCCACGUCCUCUUGAUCUUCCCAAUCCAUAUCUAUCGUGCUGUUCUCUGUAAAAGACUCCGGACUAACUAGUAUCUGACUCUUUGUUAGCCUACCAAAAUUAUGUGAUUCUGCGAACAUGUAACUGAUGUGCUUCCUGACAUUAGUGUAGCUGAUGGAAGAGCAUAGAGUUAAGGUACGUGUUUUGAGUUUCAGAAAACGUGGACUUGACUGUUUGGUCUGUGGCAAGGGGGGAGCUACACGAGAUGAAGAGCAAAGCAGAGACAUUUUUACCGCACAGGAGGCACUUGUAUGUAGGUUUGUCAAGUUAUCAUACUAAGACAGGAUGGAGGACACAAGUAGAGAAGAAUCAAGUACCAGCCUUUCACAACACCUGCAAGAAACAUAUGAUGUUGCAGUGUUAAGACAGGAAGAUUCACAAGAAGUAUUAGAAGGAAACUAUUGUAAAGGAAGUAAAGCAAUUCGAGCUAGUCAUUUUGUCGAACACCUGCUAUGCAUCUUUUCAUAUAGAUAAAGGUCACACCUCUCGACUUCCAAUUUACAGCCGAUAAACAAAACCAUGAUCGAAAUUUUCCAAAUCGUCUAGUGUACAAGAAAAGAAAAAAGAAGGGUUUAAGGUAUGAGAUUGCUUACGGACAAAACUCGCUUCAGGACUGGACUGUGUUCCUUUCCUUUAACACUUUAGAGAGGAAUCCUUGAUUUUAUGCUUGGAAGGAAGAGAACAGCUUCCCUCGUUUAUCUUAAACCUCCACCCAAUCCACUCCUUACUCGGUCCAAUUCGGUUCAAAUUCUCGGUUUACUCUAACCAAACAAAAUUGAAGUGAUAAAUUCAUUCCCUAAUAGCCAUGAGGGUUCGGUUCAUCCAGUUAAUUUGGUUGGGGUAGUGUGGUUUCUGAUAACUGAGUUUAAAAGAGUAUUUGUUUUUGGUAAUAUUUUGUUUAAAUUAAUUUGGUUAGUUCUAAAUAAAUUCAAUUAUUUUUUAUUUGAAAUUUUGGUUAGUUCGGAAUUUGGUUAAAACCAAAUAAAUUUGAAAACCGAACUAAUCGAAUAUCAUACCAAACAUGAAUUUUAAUAAAUGUGCCAAACUGUACCAAAUUCAUCAUCAAACAUGGAUUUAAACCAAAAACUAGAUUUUGACUCGCACAUCCACGCAACUAUUUCUUUUCAAUUUUAUAAUAUAUAACAUUCAUAACUGAUCGGCAUUUUUUAUUGUUUGUAUAUAUGUUUGUUAUAUGUAUCGUGGUUGGAUGUUAAAUAAAUAAAGUGAUAUAUUACAUAAAUUAUUUGUCAUAUAGUUAUGUUUUACUAUAUGAACUAUUGUUCUAUUGUUUUUUUUAAUAAAUCUAACCAUUACUAUGUUUCUAUAUACUAGUACAUUUAUUUUCAAAAAUAUAUAUUUAUAGCCAAUUAUAAGUUAUUCUUAGAUACUAACUAAUUAAAAUAAUAAUAUUAAUUGUAAAAAAAAAUUGACAUUACAAAAUUCUAAACCCUAAACCUUAUAACUCAAAUUUUAAACACUAAAACUUAAACUUUAGUAUUAACAUUAGACUUAGAGCAUCCACAAUGUGAGCUCUUAAGGGAAUCCUUAGAGGAUGUGGAGCCCACUUUCUUAGAGUUUGUGCAAAAAAGAAUCCUUAAAAUCCUUUGAUAAGGAUUGAUCCUUACACUGUUCACGGGUUCCAUUGACUACGUGGCAGCCCGUGAAUGGUCAUCUUUUUUUUUCUUUUUUUUUAGAAAAAUCCAAAAAAUCCAAGAUUAAUCUGAAAUGCCCUUGUGCUAAGGACUCCAAUGAGUCUCACCAUUGCGGAUGGUCUUAUAGCUCAAUCUCUAAACACUAAAUCCAAGAGUUAAUCUUAAACUCUAGGGUUAAUCCUAAACUCUAAGAUUAACCAUAAACCCUAGGGUUUAGAGUUUAAGGUUUAGGGUUUUUAGGGUUUAAGAUUUUUCUGACACCGUUUAGGGUCUAAGGAUAAUCCUAAGUUUUAUGGUUAACCCUAGGACUUAAGAUUUAGAGUUUAGUGUUUAGAACUUGAGCUAUAAGGUUUAGUGUCAAUCCUAGAGUUUAAGGUUUAAUGUUUAGAAUUUGAGUUAAAAUGUUUAGGGUUUACCAAGUUUACAAUGUCAAUAGUAUUUUUAUUUUUUUUCAUAUUUUUUUCAUUAAGAAAGUAACACAUGACAGUUUUUUAUUAGUUAGUAUCUAGGAAGUUUUUUAUUGGUUAGUAUCUAGGGGAUGAACCUAUAGAUUCAUCAUAGAGGGUCAACCUAAGAAUAACUCUAUAAUAUAUAUAACAUACUCUAGUUUUACAUGUAUAUUUUCUUCUUUGUCAGAAAAAUGUAUAAUUUCUUUCAAAUAUGCUUAUCUUUUCCUUUUUUUUUCCUUCAAAUAUGUUUCAGUUAUGUACACAUGUAUUCCCUCUUUGAUAUAUUUCAAAAUCAUUUUUUAUUGAUAUAAUUUUUAAUUGGGAAAAUUUGCCAAUUAACCAAUUUGUCCAAUUAUGCUCUUACCAUUUACCGGUGACAGAGAGCAAAUGAUGAUGUCGACGAAAACACAUAUGGCCAGAAGAAUUAAGGUUUAAGAUGGACAAUCAAAAAAUAACUACGAUGCUCAAUUAAUUAUCGUAAACACUUAUCGUCGAUAAAAUUCAUUUUUUUUUAUUUUUUUUGUUUUCUUUGCUACGACCAUCAUAGUAGAUGUUCCAAAAGAUAAAAUACAAACAUAGUUAACAAAGAAAGAUGACAAACGACGGCGCGGUGCCGGCGACAUUGUUUUCUAUGUACAAUCUGAACACCCAUAAAUAGUACAGAAUAAAAAGUAUCUUCUAUUUACAAAUGAAUUAAAACAUAGUAUAUAGUAUAGCACAAUUUAGUGAAAUUAUCAAAAAAAUAUGUAAAGUAUCUAAUUUGCUUUAAAUCAUAAACAUGACCCUCAACCUCGCCGCUUUACAAAUACUAAACCCUAAAUCACAAUCACUAAACCUUAAACCCAUAUAAACCCUAAAUUCAAACAUCAAAACAUGAUAAAAUAAUGUAGAGUUAGAAGAUAUACAACACAUUUUAGAAACCAUCAAAUAGAAUAGAACAUGAUAAAAUAAAUAUAGUAGUAGAAGAUGAAAUGGAAUAUCAAAUGAAUCGGUUAUUACACCAGUUAUUUAAAGAGUAAUUUAGUAAAUAUGUUAAAAAAUAUGUUGAAUGUUGUGGUCAAUUUUUUUUACCUAGUUGGUGAAUUAUAAUUUGUUUGGUUGAAUAUUGUGGUCAAAUAAAAGCGGACAGUCUUGCGCGAAAUGCCAGGAAUCAAACGUGUUUCGUUGUUGAUAUGGAUGCAGAGUUACCAGUUUGGUUUGCAGAGUCUAGCUAGAACUUGUUUAAGUUGAUGAUAGAAAAAAAAUUGUUUGGUUGUCAUACAAUCCAAUUUUCCUUUUGAAUUUUGAAUUGUUUCAUUUGAUUAUUGAGAAGCUGGCCUGAAGCCACAAAAGGUCAAAAGUUAGUCAUAUGACUUUUAACAAUGAAUUGUUUGGAAAGUGAUUUGAUUAUCUUAGAUAAGAGCAUGUUAUAGAAGUGUUUACUCCAAGGAAUACACAACGCACUAGUGUAGCGUGCAUUGGUUUAACUAUUGUUACAGUCCGAAACUCAAUUGUUCAAAAGUGAGUGGUCAAUCCUCGUAAGGUGAGCUUAUAACAAUAAUGCGUGUUUUUGACUUAACAAUAUUAGUACUCUUGGUAUCAACUAAAAGUUAGAGAUGAGCCUUGGGCUAUUUUGGAGCCUGAAUUUAAGGUAAAGCAUCUACUGUUUUCGUGUUAUGUUAUUGCUGCAAGUCUCUGAAUACAAGUCUUCAGUUGCAUUGUACAACUAAUGAUGAAUAUUGCAUCGUAAAUUAAUUAUAUUUUGGAAUAUGGUCUCACUGGACUGUUGGGGUCUCUUAUGCCAAGUGUUGUUCCAUACAUGCUUACUUGGAGUACAAGACUGGGAAGAACAGAGAUGAAUGACUUUUGAUUUGUAAACUGGUUUAAUGUCGAUUUUUUAGCAAAUGCAAGAGGAAUCUGUGUAAAUAUCUCAUCUGUUGUAAAGAAGACAUUUUAAAGUGUUACAGUUAACCAACAUAUCUUUCAACCCACAUAAUGGGUUCUUUACCAUAUAUGCCUUUUAAGAUUCUUCCUACUAAAAAGAAAACAUUACUAUAUCGCGUGACAUGAGAUGCAAGAAACAUAGAUGCUAACAGCUGCUUCAAGGCCAAGCGAAGUCAAGCUGGUUGUUAUCAACAUCCCAUACCCCAAGACCGAUCUCAUCAAACAACUGCUCAUGGCUCCAGCUUGAGUACCCCACGAAAAACCAAUAAUCACUUGGAUUCAAAUCUCUAGACUUAACUCUUGGAUACGACGGGCCACCGACUCAUGAUCAAGGAAAUACACGCCUGGUGAGAGUUCAAGAUCCGUGGAGGGGUCUCCCUCUCGGCUCAGAGCCAUAAGCGGCUUUUCUCUAUCCAUCACUGGACCUCCGAGAGAUAGAAUCGUGUCUUUCAAGAGCUCAGCUGUUUGGCCUCCGUCCAGGUCAGGGUACGAUGACCAUCGUAACCGUUUGUUGAAGAUAACACCCAUGAAACCGGAUUCUUAGCCUGCUUUUAGUAUCAGAAUCUUUGAUUUUGCAAACGGUAGACUGUCUCCUAGCCUUUCUGUAGCAAAAGGGAUUGUGCCAACUUUCACUUUGGGAGCAGCCAGUUUGUUGAUCAAAGCUUGUUUGUGUUCCUUCUUCCUUUUCCAGACAGAGUAGGAAUGAUUCCUGCAAGAGUUAAGAUUCAUAACUUGCUUUGUUUAGGCUCCAGCUUUAAAAACCCAAAAGCCCUUCCUCGGCGAAACAAAUGCUGUUUUCACAACCAGCUAAGCCAGAAGAAAACAAGUUACUGCGAAAAAACAAGGUAACUAGUUGUGAGGCAUAUUAAGAUCCUGCAGAACUAUGUUCCUUCGAUAUUAUUUUUAUCUGGAAAUUCAGUUACUGUGGCCAUGGUGUGCCUUCAAAGAUAAUAUUUAGCAUAUGUGUAAAGAAGUGAAUAAACAAAGGGUGGAGAUGUCGACUUACUGAAAAACUCAAGAGAGUUAUUUGUUAUGUCAGUUACAGACAUCUCCCCUUCAUAUAAAAUGACUUUGUUUCUCUCUGCUGGAAAGAACACCACGGAAGGAUACACUUCUCUCUGCAACGUUACACGUUCAUAGAGCGAGUGAAUUCUAGAUUCGGAAAAGACACUGGUGUAUACUUAACUCUCAAUAUAUAAAUGCAAUGGCACUACUAUGAAUAUGCAAAUACUAGAAUUUAAUAAAACAAACCAGACUAGAAUCAGACAAGCUAUCAUGAAAAGUACCUGAUUUAUUGAGUUUAGGAUACUUGCUACUAGUUGGUGUCUCUACUUCAGAACAGAAAAAACAGCAGAAGAAGACGAAGAAGAAAAUUUGAAUACAUGUCCAUCGCGAAAUCUCGAAUUAUAUAUGUCAUUUCAUGAUUUUCUAUUUUUCUUGCAACAUCUCUUCUGAAAUGAAAACCCCAACUUUGUCCUUUAUAUUGUCAGAUUUGAAGUAGUUUAAGUUACAGAGAGUGGAUUCUACCAAUAAAUACAGAAAAGAAGCACACGAUCCCACUUAGCAAGUUACACUCAUUUAGAUACUACAUGUGUUUGUAGUACCCAACAAGUGGAAUAAAGAUACCUGAAUAUGCAAAAUUAACUAAAACGUAUGGACAUAAAAAGAAUCUUACCUCUGAGACUAUGGGAUUUUCGUUCUUUAAGAGUCUCUGAAUGUCAUCUCCAGCCUUGAGAAUCUUUGAACAAUGUGGACAUCCUGCCAGCUGAAGGACCGCUGUCCACGAAUCAGAUUCUCCAACAGUAAAUGGUGAAGCCAGUGAUUUUUCUGUGAUCAGACCAAAUUUUUGCCUUUCAGAAGGCAGGGAAAACUCUUUUGCGGCGGCAAUCAAUUUCGAGAGGAAUGAACUGAAUUGCUUGUACUGUUCAUGGUUACAUGUCUGUCCAGAACCCCCGUUUGCUCUGUCAUUCUCCUGCAAAGCAGCAGUAUCAUUGACAUAGCUAAAAUCCUCAAGCCAAGGAACUCUACCAAAUCCGCUUUGGAGUCUACACAUCGGUUUCCAUUUUGCAUGGUCCGUUACUAGGGCACGAAGAAAAUGGCACAUUAUGGAGACAAUACACAAACAGUAAACAUAUCAACAAGGCCUAGACAUAAAAGUGAGAAUCUACCAGCCACCUUCUGGUUAUUUUUUCCUCUUAGCUUUAGCACUCGGUCGGUUUCAACUUUUUUGGAGAAGUUACCUGCAAAGUUGGAUUCAGAAUGACACUCUAGCUUUUGAUAAACAGUAACAAAGAUCAUAUGGCACUAUUGCCACCACAUAGUUUAUUGAUGAUUGAAGAAGGACCAAUGCAUUACUGGUAGAAAGCAAUCUAGUGAAAGCAAAACAAAAACAUAUAAGAAGAGACUAAUCUCACGGUAAGAUUAAUAGACUAGAAAAUAAAUGGCAUAUUUGCUUGAGAUUUUAGAUAUCAGAUGUCAAAAUUUAUACUCUAAACUCUAAAGAACUAAUACUCAGACAGAGUUCACUCACCUUAACAAAGUAAUAAACUAAAUGUACCAGGAGUUCAAGAAAAACUCUUUAGAAAUCAAAUCAUAUAGUAAACAUAAAAGAUCCAGAGUCAACUCAACCUCCGGAUUUGCAUAUUUUACUUGGAUUUAUAAAUAGUAUAUGGAUUCUAUCAAAAUAUAUAAACCAAUAAAUCUCCUUAGUGUUUUGAGUCUUCGCGUAAGAUGGAGCAACUAUCGACAUUAGGUUCUUUUUUACCCAGGGAUCUAACCUCAGAGAUUCUUUUACGAUUGCCUGCCAAAUCUGUUGGGAGAUUUCGUUGUGUGUCGAAGCUUUGGUUAUCAAUCACCACCGAUCCAUGUUUCAUCAAGUCGUUUGGAACUACACGACCAAGUCUUCUACUCUGUUCAAUACAAGGUCACAAUAUGUUUGUUACUCCUUCUACUAUCAGGUCAUACUCUUCUUCUCAGCCUAUUUAUCCUUAUCCUAUGAAAGUUCUAGGAGAACAUUGUUACUUCUCCCAUAUGGAUUCCGUGCAAGGUUUGAUCUGCAUUGUAGAUGUAGACUCCCUGAAGCCCCUAGUUUGGAACCCGACCAUGGGACAAUUAUUAGUUUUACCAAAACCCAAAUUGAGCUCCAGACAUAUGAACGUGUUUUUAGGAUAUGAUCCAGUCCAAGGUAAACACAAAGUAGCAUGUUUUCCUUGGGGAAAACAUGCUACGUCUGCCGAGUUUUUACCUUGGGAUCAGGGCAAGAAUCAUGGAGGACCGUCAAAACUAACAUUGAGCAUAGUGUUGCCUUUGCUUCUGGUCGAUGCAUCAUGGGGGUGAUAUAUUAUCUAGCUUUUAAAAGUGAAGGGUAUGAUGCGGUUGUUAUGAGCUUUGAUGUGAGAUCCGAAAUAUUCCAUAUGAUAGAACUACCCUCAAGUAUUCAUUGGGAUUCGCUGAUAACUUACAAGGGGAGAUUAGCUUGUAUUGAUGCAAAUAAUGAUAAAAGAUUGUGGAGUUUGGAGGAUGCAACAGAUAAACACAAGUGGUCGUUUCGAGACUUUCUCUCACCUUUAUACAAGAUGUUUGAACUACAAGGUUCCACUCAUGCUGGUGAGUUUAUUUAUGUACCGUUCAACAAAUCACCUUAUAUUGAAUUGUACGAUCCGGUGGGAAACAGUUGGAGAAGACUCGAAUUUGAAGGACUCGAAUUUGAAGGAAUCUCAGACGACGAAUUUGAACACACUAAGGCUUUCACGAAUCACACUGAAAGUCUUAUGCCUUUGUAACCUUUAAAAUAGUCUUACGUCUUUGGAACAAUUUGUUUUUUGCUCUAUUUUUUCUUGGAUUUCAUUGCAAGACUUUUUAUAAAGCAUGAAUUGCUCAAGCUAGGAACAUUACAAACUAUGUUUUGACUUUCAAAUGAUCUGUAGAUCACAUGAUUCUCAUGGAUAGAUGAUAUGUUUGCAUAUAGAAACAAAGCGGCUUACUAUCACACUAUGACAAUAUGAUAUGAAAUUUGUUCACUUACAUAUUUUUUUCGCUUAUUAAUGGUUGGUAAAAUAUAAGGUCGAUAAUGGUUGUUUGUUUCCCAGCCGGGUUUUUUUUCUUGAACAUGGUGAACUUUAUAAAAUGAGUAUUCUAAAGCCUUUUUGGAAAGUUAUUGUAACUAAGCAACUAAGGUCGAUAAGCGUUAUACGUAGUACGUUUCUAUGAGUUAUUGUAUUGUAACUAAGCUUGUAAUAUAAGUCACGAACUAAUAAGUGAGAAAUGGCGCAAUAAUAAUCUGAGUUUCUCUGCAACUGAUACGAUUGGUUUCUCUGCAAUAGGUUACAAGUAUCUCAACAUAGGUAAAACAAAUAAAACCCUUUUGGUGUUUCUUACUUUGUUUUACUUCUCUCUCUGUUUUCUAAUAAUUGUGUACUGUUUUCUCUGUGUUUAUAGAUGAUUGUUGGGUGUACAUAAGACAGAUUCUCAGGUUAUAGAGACACCAAAACAAGAAAUAUUUUGUUUGUUUUUACUAAGAUGUUUUCACAAUUUAAGAACCAAACUAAGAUGUGUUUUUGAUAUAUAAUUGACAGGGAAAUCUGCUGCGAUGAUCAAAGCUUUAUCAGAUUAUGUUCACAGCAGAGGGCUUAUAUACACAAUUUUCACCAAUUAUUAUGGCAAGGCAAGUUAAAAAACAGGUUGAGCUUUUUAAUCUAUCUACUAACAAUUUUAAGACUAUCUCUCAUUUAGUUUCGUAAGAGACCUCUGGUGGAUGGAUAUAGAUUGGUGCUAAUUUCAUCUUUUGCUUCAGCGUUGCUCCUUGAUUAUUUUUUGAAUGAAUUGGCUGAUCAUAUGGGAACAUACAAGCUGAAGGAGGAAACAGACGACUUGGUAGCAACCAGGGAGAUCUCAUAACAUGAUAAGUCCCAUUCAGAUAUGCAAACAGCAGCUCCUUUUCGACAAGUCAAUGUGAAUAUCGAGAAAACAACAAAUGAAGUGACUAAGAGAAUUGCGCACCUCCUAUAUGGUAACUCCCACACACAAAUUAGUCGUCUAUGUUGUCCUUGAUUUCAUGUUGUAGCCAUUAACGAUUAUGUAUCUAUUCUGAACACAUGCAACAGCCUAAAGAGUGAGAUUUCCUAUUUCAGAACGACAUCAAGCUUUAAAUGUGUUCUAACAAACUUACAUCCAACUGUGUGCUCUGUAGAGGCCCACAAGGCGGCUGCAGCAUUCAGGGAAGAAAAUUGAAAUCACACCUAGCGGCCCCUACCGUGCUCUUACUCACCACUGUCAAGCCCAAAAUCAUUGGAGGUGAACGCACUUUCUUAUACUCACCAGGUUAAUUUCCCCAAACACUUGGGCAACUAGCACAUGUUAAUAUGGAAAGUGGUUCGGUUCACACGUUGGCUUAGCUUAGUUAGUAUGUUUUGUUGAUGCACUGUGUAGUACAAUCUUCUGUAUUCAGAUAACUACACUUUUGACUGUCUUCUCCAUGCUCAUGACGUCAGGGAGAGUGGCGCUUAGCUCCAUACCAUCAUCACAGUUCUUUUCUUAUGACGAAAUCUCUCUCACCAAAGAACAUCUAACAUGGUAGGAUGUGCUAGCCUCGGACACUUUAGCUAAUUGUCAGAGAAGUCUAAGCUUUCCUAACCAAAUAGCCAGCUCAAGCUAUUAAACAAAUAAAAAAAUUUGUUUUGAUGAUUUACGCAUGGCAUAUAAGUUUAUCGUGUCUUAAUAAUUGUGAAAAGUUACAAUAAAAAGUAUGAAUUCAGUUUUUUUUUUUUUGAUAUAGCAUAAUCCAAUCACAACAAUCUGAAAAGUUUGGACGAGCAUUGCAAUGCACAACCCGACAAAGAAUACAUAAGAACAUACAUUAUAGUAAAUGACAAAGAAAAUAAACAAAAUAAAGCAGAUAUUCUGCCUAAACAAAAAUAAAUCUCAUUCAAAGGAUCACAACUAUAGUACAGUCAACAGUAAUGAUUUUGACGCACAAAAAUAUAUAACCAAGAAGCUAAAAAUAUAUAAAUUCAAACACUUAAAAAAAUCAAAAUCUCCGCUCAAACCAACCUAGUAUUGAAUAAAAUUAUACAAGAUUAGUUUUGCAAAACAUAAAUUACUACUUUUAGAUUAUUUUUCUUCGUUUUCCAAAGUUUUUAAAUCUAGCUGAAAAUUUUAUAUAAAAAAUAAAAAAUAAGCUUGCAAAGAUUUUUUUCGGAUGGCCCCAUUCUUCAAGAAGAGAAACAUUUUCUAUGUUUCCUACAAAUUGAUUCAUUGGGUUCUCUCAUCUCCUGCAGGUCCGUGUACUUGAAUUGACACACUCUCUUUUGGACCUUGCUUCAUCAAAUCAAUUUUGUUGUGGCAUCUCCUUCAUGUUUGUUCUUCUGCCAAAACUGCGGUAUACUCUUCUUGUUUUACAUCUAAGAUCUUAUCAACAACAGCUUCUCCUUCACCCUGUAGAGCUCGCACCAGAUCAUCAACGCUCCUGUCAGUUUCCCUUACAUCUUAAGAUGAUGUUGUAUGCUCAUCCUCAGGUUCCUUAGCCGUAUCAAAACCGGACAAAGCUUGCAAGGGUGGAGUUGAUGAAGAAGCUAAAGAUGUUGUUGCAUCACCCAAUCCUUUGGAAAGGCACACAUAUUUGAACACGAGCUGUUUAUAACUAUUUAACAAGCUUUCAACAUCUCCUAUCCUCAAAUCACCAGUGUUUGCAAAUAAGUAAGGAUAUUCUUGGGAGAUUUUGUUUGCCUUGGCAGCACCCUUAUCUUCCAAAUCUGAUACGGAUUCAACUUUCUUCAUUGGUAUUUCACUGUUGGCGUUGACUAUGUCACUGGUUCCAGAGACACUAUCAGACGAUCGAUCUUGACUGGAAAAGAGUUGUUUCUCUCUUGGGGUUCAGCAUUUGGGUUUUAUGAACAGUGGACUCGUCACGAAGGGGUGGUGGUGCAGUAGGCUGGUUGCUUAAGCCAGAGAUUCGUGCCCGUGCAGAUUCCAUGUUCUUCUCAAACUCAGCUUCAUCCAUUGAGAGUGACUUUGCAUCAAUGUUUGAGAUGAAAGACUCUGCAGAGAGUAUGUUUGUGAAGAAGUAAGCAGCUUCACCAAUAAGUUUAGAUUCACGCCUAUAUCUUUGUACAUACAACAGGUUUGAGUGAAGCUGUGGAGGAUUAGCCUGCGAAAAGAGAGUACAAAAUGAGCACUAGCACACAAACAAACACAAACAUGCAUUAAAAAAAAAAAAAAAAACUGAAAUGUGGAGGAUUAGCCUGCGAAAAGAGAGUACAAAAUGAGCACUAGCACACAAACAAACACAAACAUGCAUUAAAAAAAAAAAAAAAAAACCUUUAUUGUACACUACAAGAAAACAUAUUUUUUACUAGGGCAGUAUUCGUUGUAAAUUCGUCGUAAACGGGGUGUUACGACGAAUUAACGUCGAAAGACGUUUCGUUGUUAAACGUCCGUCGUAACGGAGGUUUCGUCGUAAACGACACGUUACGUUUACGACGAAAUAUAUUCCUCGUAAAGCGCAGGGAAAGGAUUCGUCGUAAACGCCACGUAAGACUUCGUCGUAAAGCCCACGUAAUUAUUUCGAUGUAAAGCACACGUAAAUACUUUCAUUGUAAAUCACUCGUAAACAUUUCGAUGUAAAAUCCUCGUAAAUAUUUCGAUGUUAAUCACUCGUAAACAUUCGAUGUAAACUCCAUGUAAUGUUUACGAGGAGUUUACAUCGUUUCUUAUUAUAUUAUUAUUAAUUAGUAUAUAAUAGAUUUUAAUUUAUAUUUAAUAUUCAGAAUUUUAAAUAAUUUAAAUUUUAAAACAAAAUAUGAAAUUGGAAAACAUAUUUUAAAAAGUCAUACAAUAAUAUUUAAAUUCAUAAUACAAACAGAAAAAAAAAAAAAAAACUACAUAUUGUCGAAGUAGUUGGUGGGGUUGCUCGGCUGUUGACGGGUUGGAUCGGACUCUUGGGGAUCUCGUGGUGGCAUUCCAAGAGCGGCUCGUCUCUCACUCAACAUUCUCUGCAUAACCGGGUUUCCCACGGCCACCACGUCUAGCAAAUCCUCAAGAGAGUCUAAACGAACCUGCUGGCUAUCCAUUUGAGCCUUCUGGCUAUCCAUUUGAGCCUUCAUCUGAGCAGUCUCUUCAUCCCGUCUCGAAGUGUAUGACGAAGUUGCCCUUGCAACUUCGUUAACAGAGCCUAUACCGACUAUCCGUCCCUUCUUUUUAGGAGCCACCUAUAAAAUCAAAACAUAUAUUAAUAUAGUUAAUUAUGUUAAAAUAUUUAAAAUAAUGUAAACUAAAAUUUUAAGUUACCUCUUCGAAGAUUCUGUCGACCUCUUGGGUGGACAAUGUGACUGGUAAUCCAUAGGAAGAUUCCUGGGUUAGUUGCGUCUCCCGUUCUUCAAUCCGACCAUCCACUGUUCGGAAGAGUUUCUCAGAUGCAGGAUCCACAAAAACUCCGUCGGAUGUGGCGUGAGUCAUCUUGAAUAGGUUAGACAGAGAAGGUAAGACUCCCGUCUUCUCGAACUACAAAAAAAAUUAAAUUAAAUAUUAUAAAUUAUAUUAAUUGAAUAUUUUAAAAUAUAUAUUUAAAACAAAACUUACAGCUUCUAGACGGACUCCUGCAUGAGGUUUUUGUCCGGUUCUGUGAAGCAUGGACAAAUGACCAUCUUUAUCCUUCGUCCUUCGAGAAGCCGAGCACGAAUUGGCCUUUCUGAUCGAAGAGGGGUGCUCCCAAUAGGCGAUGAGGCCAUCCCACACAUCCGUCGUGAGCUCAGUGGGCUUUCCCUCAUACCCGUAGAUCUCCCACUUGUCCUUCCAAUCAGAGACUGUGUUGCAGAGGCGUAUCUUUGCCUUUGCAACGAAUUCCACCUUCACCCUCUCGGUGAUUCCCAAAGACCAAUGCCACUUUUGCUGAAACAUAAAAUUUUGAAAAAAUUACAAUUAAUAAUAAAUAUUAAAAAUAUAUAUAUAUAUUUAAAAGUGAAAAUUUAAUUAAAUUUAAAAAUCUUACCGCAAAACAUUUAAACCACGUGAUCUUAACGUGAUUUGGUGUCUUGCUCCAGUUCGGGUAUGCCCCGUCGUAGUAACCCUUAAUCGUCGCCGAAAUGCUCCGGCUAACACGGUUGUUAGCCCCAAACCUGAAAAAAAACAAUUUAACCGUUACAAAAUAAAAAUUAAAUAAAUUUUAAAGUAAUAAAAAUUAAUAACUUACCAAUAAGUUUCUCGGGGUCUAUCGGGGUCUAGAACAUCCAAACCCUCCCGUCCAGGCUGGGCAAGCAAAUCCUCCACCGUAUAUCUCGCGAAGGGAACAUAUGAAGGCACACGCAAAUCCGGAUGAACUGCACCUUCUGGGACAGGCUCAGGUGCAGCCGCUGGAGGAGGAGGUGGAGGCAUCUGCGGUGGAAGAGGAGGACUCGAAAAAACUCUCUGAGAAGUCUGAGAGUCUGGAACUGCAUCGGAAGACGAUGGACUGGAAGAAGAUGUACUGGAACCAUCGCCAAACAACUGGGCAUAAGUAGGUGCUGCUGGUUUCCUUCUAGGAGCCAUCUUAAAAAAAUUUAAAUAAAUUUAAUCAAUUAUGACGACAUAAUUAAAAAAUUAUUCCGUUACCUAACUAAUCACCUAAACUAUAGGAUUCCGUCAUCUAACUAAUCACCUAAACUAAUUAUCUAAAUAAUCACCUAAACUAAUUACCUAACUAAUUAAUAACCUAAACUAACUUAAAAAAAAAAAAAAAAAAAGAGGGAAGAGAAUGUACCUUAGGGAGAGGAGAGGAGUUUGGGAGGAAUGGACGAGGCAGCCUCGUCUCGGCGUCCCAAUAUAUAGAAAAUGUUUCGUCGUAAACGCGACGUAACAUUACGACGAAGUUACCAGGCCCGCGUUUUUUCAUUUACGACGAAGUUACCAGGCCCGCUUUUUCGAUUUACGACGAAAUUACGUCGAAACAUCGGUUUACGACGAAUUUACAAGGCCCACGUUUACGACGAAGUUACCAGGCCCGCGUUUUACGACGAAUUUACAAGGCCCACGAUUUACGACGAAUUUACCAGGCCCGCUUUCCUGUGUGAUCGGUGUACAGCUCGCCUGGUGCAUGAAUGUCUCUAGCCCGCUCAGAAAUGCGUUCGUCACCCUCCCGUCGGAAUCUUUGUGCAAAUACAUCCAACUCCGUAACUCGUAAAUACUACCGCCACCGGCCAUUUUUUUCUAAGAUUUUUUUUUGAAAUCUUUUUUUUUCUGAUUUUUUUCGAAUUUUUUUUCUCCCGUUUGUGUGUUGUGAGGAAGAGAGUUGUGGGAAAUGACAUAUAUAUAGAGAAAUUUUCGAGUUGGGUAGUUGAAAUAUAACAACGAUUUUACAAGGAAUAUUUUACAUGGUUUUUACAUGGUUUUAACAUAUUAUUUACAACGACUUUACGACGAAAUUAGGUAAGUUAAAGCACGUUGAAUACACGUUUUCACCUAAAUAUAACGGUAACAUGCUUCGUUGUAAUGUCGAUGUAAUGAUUACGGCGUAUUUCUCAUUCCACGUACAUUCGUCGUAAACUUACAUGGAGUUUACGACGAAAUCAGUUCGUCGUAAAUUUACAUGGCGUUUACGACGAAAGUUAGAUUCUUCGUAAUUUCGUUGUAAAGACCAUGUAAAUUUACGAUGAAAUAUUUUCGCUAUAAAUGUUCGUUGUUAUGGGCACGUUUUAUUGUAGUGGUAACAUAUAUCAAGACAGGGAGAAACUCGUUAGCUCUCCAUGUGCAUUCUCAUUUGAAGCAAUGGAAGCGUUUAGGAGUAAAUUGUUUAUCACUUUGAUAUUUAGGUUCUCUAACUCAGAACAUAGUAUUUUUGGUGCAUUUCAAAUGGCCGUGACUCGUGAGAUUUCGUGUUAGUGUAGUAGUAUUAGUAAUGAUUGGACUGUUUGACACAUGAACUGAAAUGCUGACUUCUUUAUAGAGAAGUGCCAAAAAUGCGUUUGUAUUAAACAUUUUGGAGCAUUUGGACCAUUUUGUUUGUUUGUACUAUUAGCGAAAAUUAAAAUUUAAAAGCAAGCUUUUAGAAUAUAUUUUAUUUGUAAAUUGAAAGAGGGAGCCUAGCAUUUGUCAGAAUAUAUAUAAUACUUCUAGGAUCAAUGUUUACAUGAAAAAGACAGACUUCUUUUGUUUGCAACAAUAACACAGGUUACAUAUAUUCAUAAUAUUGGUGAGGUAAUAUGUUAUGAACGAUACUUAGGUUCACUCCUGUGGUAAAUGAUUAAAUUCACCACACUCUUCGUAUCUAACCAAAAUGCCUUGUAAGAAUAGUUUAAAAAGGCAAUAAAAAUAAAAAAAUAAAUAGCUGGAAAAAAAAUAAUACCGACAUUAAUUAGCGUCAUCUGCAAAAUUCUAAAUUCUAAAAACCUAAACUCUAAAACCAUAAACCCUAAAUCCAAAACACUAAACCAUAAACCCCAGUCCUAAAAUCUAAACCCUAAAUUUUAAACCCUAAACCCAAACUCUACGCAAUAAACCCUAAACCCUAAAUCUAAACCCUAAAGCCUGAACCCAAAACUCUAAAUCCUAAACCCUAAACCCUAAAUCCUUAAAUCUAAACCCUAAAUCCUAAACCCUAAAUCCUAAACCCUAAACCCAAAACUUUAAAUCUUAAAACCAAACCCUAAAUCAUAAACCCUAAAUCAUAAACCUAAAACUUUAAAUCUUAAACCCAAACCAUAAAUCAUAAACCCUAAACCCAAACCUCUAAACCUCUAAUCCGUAAACCUUAAUCUUAUUAACUAGCAGAUGGGUUUAUGGUUUAAAGGUUUGGGUUUAGGGUUUAUGAUUUAGUGUUUAGGGUUUAGGGUUUAUGAUUUAGAGUUUAAGGUUUAGGAUUUGAAGUUUUGAGUUUAGAGUUUAGGAUUUGAGUUUAGGGUUUAGGAUUUAGGGUUUAGAUUUUAGGGUUUAGGGUUUAGAAUUGUGGGUUUAGGGUUUAGAUUUUAGGAUUUAAGGUUUAUUGUUUAGAGUUUGGGUUUAUGCUUUAAAAUUUAGGGUUUAGAUUUUAGGAUUGAGAUUUAUGGUUUAGUGUUUCACAUUUAGGAUUUAGGAUUUAUGGUUUUAGAGUUUAGGUUUUUAGACGGCGUUAAUUAAUGUCGGUGUUGUUUUUUCAGCUAUAUUUUAAAAAAAUUUAUUGCUUUUUUCGACUAUUCUUACAAGGCACUUUGAUUAGUUAUGAAGAGUAUGGUGAAUUUAACCAUUCACCACGGGGGUGCACCUAAGUAUUGUUCAUAUGUUAUCGUCCCUUCUCUUUCUUUUAGCGCCAGUAGGUAAGAUGAAAAUUAUUUUGACCUAUAUUUCGUAGAGAGAUGUUUUGAUGUGUGUUACCAACACGGAUCACUCACUGUUUUGUCUUGUCCAUCAUGCCAAGUGGUGUGUCUUUUGGGUUUGAGGUGUACCUUUUCUGUAUGAGUGCGUAGUUAUUUGAGAGUUCAGUGAAAUCAAUCCAAUUAAUAUUUUGCAUGAUCUUCGGAGGUCUUAAUGUACUGGGUUUUUCUUUAGAAAGUUAUGGAUGUUUUUUUCUUAAUUAGUUUUAGGCCUAAUCUAGGUGUGGAAGCACGAUAGCAUAUUGGUUAAGAUUUAAAGACUUUUACAUCCAGAUCUGGGGUUCGAAUUCUAGACUAUGCAAUUUCUAGUAAAUUACAGAAAAUCCAGGUUUCAAGUCUCGGAGAGAGCGAUUUAUUAAACAAUUAUGCAGACUACGGGAAAAAAACUUACAAGGAAUCUUCAACAUAGUGCAAGUAAAUCUGGUCAGACGUGGAUCUUCAUAGAAUGGCUCAAGUAAUGCAGUUAGGUGUAGGUCUUCAUAAGACAUGUAGUAUUGUCGGUUGUCGAAUCGUCUAUCAGUCUAUGUAAUCUUUCUCAUAUCAUAAUUGUAAUAUCAUAAUAAACUAGGUGAUUUGCCCACACAUGCGGGCAUAUUUCUUUUAUAGAUAUUUAUUAAUAAAUAUACUAUUAAUUAAUGAUCAAAAUUUUAAAUCAAACAUUAAAUUUAUACUAUUUUUAUAAAUCUUUCAAUUUCCUAAUUUUAACUUUUAUUGAUUUAAAAGCAUUAUUUUUAUGACAACAUUAAUAUUUUUUAUUUUAAAAUAUGCUGUUAUCUUUAGCCAGUUUUUAUUAUAGUAAUUUAUUAAAAAAAUAUAAUUAAAUAUAUAUAAUUUUUAAUAUAAAGUGGUUUUAUUAAACCAAAUUCUUGGAAUGACAAAAACAUGCAAAAUCUCAAAAUAAAUCAAAAGCACAAAAAUGUUAAAUUGAACGUAACUUUACAUAUUAUAUUAAUCAAAGUAAAUAAAAUUAUUGAUCUAUAUAUAAUUAUAUUGUGAAAUACCUCCUAUAGUAACUGAAUAAACACUUAAACAAACCGAUCAAAAACAAAAAAUUAAUAUGUAAUGUAUAAGAUAAGAUUCUUAUUUAUUUUUAUCUUCAUUUCAAAAUGAUAUAAUAGAAAAAUAUAUGUUAUAGUCAAUUUCUAUAUUUCCUUUAAAAUAAAGAUUGAUAUUUUCUUAUAAAAUAGUAUUUCUUUAUUAUACAAUCAGAACUUCUUUUAACUUUCAAACUUUAAUAAUUAUAACUACAAAAAAUCAUUUUGGAAAAUACAGUUAAAAAAAUAGAAUCACAUUUUCUUUACAUAAUAUUCUUUUACAGAAAUUUUAAUUUAAACAAAGUUAUAAUUAUGUGAAUUUUUCAAAAACAAUUAAGAGUAAAUAUAUUUAAUUUAAAUUUUUAUAAAUAUAAGGUGCUUUUUGUAAAAAAAAAUAUAUUUCGAAAAUAUUAUCUUCUAGAGCCAGAUAACUUGAAAAUAUUUUGAAAAAGAUAAUUCUAUUACCAAUAAAAAUAUUUAGAGAAAGAAAAAUAAACAAAUAUUAUUUUUUUAACUUAAAUAACAAAUAAGUGUUAUUCUUCCAACUGAAUAAUAAGAAUAAAAAUAAAAAUACCAUGACAAAAUAUCACGUAACAAACAAAUAUAGAUCAAUUUUAUUGUUUUUACUUAUAUACCUCUUCUUAGUAUUUUAAUAUUAAAAUAAAUUUAAUAUUUUUUUUUAAAAGGGUUCCAUGAUAUAUUACGUUUACUAAUAAUUAUAAAUAGAUAAUGUUAUUUUUUAUAAACAUAUUUUUAAUAUUUUAGUAUAGUGAUGAAUAUAAUUUUUAUAUUUCCAUAUAUACUACUAAUUAAACAAAUUAAUGGAUAAGAAAGAAAAUUUAAAUAAACACAAAAUAAAUAUAUCGAAAUAUCUCUCUUUUUUCAAAUACGUUUUCUUUUACUUUUUUUUAGAUAGUUUUUUGUAAUAUUAAUUUGUAAUCAAUUAAAUAAUAAAUUAUAUAAUUAUUCAUUAAAGAUAUAAACAACUUUAAUCAGUCUAAUUAAAUUAUUUAUUAAAAUUAAUGACUCAUCCUAAAAUUAUGAAGAACAAGACAACUAAGCUAAUUCACUAAUAUUAAAAUAAAUUUAAUAAUUUUUUUUUAAAAGAAUGCCAUGAUAUAUUACGUUUACUAACAAAUAUAAAUCGAUAUUGUUAUUUUUUAUAAACAUAUUUUUAAUAUUUUAGCAUAGUGAUGAAUAUAAUUAUUAUAUGUGCAUAUAUACUACGUACUAAUUAUACAAAUUAGUGGAUAAGAAAGAAAGAUUUAGAUAUUCACAAAAUAAAUAUAUGGAAUUAUCUCUCUUUUUUGAAAUAUGUUUUCUUUUACUUUUUUAGAUAAUUUUUGUAAUAUUAAUUUGUAAUCAAUUAAAUAAUAAAUUAUAUAAUUAUUCAUUAAAGAUAUAAACAACUUUAAUCAGUCUAAUUAAAUUAUUUAUUAAAAUUAAUGACUCAUCCUAAAAUUAUGAAGAACAAGACAACUAAGCUAAUUCACUAAUAUUAAAAUAAAUUUAAUAAUUUUUUUUUAAAAGAAUGCCAUGAUAUAUUACGUUUACUAACAAAUAUAAAUCGAUAUUGUUAUUUUUUAUAAACAUAUUUUUAAUAUUUUAGCAUAGUGAUGAAUAUAAUUAUUAUAUGUGCAUAUAUACUACGUACUAAUUAUACAAAUUAGUGGAUAAGAAAGAAAGAUUUAGAUAUUCACAAAAUAAAUAUAUGGAAUUAUCUCUCUUUUUUGAAAUAUGUUUUCUUUUACUUUUUUAGAUAAUUUUUGUAAUAUUAAUUUGUAAUCAAUUAAAUAAUAAAUUAUAUAAUUAUUCAUUAAAUAUAUCAACAACUUUAAUCAGAACAAGAAAACUAAGCUAAUUCACUUUUCAAAUAAUAGUAUAAAUCAGCGUUAAAAAAAAAAUCUAGGGUGAUCUGUUAAGCCUACGCCAUGGCUAAACCAACUGCGGGACGGUUUUUGGUUUGGAUUUUUUUGGUAUGUUUUUUUUGUUCCUCUGUUUAUAAUAAUAAUAUGCAAACAUAUUAAAAUAAAUUUUGAUUUCUUUUUAUUUGGUUUAUGUACAUUUUGUUUUUUGCUUAUUUGGAUAUACACCCUUAAAAAAAAGUAUUUUUUAUUUAUAAAAUGUUGUAAAUUUUAGUUAUAUGAUUAUGAAGGAAAUUUAUUAAACGAUAAAGUUGUAUUUUGUGUUUAGGCUAAAAAUGAAUAUUUUUUAAUUUAACUAUUAAGGUAAAAUAAGUACUGAAAAUUAAAAAUAAUUAUGAAUAGAUCCAUUAAAUCAAACUAAGAGUUUAAGAAAAUCAUAGUAUUAUAAAAAAAUACCAAAAUUUUAGGAGUAAAAACUAUAGGGAAAAAUAAUCUAAUGUGAUUAAAUGUAAGAAAAUAUAACUGAAAAGUAAAUAAAGAAUUAUUAUAAGCAACGUUUUAAAUAUGGAGAUCAUAUUGAUUAAUGUAUAUGAAUGAUCAAUUGUAUAGUAUAACUAGUGGUAUUCCGGCGCUACGCGCCGGGUUCAUAUGUUUUAUUCUCUGAUGAGUUCAUACAUUCAUUUGAUAUUGGUUAGUGCAUGCAGUGUAAGUGGUUUUUUUCUGAUCGAUUUAAUAGAAAUAGAAUAAAUAGCUGGUAGUUGCACCAACGCAAAUAUAGUUGAACUUAAAACAUAAAGUAAAAUUGAUGUUCCGAAAGGAAACAAAUGUAAAUGCAUGUGUUUGUUUUGUGAUUAUCUUGUUCGAAGGGAAAUAAUAAAUUCUUUCAUCCUCUUAAAAUAGUAACAAUCCUUGUAUGUUUUGUUAAAGUCAUGGAUGUGGCAAGGGCUUCAUUGUAUACAUGUGUACGUUAAAAGGUAGAACAUUUUAAAUGUUAUACUCCAAAUACGAAAAUUUAGUAGGCGUUAAGUGUUGAGGUGAUGGAAGUUGCGGUGGCCGGUGGAGAAGUAAUGAGACGUACGUCCGAAGAGCUGUCAGUGAUUGUUGAGGCUAGACUCGUCAGCGUGAAGAUGAGCUCUUCAAGUAUGCUAGGUGUCUUCCUCAUCAUCACAAUUUUUCAUUUUCAUACUUAGAUGUCUAUAAUCUACAGUGUAUGUUUAGACAUUUUAAAAAUAUUCAUAAUGUUCUAUGGUCAUAUAAAAGUUUAUGCCGUUAUAUUUCAUAUUUUCUUACAUAAUGUUCUACAUACAUCUAAAAUUGUCGUAUAAGACCGUGAUAUACCUUUUUUCUGCUAAGCAACCGUGAUACUUUAACCGGCAUGUUAUUUUUUCUAUGUUCUGAGACGAGCAUGGUCUUAAGAUCUUAGCCUUCAGAGUAAAUUUUCCAAAGGUUCAAGUAGUGAGAUUGUAAUUACGGUAAAAAUACACACUCAGAAAAGUCAAGGUUCUAAGAGAAGACAAUUCACGUAAUGACUUAAACUCAUCAAAAUAUAAUCAUGUUUUAGGGAGAAUUGCCGAGUGUGACUCAAAACUUGGAGUCAAACCCAAAACAAUACCCCAACUUGGGUCAAAGGCAAAAGUAACCUAAAAGGCUAUUGAAAUUACAACUAUCCCCUUGUGACCAAACAAAAAAACGGAAUUUUUUUUACGUUUCUACCCCUCGCAAGUCGUCUGUUUAGACGACUUGAAAAUAAGUCGUCCAGACGACUUAACUGAAAGUCGUCUGGACAGUUAGUCUUAAACAUAAUUUAAAAAUUUUGUAAAAAAUAUUGUCUUAGGAGGUAUAAUGGGAAUUAUGUAAUUAACAUAUGUCUUAGGAGGUAUAAAUUAAGAUAUAACAAAUUUCAAUUGUUUUCAGCAUAGAUGAGUGAAAGUAGUGAGUCAUGAUAUUCUUUAGUUUAUGUUUCAUCAACAUAUGUUGUAGUAUUGUAUGUGUUCUUAGGGUUAGAUUUUGGAAAGCAUUAAAACCGUUUUUGAAAAUUUUAAAAUUACUUAUGCGUGUUCAUUCCUGUGUAUAGUAAACACUAUUUAAGUAUAAUUUGAUUUUAUAACGUGGUUAGUUAGUUAAUCUAGUCAUUUUAGUUUAGGGGUUCAUUUUAGGGUCUAGGACGACUUAAUAUUUUGUCGUCUGAAAACAGACGACUAAAUAUUAAGUCGUCUGUUGUACAUUAUCAGCCAGAAUAAGUCGUCUAAACCGGACCAAACCUUAAAGUUUACCAAUGUACUUUUAAAGCUAACCGGAUUAUUUACCCAAUAUAUAAGGUGAUUUUUUUUUUGUUUCAUUUUUCGCGAAAUUCAGAAACCCUAACAGUUCUCUAGUGACAAAGGCGAUUUCGAAUUCCCACGAUUUCCGAACAAACCAUCGUUCUCAACGUCGGCUAUCUAUCUCACUUCAUUCUCACCGUUGUCGCCGCAGCUUCUUCUAAUUCUAGCGCCGCCGAUUCCUCUAAACCCUAGCGCCGCCGAUUCCUCUAAACCCUAGCGCCGCCGCUUCCACUAUUUCCGAACAAACCGUCGCCCUCACCACCGUGGUCACCAACGUUCUCACCGCCGCUUCCUCUAAACACUAGCGCCGCCGCUUCUUCUAAACCCUAGCGUCGCCGCUUCUUCUCUGUAAACCUUAGCGCCGUUUCUCUGUAAACCCUAACGCCGGUAAGUCAUCAAUCUCGAGGAAAAGAUGAACAUAAAACGUUGUCUCUAUCAAUUUACUCAUUCUCACCGUUUCACGUUUAUUUUUUCAGAUCUAUAACCGCAAUGACGAGUACUCCAACUCCUUCUGCGACUAAUCAGGUCCGCUUUGUACUGGAAGACUUGUAAGUAAUUUAAGUCGUCUGGAAAGUCUUCCAACUGGACGACUUAGUAGAUGACUUAAAUAUAAGUCGUCCAUUUGGAAGACUUUCCAGACGACUUAAUUAUAAGUCGUCUACUAAGUCGUCUGGACUUAUAUUGUUGUCUUUGAUUAUUUUGCAGACAAAAAGGAUGGAUAUUUCAGAACUCCCCCGUAGGUUAUACACAUCAGGGGAAGAGCCAGAAGCCCACAAUAGCAUUUCGUAUCAUACGGAUAACAGCAAGUUGCAUAUUGCUCUUAGGGAAGCUCUUACUGAUGACGAAUUUGAAGAGUUCAAGGAGUCGAGUUUGGGAGUUUUCAUCAAGUUCAAGGAGCAGGGAUUUGGUUGGGCUUCAAGGCUGGUUCACUACAUGCUCAGUUUCAAGCUGGACAUUAAGAAGAAGUAUGAGAUGUGGUCUCUCGUUGGUCCAGAACCUUUGAGGUUUUCACUGUUAGAGUUUGAAAACCUCACUGGUCUAAACUGCGAGUACAUCGAGGACCUUGAGACACCAAAAUGUGACGUUACCCAAGAGAUGGUUUCUUUCUGGGGGAUGCUGGGAGUUCAUCUGGAAGCUGGGCCAACUACUGAUCAGAUAAUAGCAGCACUGAAGAGAUGCGGGGAUUGGUCCAGGGAAGAUCGCAAGCGGCUCGCGUACCUCUCCAUCUUCACUGGAUUCAUUGAAGGGAGAAAGUUUUCAACCGCUACACGAUCUACUCUGGCAAGGCUAGUGAUGGAUUUAGAACGGUUUGAGAAUUAUCCAUGGGGGAGAGUCGCGUUUAAGGUGCUGAUGGACUCUUUGUGGAACAAAGAAAUUACUGGCUGUUACACCGUGGAUGGGUUUAUACAAGUUCUUCAGGUCUGGGCGUACACAGCUAUGCCGGAAUUGGGUGCUAGUAUUGGUGGUCCCAGAGCAGACAGUCCGUCUCCACCGAUACUGGCUUACGAGGGCAGCAGAGGCCGCAGAUCAAUGAAAGUUGCUAUCUUGAGUCAGGUAUUUACUAAUAAGUCGUCUGGAAGGUCGUCCAGUUGGACGACUUAUCGGACGACUUAAUUAAGUCGUCUGGAAAGUCUUCCAGCUGGACGACUUAUUAGACGACUUAUUAUAAGUCGUCUGGAAGGUCUUCCAGCUGGACGACUUAGUAGACGACUUAUAAUUAAGUCGUCUAUUUAGUAUUUUUUUCAAAUAUCUAACUCGAUUCUUCUAUUUACUGCAGACCCGCGUGAUCAACUUUGUUGAGAAGGACAUUAGUGAAAUGUGGCCAAAAUGGGACUCUGAUGUUGAGGACCUGCCCGCGGAGAACAUCAUUAAAGUCAUGUAUGAGCGGAGACCGUGGAAGUGGACCAUGGAUUGCUGGGAAGUCACUGGUACUAAGGUCUAUACAAAACCUAAGGUUGUGACUCCAUCGAAGAAAGCCAAAGAGAUGGUUGUGUUGGAGGAGGAGGAGGAGGAGGAGGAAGACAAUCCAAGACCUCGGAAGAAAGCUCGUAAAGAGGCUCCUAAAGUGGCUAGUGAAGAGGCUAGAGAAGAGGCUAGAGGGGUGACCAGAGAGGAUUUGGAAAUUAUGUUCAAGGGCGUAGCUGACUGCAUGAAAGAAGGGUUUAAGAAGUGCAUCAGGGAGUUUAGGAAGUUGUCCGAUAGAUUGGAAGCUGUGGAGAAGAAGGUUGGUGUCACCAAUCAGGCUACCCCUCCACCUCUAACCAAUCAGGCUACCCCUCAAGAUAAACAGCCUACCCCUCUUGCCAAAGAAACCGGGGGUAGUAACAAACAGGCUACCCCUCAUGCCAAUGAAACCGUGGUUAGUAACCAGCCUCCUCCUCAUCAAACCAAACAGCAGCCUCCUCCUCCUCAAAAGAAACAGCCUCCUCCUCCUCCUCAAAAGAAACAGCCUCCUCCUCAAAAGAAACAACCUCCUCCUCUUCCUCAAAAGAAACAGCCUCCUCCUCAAAAGAAACAGCCUCCUCAAAUCAAAGAGGUUAGUAUCAAAUCCAGGGUUAACUAGUUGUCCAGACGACUGUAAAAGUUGUCUGGACGACUAGUUGACCCUGGACGACUUAAACGUAAGUUGUCUGGACGACUAGUUGACCACGGAAGACUUAAUUUUAAGUCGUCCAGGGUCAACUAGUCGUCCAGGGUCAACUAGUCGUCCAGACGAUUUAUAUUUAAGUCGUCCAGGGUCAACUAGUCGUCCAGACAACUUUUAUUUAAGUCGUCCAGGGUUAACUUGUGUGCAACUUUUAUUGCAGAGAUGGUUGCCGGAGGAUACAGCAACCGAGGCGAACUCGGUAUAUAAGAUCUUGCCGGAGGAUAAAGCAGAUGGUGUCACCUCCAAAGAGAUUGUUGCUGUCACUUCCACCGAUCACCAACCGAGCCUCGCUUCCACCGAUCAACAACCGAGCCUCGCUUCCACCGAUCAACAACCGAGCCUCGCUUCCACCGAGCCAAGCGAUCCAGUUUCAGAACCGAGCCUGGUUGUAUUGGACAAGCGUGCAAAGAGUAAACGAGCGAAGAAACCUGCUCCCACUGUGAGAUCUCCUUAUACGGCAGAGAAAAAAAAAGAUAAAGUGGCAGCCUAUAAUCCAUUUCCGCCAGUAAACAAAGAUAAGUUGAAGGAACUCACUGAUUGGUUGAAAACUGAUCCGUAAGUGAUUGCUUUACCCAUAAUAGCUUGAUUUAGUCGUCCAAAACUGAUUGCUUUUUUGUUUGCAGUCAUUAUUCAACUAAGACCGAGGACAAACCACGUACAUCACCAACAAGGUGGUACCACUUCCUCCGGACAACCAGAGAAUGGCUGGAAGACUGCGUAAGUCUUCUGCACACGAUUUAAGUCGUCUACAAAGUCGUCCAAGUAGACUACUUUCCAGACGACUUAAAGAUAAAUCGUCUAGAAAGUCGUCUACUUGGACGACCACGUAGACGACUUAUAUUUAAGUCGUCUUGUAACUUCUAACUUGUUAUAUUUAAUAUGCAGCAUAUAGAUGCUUGGAUUAAUGUGCUAAGGCAGAGGUAUCAGGAGAACCCACAAGCUUUCAGGAGCGAGCGAAUGUGCUUCCUGGAUCACAACUUUUCCCAGUCUUGGAGAGAGCAGUAUCAGCUCUUCAAAACAUCGGAACCUGAUCACAAAGGUUUAGGAAGAGUUCUACCUGGUGGGGCGUCGAAUUUUUAUGACGGAUCAAUACCUUCAUUUUGCCAAUCAAACAAGAAGUGGGGGGAGGACAUUGAUGAUAUCUAUGCGCCAGUGAACUUGAACGACAACCAUUGGGUUGCUAUUUGGAUAUCGAUCCCUAAGAGGCACAUAGUCGUCUGGGAUAGCAUACCUUCAUCUAGUGUACCAGACGCAUGGGAUGCGAUAAUGGAGCCUUUUCUCCAGAUGGUCCCUUAUCUGCUUGUUGAGUGCGCAGCCACCGACGAAAUACGGGUCAAAUACGGGUUGGAGCCAUACACAUAUGAGAGACCGCUGAAAGGUGUACCCACGGCCAACAAUGGUGAUUGUGGCGUGUAUGCUGUAAAGUACAUUGAAUGUCAUGCUCUUGGGGUCUCCUUCGACCCUAAAGACUUUGCUAGGUGCAACGCGAAGAAAAUGAGGGAUAAUAUGGCGGUGGAUAUAUGGAAGGAGCUUGUUGAUCAGCAUUUGAAAGGAAAUGUGGAUGGUGAUAAGUUCGUGGGCAUGUAUGAUUAGAUUUGUGUUUGUAUUUGAACUUGUCUUUGUAUUUGAACAUGAUUUUUUAACGAGCGAAGUAUUUGUAUUUCAGCUUGUCUUUGUAUAGAUUUGUAAAUAUAUAAGUUGUCUGGAAGAAAUAAGUCGUCUGGAAGGUUUUCCAACUGGACGACUUACAAAUAAGUCGUCUAGAAGGUUUGGACGACUUAUUAUAAGUCGUCUGGAAGGUUUUCCAACUGGACGACUUACAAAUAAGUCGUCUAGAAGGUUUGGACGACUUAUUAUAAGUCGUCUGGAAGGUUUUCCAACUGGACGACUUACAAAUAAGUCGUCUAGAAGGUUUGGACGACUUAUUAUAAGUCGUCUGGAAGGUUUUCCACUGGACUUCUAAAAAUAAAAUACACUGGACGACUUAGUAGAAGGUCGUCUAAAAAUAAAAUACACUGGACGACUAAAAAUUUAGUCGUCUGGACGGGUAAUCAAGACUGGACGACUUAAAUUUAGGUCGUCUGGACAACUAGUCAACUGGUUGUGUACAUUGUGGUUUCGUAUGGCCAGUUUCCUUGCAGUUUGAGCAUCUCUGUGCCUUGUGUUUCUUCCUGGAUUUGUGUCCUCUCAUCCUAGAUAGCUCCAACCAAGAUUGCCAUCUUGAUUUCUUCGGUCUCCCCCGACCACGCUUUAGUUCUGGAGGAAAGCAUUUUCGUUCCUCAAUAUGUUGUGACACGAUAGGAUAUAUAUUCUCUGAGUAUCCUGCAUACAGAUAAUUCUUUGAGUACAGUGGACAUACAAGUGUGGAGAUAUGCAAACCAGCAUGUGUUCCAGCAGCUAUAGCAUGAGAGCAAGGUAUUUUCUCCACUCCAUAGACACCACAAUCACACUUUGCAUGUUCCAAAUCAACCACACAGUCCAUUUUGCCACCUUUGACAAAGAAAUGCCAUCCAUCAAUUGGUUCGACCGUCAUCGUAUCCGCUAUCUCUUCUCGAACAGCAAGCAAGUAUUCAACACCCCGGCUAUGUUCAGUUGUGAGACUCAAAGCAUCUUGUCUCCUUUUCCAAUACCAUUUUCCUAACUUCUGCCUUAUGAACGCCAGUAGGAACGUAAUCGGAAAUCCUCUUGCUCGCUUUAGUGCGGAAUUAAUAGAUUCAGCAAUGUUGCUUGUUUUUAUGUUGAACCUGUUCCCCUUACAAUAAACCCUUGACCAUAGCCUGACGUCGGCUUUCUCCAAAUACGUUGCAAGUUCCGGGUUUGCACUCCGUAUCUCAGCCAUGUACCGGUCAAAAUCGUAAACCGUGUGAGCAUAAGCAGCCCCUUUCACCAAGUACAAGAGAUGUUUCCCUUUAAACUUUUUGACAAUGUUAUCUUGAAGGUGAUAAUAACAUAUUCCUCGGGUUGCCCAAGGAAACACCUUAUCACACGCACUUUUAAUGGCCGCGUGCCGGUCAGAGACUAUCACCAGAGGCUGCUCAUCAGAUACACAACUAGCCAAUUUUGUGAAAAACCAUUCCCAAGAAGGUUCAUCUUCAGCAUCUACGAUCCCAAAAGCCAAUGGAAAUAUCUGAAAAUUCCCAUCUUGUGCGGCUGCAACUAACAUAACACCUCCAUAUUUCCCACUUAGGUGAGUCCCAUCCACCACAAUGACCCUUCUCUGAUACUUAAAAACCUUUGAUAGAAACUCCAAAAGAGAGAAAUAGAUACUUAAAUCUAUUGAUAGAAUCAAGUUCUAUAGCCGUGAUAGAAUCGGGAUUUGCUAAGGAGAUUUUCUCGAGAUAUGAUGGCAGACGCGGAUACCCAUCUUCUGCUGAUCCUCUCACCAAUGUUUGUGCAUAUAAAAGUGCUCUGUAUGAAGUGGUGUAAUCAAGCGCCAUGCCAAACAUGUUCCUCAUUGCAUCAGUGAUAUGCUGCGGAGUUAUCCCAUCAAUGAUUCCAACACGAUCAAUGAAAAGACUACCUAUAUACUUCGGAGUACAGUGUCUCUGCUGAGCGAUUCGGUCUCCCACUGAGCAUAAAUGUUUUUCCACAUACUUUGUUACCCAAAACGUGUUUGUCCCAUGUUUGACACUCGCUCUGACCUUCCAUCCACAAUAGCUAACCCGACAUGUUGCCACAACGAGAGUUUUCGUUGAUUUGUAUAAUCUGAAAGAAAACUUACCCCUCACUGCUGCCAACCGCAGCUCUGAAAGCAGUGCACCCUUGCUAACAAAACUCUGGUUGACAUAGAUACUGGUACCAUUCGAUUUUCCUCCUUCAAUAGCAUUUGUCUUAGCAUAUGUCUUUUGGAUUUCUUCAAAACAAAUAUUAUCAUCAUCUUCCUCGUCCUCAUCUGGAACCUUUCCAUAAAGACUGUAAUCCCCACCAUUCUGAUCCGUUUCACCAACAAUAGAAUUAUCAGCAUCCUCCUCCCCAUUUUCCUCCUCCACAUCUUGAUUUUCAUCUUCAACAAACUCAUUAUCACCAACAUCUUCAAAACAUUCAUCAGCUUCAUCAUCAUCACCAACAUCUUCUUCCCAUUCACCAGCUUCAUCAUCAUCACCAACAUCUUCUUCCCAUUCACCAGCUCAUCAUUAUCACCAACAUCUUUUUCCCAUUCACCAGCUUCAUCAAUAUCCCUUUUCUUUGAAACCGUUUCGACCUUGCUGCGGCUUGAUACACAAAGACAUACUCUAUGGGUUUUGAGUAUCUCCAGCAAGUUUCGAACUUGUCUAUCACUUGUAACAUGAAUGGGAAGACUGCCUGGAGCCAUCAUCAUUUAUGCUGGUAAUGAGUAGCUAAUCUCCACACUCACUGUUCUCAUGUCCAGGUUAUAAUCUUCUUGAGCCAUUGCAACAAGUUCAGCAUGUGUUGAAUCUUCAUUCAAUAAAAACAAUCUUGCUCCUUUGAGAUCAUCAACCACAAAAUCCCAACGGAAAUCUCUCAACAACCAUUCUCCAUACACUGCAUGUAACUGAAAAAUCAUCUGCAAAUAUUCAAAAUAAAACACAUUAGUAAACAUAGAGAAAAUGAAGAAGUUCAAUAAACAUUGCCGCAGACGACUUAGGAUUAAGUCUUCCAGAAGACUUAAAGGUAAGUCGUCUAAAGAGGUCACUUUUGCAAUUGAAAAUUAAAAGGGACGACUUAAUUCUAAGUCGUCCGGCUUUGUUUGUUAAAAAAAAAACUUCAGACGACUUAUAUAUAAGUCGUCUACGAGAAACGGGCUAGUUUUUCAUUUGACCGAAUCGUGUCAGAUCUUUGACUAUUUCUGGACGACUUAUAAUUCAGUCGUCUCUGGGAAAGUUAAAAUUUCAAUAUUUUAUGAAAACUUGACGACUUACGUGUAAGUCGUCCUAGGUUAGUUUUGUAAUUGAAAAAUAAAACUUGAAAUUUAACUUUCUCCAGACGACUUAGAUGAAAGUCGUCCAGCUAAACGACUUAAUUUAAGGUCGUCCGGGAUAAGCAAGGUUUGACCAGAAAAUUGGAAAAAAUUCUGGACGACUUUGCUUUCCCCGGACGACUUUAAAUUAAGUCUUCUGGAGGGACGACUUUAUAUUAAGUCGUCUGGUUAAAGUUAAAUUAUGAAGUUUUAUUUUUCAAUUACAAAACUAACCUAGGACGACUUACACGUAAGUCGUCAAGUUUUCAUAAAAUAUUGAAAUUUUAACUUUCCCAGAGACGACUGAAUUAUAAGUCAUCCAGAAAUAGUCAAAGAUCUGACACGAUUCGGUCAAAUGCAAAACUAGCCCGUUUCUCGUAGACGACUUAAUUUAAGUCGUCUGGAGUGUUUUUUUUUAACAAACAAAGCUGGACGACUUAAUUUAAGUCGUCCGUUUGACCAGAAGACUCAUCAGUAAGUCUUCUACAUACAGAUGACUUACUAGUAAGUCUUCUACGCGAACAGAUCUUGAAAAAAAAUUCAAAUUCGUACCUUAAACUAGGUGAGAUGACUUCGUUUGCACACAGGGUCUUCUCCAACCACCCAGAACCUCAAACGAAAGCAACCGUAAGUCAAAACGAAAGAAAUAUGGCUCUGUCAACCAUAGCCCAUAUUUUGAAUCAAAAGCUUGAGUUUUUUGGAUGAAUAUAGAGAGAAAGUGAAAGAAAUGUUGUUUUUAGUUCAUAACAAUUGAAACAGAGAGAGUGUAAAGAGAUUUACGUGCAUUAAAGGGCAUUAAAAGCUCCAAACAGUUCGUACAAGGUUGUUGCCACUAUUCAUUGCAGUGGCAAUAUUGUAAAUACUUGAAGAAGAUGAGGUUGAGACAGUAAAGAAGCCAUUUUCGAAAAAAAAAAAAAUGUUAAUGGCAUUUUCGUAGAUAAAAUGCAGGUGUGGGGUUAAAAUCUCAAAAAAAAAGGAGUCAAAAGAAAAUGUUAGUUUUCUGUUUGACUCCAAGUUUUGAGUCACUUUUGCUAAAAGCCCCAUGUUUUAUUUUGUUACUCUUUCUUUUUGUAACUUGCAAAUCGCAAUAUAAAUUUUUAAUUUAAAUAAAUUAUAUUUUGUGGUGUUUUAUAAACAUAAGAUAUUUGAGGUUAAUUGGUAAGGUUUUGUAAGUAGAAAGUGUUAGUAAUAAUAAUUAAUUAAAUAAGGAUAUAAUUUUUUUAGAAUAUUCAUUUUAGAGUGAAAAAUAUAAUAGUACAUUGAAAUAGAACUUUAUUCUAUUUUGGUGUUGUACCAUUUUAAAAUAAAAUAUAGAGUAAUACAUUCCAGAUGCUUUAAAGCUUGAUAAAAUUCCAUAACAUAGUAUAAGUCACAUGACUACAUAAUAUAUAUACAUGUGCUACAUCUAAGUAUAGUUGGUCUCGCAAGAAAAUACAAAAUGGGCUGGUUGGACUAACUGAUACAAAAACCAAUCAUGUUUUCUCAGCUUAAACGAAAUGCUUGGAAAAGAACAUAAAAGGCCUAAAGGAAAAUAAUCUCAUAAUCAUGGGCAAAUCUAUAAUACCAGAUCUAUUUUAUAAUAUUUGUAGAGUUUAUAUUAUAUUACCAUAACUCAACAGACUAAAAUCUCUAAUUCCACAAUAUAUCUGACUCAUAAUUUCCAUAUUUUUGUAGGAUUUUUUCCACAUAUUUAGUGAUUAAGAAUGUUCUACAAAUCUAAAUCAAAGAAGCAGUGGAUAUUUAGUUUCGUAACAAAUCGAAUCAUAUCCACUAAAUCUCGCAACUCUUUACUAACGUCAUAUUCAAGAUACGAAAGUAGCGCCACAUAUACAGCGAUAUUUGGGGAGGGGCCGGAGGGCAACAUUGAAACGUUGGACAAAGGGGAACAAAGAGUAAAGACCGUUUUUAUAGCUAAAUCCCCCAUAUAAUCUUUUUUUAUUCUCACAAGUUCACAAAUCAACCACUAACUCGAAAAUUAAGAGUUUUGACCCUCUAUUGGUUACUCAAAAAUUAAUAUGAGAAGUUGAUUAAUACGAUUAUAAUCUAACUAUAUUAAAAGGAGAAUAAGAAACCUUAUUAGCUAUGCCACGUCAGAUCAUAAAAUCAACCAAUCAGAUUUGUCUUUACUCCCAUGUCAUCUGCGGCCGAGUCAAUAAAGAAACCCUACGACUCACUCAUCGGCUUCGUCUUCUCUGUUUCCUCUUCAUCAAAACUCCUUACAGUCUUUUUUGUUGUCUUUCCAUUAGAUCAUGAUUCUCUCUACUGCAAUCAUUUUUUACCGCUUUCCUCUCCAUAGCUUCCAGCUCCGUUGAACACAGACGAUUUCGAGGGCAGGAUGUCGGGAUUUCCCCAUGCCGGUGUGUCCAAGAUCGGCGUUGGAUCCAUCACCUGUUACCGCCAGAUCCGCCGCCUACGGAGUUGUCCUGCGGCCUUAAACGGUCCUCCGGAUCUGCUCAAGUCUCCAAUCGUCGCUUAGGUCCGAGAAUCACAAGCUGUCGCACUCCCAAGACGGCGGGGAAGAAGCUGGACCGACGAGAAACAAACGAGAGAGAACCACCAUCCCUCACCGUAGAUCCGUCGACACCAUCUCACUCCCCGACAAUCAGACGAGCCCAACAAAGUAAACCCUAAUCGUGUUCUGGUGACUAACAUUCUUUCUCCGUCCAGCUACGACCUCUGAACUUUAUCACUGAAUCUGAAACGGUACGAUUUAUGUGUUUUUCGUGUGGUGUUCCUUAUUAAUUCAAUCUCCAUCAAGCAUUGCAUAUACACUUGGUGGAGUGCAGUCCCGCGUUGCAGAAACGUCAGCACCAGAACCUAGAGUGCACAGAUGAAAGUAGUUCGGAGAAGAAAGCUAUAAGUUCACUAGCUGGGACACUUGUGCACUGGCACGCUACUCUUGAAGAGGUGCCAUGAGGAGGUAUGCAUGUUUGUUACAUUUACUUAUUGAGACUCUCUUAUAAGGCUCUUGGCUUAAUAUAGCAAUAGUCAACGUCGUAAGCAAUGAAAAAUAUGAUGAUCUGCAUCGUUCUUCAUUGUAUCUAUUGUUCUCUUUUGCUUGCCUUGGCAGUACCAACAAUAAUCAUAGCUCAUGAGUUCUAUGAUGCUUUUACAGUUCAUCAGUUUCAGGUUUGUGUGGUUUGCAAUAUAGUCUUCUCCUUUUAGUUUAGUAUGUGUAUCUUAAAUGGACUUACUCUGCAAAAUUCUCCACAAGGCUGGUUUGAGAAAAUGGUUGAUGUGGGAGAAGAUUCACAGUAAGUAUUUGUAUAUAUAUAAUAUGCAAAGAAAACUUCAGAGCUGAUAUAUGCGUUAUUGGUUUUAGGUUCCGCUUUGUUCUCUCCCCACAGCCUACACCUGCAGCCUUAUAUCUGGUGAAACGUUGCACAUGGGCUACACCUGAGGAAAAGGAGAAGCUGGAUCAUGUCGAGAUCAGCUCGAAGUUAAUGGAUUUGACUCAAGAAAUAGCCAAGAGAAUAGGCUCUGAUGGAGGUGGAGCACUUAUAAUCGAUUAUGGGAAGGAUGGAAUCAUUUCAGACAGUCUACAGGUUUGUGUCCUAAAAAAAAUGCUCUAACCAAUGCUUAUAAAGUCUUUUGUGUCUGAAUCUAUGGAUAUGAUAUAAGGCUAUUAGAGAACACAAGUUUGUCAACAUACUGGAUAAUCCAGGCUCUGCGGAUCUAAGUGCUUAUGUUGAUUUUCCUUCGAUAAAACACUCCGCUGAGGAAGCUUCAGGUUGGUUCAUAUACUCACUACUCAUCAUUGUAAUAUUAGAGAGUUAUAAACUGACUUAAACCAAAUGAAAACGUGUGUGUGUUGUUCAGAAAAUGUGACAGUCCAUGGACCUAUGACUCAGUCUCAGUUCUUGGGUUCGCUUGGAAUAAACUUCAGAGUUGAUGCGUUGCUGCAGAACUGCGACGAUGAGCAAGCAGAGUCAUUGAGGUCUGGAUACUGGAGGCUUGUUGGAGAUGGUGAAGCACCUUUCUGGGAAGGACCUGAUGAACAGACACCAAUUGGAAUGGGGGAGAGGUAUCUUACAAUGGCUAUUAUCAACAGAAACCAAGGCACUCCGGCUCCGUUCCAGUAACAGGCUGAAGCUUUCAAACAAGGACACUACACUCCUUUGUUUUUUUCUUUGAACUUGGCUUAUCUUAUGAAUUUUAUUGGUUGACUUUGGGUUUAAAGCUUACGAAAUUAUUUCAAUCCCCAUUUUAUUUUCAGUGUCAUUCAUCUUCAUGUAUGGAUCUCAGUAGCUUGAUUUCUUCUACUAUUUUGUUUGAAAUCUGCACGAUUGUUGAUUCUAAUAGCAUCUGAAUCUCUGUGAUCAAUACAUUUGGCUGCAGAACCGUCACCUCUGCAUACCACCACAAUCGUGGAGAAGUGUACGCACAAGCUUGUGGAUGAUUACAAGCAUAUGCUUUGCCAAGCUACUGAGCCUAUGUCCACCUUCUUAGAGUACAUCAGGUGAGAGUCAUUCUUGAUCAACAGAUUAUGGUGCUUCAGUGUUGUUAUUGCCCUUUUCAGUUUCCAGUAGUAAGUGUAGUAGUUUCGUUCAUAUUUAGCUUUGCUUAAAAUCCUCUCGAUGUGCAUCAUAGUGUGUAAUGUUUGGUACUUUCGUGAAGCUCUUUUUUUUAUAGAGAUUGCAGUAAAAUGGUUUUGUUACAGAAUAUUGAGAGCAAAUAUUUUUAUUAUUUUGUUGUAGCUUAAAUGAUAGCUUUUGUUGAUUUGUUACCUUGCCUUUAGUUUUUUUUUUGUCUGAAUUUUUUUUUCACCCGAAAUUGUAACAACAAGAAAAAUAAGAACAUCAAAAUCAUUUGGUACAACAAAUUUAACAAAACAAACUUACUUUCCAAUACAUUUAACAUAUUAUACAAUAUAUGAAAACAAAGUAUUAAAAUUAUUUAUACGUCUAUAAUUAAUAUGAUUCUAUAUGGAUUAAAACUAUUAUAUAUACAUUUUUUACGUUUAGUGGUUGAAGAAGUGUUUAUAAUGCUUAUGUUUUAGAUAUAUAAUCUAAUUUUCAAACAUAGAGAACAUAGCCAAUUUUAUGUUUUUGAAAAACAUCGUCAAUCUCAUGUUCUUGAAUAAAGAAUUCAAUCAAAGAGACCAUAGCCAAUCUUCACCUACUUCUUCAAUUAUGUGAAAGUCUUAGGUCAGUAACCAAACUUAAUUGUUCGAACCUGUCACUUCGGUAAAACAAAACAUAUUAUUUUUCAAACAGAAACAGUUUAUUUUUUGUUCUACAACCUUUGAUAGCUUCCAUCAAGAUUAUUUGAGUAUUUCAAAUAGGAGCUGGUGUAUAUAUCAAUUGUAAUGAUAUUUAAUUAGCGACAAGUAACUGAAAAUAAGAAAAAAUAUAUUUUUUACAUUUAUACAUUAUAAAAAAAUUAUAUGAUCAUUUAAGUUUAGUUAAAAUAUAUGAAAAAACCCGGGCGUAGCCCGGAAAAAAUCUCUAGUGUUACUAAUGAUUAAACACUGUUUUAACGAUAAGUUAAGUUUUAAAUAACACUGAAGAUUGCUAUAGUAUCGAUCAGAUUAAAAUCUGAGAAAAACAUUUAUCAUGGUGUUAUAGAAUAAUAUAAAACAUAGGGGUGUAAUUGAAAAUCCAGGUAGGUUAAGGAAAACAUUUUAUAAAAAAAAACUUUUUUAAAAAAGACAAUAAUAAGAGCAUAAAGUCGAGACCUUUUGCAGGGUCAGCCUUUGCUCAAUUUUUCUUGGAGAACAAAAAAAAAACUUGAAGCUUUCACAUUUGACGGCUACAGAGGGAGAAAGAUAAAUUUGUUUCCUUUUCUCCUUUUGGUUCAUCUGGGGAGCACGAAGCAAGACGAACGAAGUCAAACUCCACACUAUUUUUGAAGGUGAGACUUUCGCUAGUCUCGUUGAUCUGGCUUCUCUUUUUCAUUUUCCGAUGGAAAUCUUGUUUCUUUCUUAUCAAUAAAAGGCUCAGAUUUGUGGGUUUCUCCUCUUCUCCCAUUUGCGCUGUCAGUUUUAUGAGAGUCACGACAACGACGGUCUUCGGGAUCCAAACAGCUAACAUUUGGUGAUUCAUUCAAAGAGACUUUGAGAAGAAAUCAUUUUAGGCCCAAUUAACUGUGAUAGCCCAACGUUCUUUGAGUCAAGAAAGUAACCCUCAUGCAAAUCGAUUUUUUUCAAUCGUUGAAGUUGUGUUUUAGGUGUGACACGUGGUUUAAAAUGCCCCAUGCAUACUGCUGAUGUAGCACAAGAAGGAGGGAGAAAAAUCUUAUUUAUUAAUAUAGAUUUACGUAUGUAUAAGUAACCUACUAUGUUUUAAUUAAUUGUUUUUAACCUUUUAUAAGGUUGAUCAGUUUAACAACUAAACCAUGUCAAUAUGGUGUGUUUUUUUUUAAUUCAACCCCUACUGAGAUGAGCUGUAAGGUUCUUGUUGAAGCAUGAACGUUGAGUAGACAGAUGAUUGUAUGCAAGAGUAGAAUAUCAAUGAUUGCAAGAAUUGCAAAAUCAGUGAAAUCAUAGGCUGUCAACUCUAAACCAGAUGCAUCCAUUUAUUUAAGUUAUAUAUAUAUAUAUAUAUGUCCGAGGUCUUCUUCUCGUAUUUAACAUGAAAACAACAACCAAGCACGGGGUGACUGGUGAAUCAAUGCACUAAACUUAGAUAAAAAAAUCUUUGGGACACAGCUGCACGAAGACACACUCUUAGCUAUUCCAGUCACUGGAUAGUUGGUAGUACGUUUGUUUAGGAUGAAGUAGCCUUCGCAAAUCCUAGCUGUCACAUGUAAUAGGUAGAGCUGGAACCCACCUGUCCUAAGGUCUUUGAAAAUCUCUCUGUAAACAAUAUUAGUUACACCAUUUAUAUUGCUUGUUGCAGAGCGUCAAGUAUAUUGAGACCAUCAGGUGUUGUAACUCGUGAAAGCUGUACGGGCGACGAACACAACAUCAUCGGUUUUGUCUGAAAUGGACAACUCCACACGGUACCUGCAAUACAACACCAUGAUACAUGCUAGAUGAAGAGUUAAGGGUAGAGGAUGUAGUUAGCUGCAAAAUAAGUUCACAGUCUGUUAAGCUAAACGUUGGUUACCUGAAGAUACCAACAACAUUUGAAUCAUCAAAUCCGAUGCCAGUUACAUCUCGCUGGAGCUUCUUGGAGCACUACCAUGAGGUUGCAUUUCUAACUUAGAAGAGUCAUUGAGCUGAAUCAAAGUAGAGUACCUUUAUCUUCUUGAAAAUUUUGGGAAUAUUUUCAUCAUCAAAAGGAAGGGUACCACAGAGUAGAGCAUACAAUAGUUACGACCCUCAUCCUCUUAUAGUCUGCCUUUCUCAACAAAAGCUCGAAUGAGUUGAUCAUUGAUUAAACUCGGAAUAUAUAAACAAAAAGAAAGAAACAUAUUGACUGUGGUCCCAAAACUUAGCUUGCCUGAUUGAGAUAUAAACAUCACAAGGGAGAACGUCUUCUUGCAUAUUCACAUUACUCACUCCCAAAUACCUCCUCACAGUCCAUAUGAAUUUCAGAUACAAUCUCGAGCAAAGGAAGUCCUGCUCUGUUCAUAUAUCUACAUGCACGAUAAGAGCAAACCAACAUUAAAAAACACCUAGUGGUGGAGGAUUCCAGACAAACAGUUGCUCCAUAACUCAAAGGAAAACAUCCAAGCCUGAUAGAAACUGAAGCAAUGAAACCAAUCCAAGGAUCUCAAUCGAAAUCAAUCCACACAAAACAAUAUAACCAAUCCAAGAAAGGUGACAAUGGGCUCAAUUCAGAAUCGAACAAAUCCCCCAACACAUGAUUGAUAAUCAAACAUAAUCAAAUCCAAUCUGGACAACACAAAAAAAAAAGGAAAGGCAAUUGAUGAUCUAAAUCAAUAUCAAAAAGACGGAGAUCUGCGGUAAAAUACCUAAGUCAGGCAAAUGGAGCUGACAAGUUGCCAUUCUGGUAGCUUUUGCGGUUAGAUAUUUAAGUAAAUGUUUGCAACCAUUAAAGUGAAGCAUUGCAAUUGUUUAGAUGAACAAAUGAAACUUUUUGUGAUUGUAACUAUUAGUGGUAAAUGAUAUUAGUGGUAGAUGAUUGCAACCUUUGGUGAUAAACCAUUAUAACCAUUUGUAAUUAAAGCGUUGGUGAUGAACCAUUGUGACUUUUGUCUAACCAAUGUAACUAUUGUUAUUAAUGGUUGUAACUCUUCACUAACCAUUGUAACUAUUGGUGUUAACCAUUGCAACACUUGGUACUCUAUAAAAGAAGUUGUGGGCAAUGGAAAAUAACAACAUGAAUCACAACUUGUAAAACAAGAUUGAAGAUCAAAAACUAAUAGUUAGUAAGAGAGAGAGAAAGAAAAAUUCAUUGUUCAAAGAUCAUCAAAGAUCUUUGAAGAAACACAUAUAAGCACUAAAUCUUUAUUUGUUAUUUUUGUAUCUUAGCCGAGAACAAGAAUGAGACUUUGAUUGUCUUAUCCUACAAAGGGAUUUCUUGGAACCCAAAGGCUUGGAAUAGGGUCGAAAUACUCUUUAAGGAAAACAUGGCGAUUCAAUCAUUAUCCAAGUAUAUAGUUCACACCCAUUCGGGUUACCAAACCACAAAUAAUUAACCAACAAUCUUAAAGAGUAUUUUUGUUGUGAACUAUAACUUAUAAUUUUGUGCGAGAGAUAAAAUCAAAGUUUGGAAAGUUGUAAAUGCUUGAGAGAAUAGACUUUCGAAGAUGUGCGAUCAUAUUGUAAUCCAAGGGAUGCGAGUGCAUUGUGAACCAAGUGAUGUGAGUGCAUCGUGAUCCAAGGGAUGCGAAUGCAUCGUGAAUCAGGGAUUGCAUCGUGAAUCUGGGAUGCGAUUGCAUCGUGAUCCAAGAGAUAUGAAUGUGUCGUGAUCCAAGAGGUACGAACAUAUCAUGAUCCAAGGGGUACAAACGUAUCAUGAUCCAAUGGAUGCGAACGUGUCAGGACCCAAAGGGUGCGAACGUGUCGGGACCCAAAGGGUGCGAACAUGUCGAGACCCAAAGGGUGCGAACGGUUUGGGACCGAAAGGGUGCGAACGGUUUGGGACCGAAAGGAUGUGAAUGGUUCGGGACCGAAAGGUUGCGAACGGUUCGGAACCGAAAGGGUGCGAACGGUUCGGAACCGAAAGGGUGCGAACGGUUCGGGACCAAAAGGGUGCGAACGAUUCGGGACCAAAUGGGUGCAAAUGGUUUGGGACCAAAAGGGUUUGAAUGUAUCGUCACCAAAAGGGUGCGAAUGCAUCAUCACCCAUAAGAUGCAAAUGUAACAUCAAUGAAAUAUAUGGGGAGGUAGAUGUGAUUGUUAAAAUUUUACAUAUAAGUAAAAAAAUAUUGUUAACACAAUCUCAUUAUGUUGAGAAAGUUGUUAAGUAGUUCAAUUGUGAGAUUGUUCUCCAAUGAAGUCUCCCAUGUAUGUGAGAGUGAAGCUUAUACCUUAUAUAGGACAAGAAGUAUCACAACUUGAAUAUUUGAAAGGAACCAUAAAUUAUUGUUUGUUAUAUGUCAGAUUUUCUUCGAUGGUAGAAGGGUAUUUAGAUGGAAGUUUGAUUAUCUAUAUAGUUGAUUAUUCUUCUAUAAGUGGUUGAGUAUUUUUGCUCCGGGAGGUGCCAUUUCAUGGGCUUCCAAGAAACAAACUGCAUGAAAAUUUUGACUAUAGAAUAAGAGUUUGUAGCAUUAGAAUAUGCCGGUAAAUAGACAUAUUGGCUAUGGAAUUUAGUUAAAGAGAUUCUGUUGUGACGAAAUAAUAUCUCCAGUUUCUAUCUAUUUUGAUAAUGAAUAAAUCUUGGUUAAGGUUUGUAACUAAGUAUAUAAUGGUAAGUCGCGACACCUGGCGUUAGAUAUAGCGCAGUAUGUGAGAUGAUCACUCACGAGGUGAUUACCAAAGAGUUUGUUCGGUAUGAAAGAAAGGUAGCAUAUCAUUUGACGAAAUGAUUAUCUAGAGACUUGGUAACUAAGUCUGUUAGGGAUGAGUUUAAAGUCCUUUUGAAAUUUUUAAUGGUGGGAUACUGAUUCCCCUCUAAUACGACGUUAGAGGUUGAAUUCAAUGUGGAAAGCCUACACUUAAAGAUUGAAGCACAUGUUUUUAUAUCAUCACAAGGUAUGUGUUUGGACCUGCAAGAAAGAGCUAGGUUGAAAUUUUAUUCUUGAUAAAUACUCUUAAAAAGUGCAUUUGUAGGUGCAUGCGUGAAAGUACUUACCUAUAUGAGUGUGAAGUGAUGCCGCUUCAAUAAGUUGGGACUUGGCUUUGUAUGCACUCAUGAAUGGAUACGGACACAUGGCUUAUAAUAGUGUCCAGUAUAAAUACUUAGAGUAGUGUGAAAACACGUGUGUGUAUUAUCUUCAUGUGCUCAAAAUGGGUUAAGGGAUUCAAUCUGUAUGACAUCCUGAUUCUCAGGCAUUUGGAAUGUGUAUUGCACUAAGAUGAAAAUUCAAUUCUUCGAACAUUUUCAUUUAUGCAUGAGUUUGAUAUAUGUAUUAAUUAUUUAUUGAAUCUAUGAUUACACUUAAAUGGGGGAGGAUUGUUAGAUAUUUAAGUAAAUCUUUGCAACCAUUAAAGUGAAGCAUUGCAAUUGUUUAGAUGAACAAAUGCAAAUGUUUGUGAUUGUAACUAUUAGUGGUAAAUGAUUGCAACCUUUGGUGAUAAACCAUUAUAACCAUUGGUUUAAAGCCUUUGGUGAUAAACCAUUAUGACUUUUGUCUAACCAAUGUAACUAUUGGUAUUAAUAGUUGUAACUCUUCACUAACCAUUGUAACUAUUGGUGCUAACCAUUGCAACCCUUAGUACUCUAUAAAAGGAGUCGUGGGCAAAGGAAAAUAACAACUUGAAUCACAACUUGUAAAACAAGAUUGAAGAUGAAAAAUUAAUAGUUAGUAAGAGAGAGAGAAAGAAAUAUUCAUUGUUCAAAGAUCAUCAAAGAUCUUUGAAGAAACACAUAUAACCACUAAAUUUUUAUUUGUUAUUUUUGUAUCUUAGCCUAGAACAAAAAUGAUAUUUUGAUUGUCUUAUCCUACAAAGGCAUUUCUUGGAACCCAAAUACUCUUUAAGGAAAGCAUGGCCUUUCAAUCAUUAUCCAAGUAUAUAGUUCACACCCAUUCGGGUUACCAAACCACAAAUAAUUAACCAACAUUGACUGAGAUCUAAACUAUUAUUUGCGAAGUAAAUUUUAUCAACGGAGCUCUCACGUUAAAAGUUAGAGCGGUUAAUAUCGUUUAUACCCUUAAUGAAUAGUUAUAUAUAUUAGUCAAAAAAUAAAAACGAAUUUCAAAUCUAUCUGAUUAAAAAAGUGAUUAAAAUUAAUAAAAAAUCGUUUAUACCCUUAAUAAAUAAAUUAUAUAAAUUAGUCUAAAAUAAAAACGAAUUUAAAAUAUAUAUUAUUAAAAAGUGAUUAAAAUUAAUAAUAAUAAGAUGUAUCUAAAAUAUAAAUAAUUAAAAAAGAAUUUCUAUUAAUACUAUUGUAUUUAUAUAUUAUAUUAGAAAAUUGACUAUAAAUAAAUAUAAUAAAAUUUUCAAAAAUAAGAACAUGUUUUAAAACAUAAGAUAAUUCUUACAUAUAUUCUGUUGUUAUCUGAAAAUAAUAUUUUAUUAUAAAAUUUAUAGUUAGAUAUAAAAAAAUUUAUAAUUAAAUGCUAAUCAAACAAAUAAAUAUAUUUUCUAAAAUAUGUGUGAAUGUUUUAAAACGUAAGUAAAUAUAAUAAAAUUCUCAAAAAUAAAAUAUAUUUUUAAAACAUAAGAUAAUUCUUAAAUAUGUUGUGUUUUUAUCUGAAAUUAUAUUUUUAUUAUCAAAUAUAAAGUUUAAUGUUUGAUUUAUCUUUUUAAAAACAUAAUUAAUAAUUUAUUAUGUUGGUUUUGAUUUAAUAGCUAUAAAAAAUAAAUAUCUAUAAGAACACUAUGCCCGCAUGUGCGGGCAGAACACCUAGUUACACUAAUAAGAAAAAAACUAGAGUAUUUGGAGAGGUAACUGAGAAGGUAUAUAUAAAACAUGAAUGAAUUAAACGUACAGUGAGGAGGAGAACGUGGGAUUAGUGGGUCGUGUUGAUUGAUUGCCAUAACGGCGGAGCGUUUCUUCACCGGGGAAGGAAAAUCGGGAACGAUAGGCUUCAUGUUAGAUUAGAUAACCUCUUGCGAUUGAAUAUCUAUGGAGAAGAUUUGGCCAGAAACCAACACAGCCCGAAAAAGGUUGGUUUAUAGAAUUGAGCUAAAGCGAUCCAGUUAUUUUUUUUUAAACGAUGCCACCUCCAAAUUUGUCCCACAAAACUCUACAAAGAUAUUCAGGAGAAAUGAACUGUUGAACCAAAGACAUCUUCUGAAAGAGUUUCUCAUCAGAUAUAACAUCCCCUCUGUGUUUGAAGCAAAGACACGGGGAAACAGCUUUGUCAUGACAUACUUCUCUAGACCCUGCGUAUUAAGAGAGGCAAAUGAUUAAGGCAAGAAGAUGCAAGCGAUCCAGACAGAAAGAGAAGGACAUUGAUGAUACUCACAUCUCCAGCGCUGUCUAGUUCAUCCUCAGAACAACCGGACCAAAUUGGAUGAGCCAUGAAAGCAGCUUCCAUCUUGGAAAAGAAGUCUUGAACUGCAGCAGAGUCCUUUUCUGGGUCUGACUCAUUGUUCAAGAAUGAAACAAUGAAACUGCGACACAUACACAUUGUCUUAUGAACCCAGAGAAAAGAAGUAACGUAAACCCACAAAAUCGAUAUUAAAACAGUUUUUUUUUAUCUAUAACUACUGCAGUACCAAUAUUAUCAAAACCAGUGCUUUCCAUUUUUAGGUCAAUAAGAUCAAACUUAUAAAAAAUUAACCAAAAAAAUAUGGUUCAAAAAAUUAACAAUAAUGAUUAAAAGAUAAUCAAACAAAUAUUUUAACAAAAAUUAUUUGAAAAAAUAAAAAAUAGUGAAUACAACAAACAAAACAAUGAAAUUAGUAAAAAUAAAUAAUCUAACUUGAAUGGUGAAAAUUUUAGUUGAAAAUAACAAUUUAAUAAAAAUUAGUAAUCUAAUCCUAAAAUUUAUAGACUUCAAGAAUAAGCAACAAAACUUAUAUGUAUUGUUUGGUUUGGUAUUGGAGUUGCCUUCAAGCCAAAUUUAGCUUGAAAAUAACGUGUUUAUUCAAAUUAUAUGUGUAUACAAUUGAUAGUUAAUGUUAUAUUUAUAUAUUACGUUUGUUAAAUAUAUGCAUAUAUAAAAUAAAAGAAUAUAUUUUGUUAAUUAUAUCCGGUUUAGCAUGAAAUAAAAUAAUAUGUUUCGUUGAGUAAACUACAAUAUCAAAUUCUAAGUCUACAAUAACAUCAACCUACACCCACUAAUGAUCAACUUACACACGUAUAACUACCCAGUUCUGAUGGAAGAAGCGAUGAUGUUCAAGGCAUCGAAGGUAACGGAACGUCAGUAGCAGCGGGGGGUGAAUUCGAAGACGGGGUAGAUGCAGAGAACCACAAGCAGAGCAUGUCGGAGGAGAGUCACUACAAGAAAACAGGGGGAUUCUGAUGGCCGAAAUCGUCGGAAAUUCGUCGGAAUAGACCGAUUCCGACGAACCUGUCCGUCGGUAUAGUUUUGUCGGAAAAAAAAAUUCGUCGGAAUUUCGUCAGAACUUCCGACGACUUUCUGACGAAUACCGAGAAACGUCAUUCUGACGAACUUCCGACGAUAUUACGAUGCGGACACACGAGACCAGAGUUCAUCGGAAAAACUANNNNNNNNNNNNNNNNNNNNNNNNNNNNNNNNNNNNNNNNNNNNNNNNNNNNNNNNNNNNNNNNNNNNNNNNNNNNNNNNNNNNNNNNNNNNNNNNNNNNNNNNNNNNNNNNNNNNNNNNNNNNNNNNNNNNNNNNNNNNNNNNNNNNNNNNNNNNNNNNNNNNNNNNNNNNNNNNNNNNNNNNNNNNNNNNNNNNNNNNNNNNNNNNNNNNNNNNNNNNNNNNNNNNNNNNNNNNNNNNNNNNNNNNNNNNNNNNNNNNNNNNNNNNNNNNNNNNNNNNNNNNNNNNNNNNNNNNNNNNNNNNNNNNNNNNNNNNNNNNNNNNNNNNNNNNNNNNNNNNNNNNNNNNNNNNNNNNNNNNNNNNNNNNNNNNNNNNNNNNNNNNNNNNNNNNNNNNNNNNNNNNNNNNNNNNNNNNNNNNNNNNNNNNNNNNNNNNNNNNNNNNNNNNNNNNNNNNNNNNNNNNNNNNNNNNNNNNNNNNNNNNNNNNNNNNNNNNNNNNNNNNNNNNNNNNNNNNNNNNNNNNNNNNNNNNNNNNNNNNNNNNNNNNNNNNNNNNNNNNNNNNNNNNNNNNNNNNNNNNNNNNNNNNNNNNNNNNNNNNNNNNNNNNNNNNNNNNNNNNNNNNNNNNNNNNNNNNNNNNNNNNNNNNNNNNNNNNNNNNNNNNNNNNNNNNNNNNNNNNNNNNNNNNNNNNNNNNNNNNNNNNNNNNNNNNNNNNNNNNNNNNNNNNNNNNNNNNNNNNNNNNNNNNNNNNNNNNNNNNNNNNNNNNNNNNNNNNNNNNNNNNNNNNNNNNNNNNNNNNNNNNNNNNNNNNNNNNNNNNNNNNNNNNNNNNNNNNNNNNNNNNNNNNNNNNNNNNNNNNNNNNNNNNNNNNNNNNNNNNNNNNNNNNNNNNNNNNNNNNNNNNNNNNNNNNNNNNNNNNNNNNNNNNNNNNNNNNNNNNNNNNNNNNNNNNNNNNNNNNNNNNNNNNNNNNNNNNNNNNNNNNNNNNNNNNNNNNNNNNNNNNNNNNNNNNNNNNNNNNNNNNNNNNNNNNNNNNNNNNNNNNNNNNNNNNNNNNNNNNNNNNNNNNNNNNNNNNNNNNNNNNNNNNNNNNNNNNNNNNNNNNNNNNNNNNNNNNNNNNNNNNNNNNNNNNNNNNNNNNNNNNNNNNNNNNNNNNNNNNNNNNNNNNNNNNNNNNNNNNNNNNNNNNNNNNNNNNNNNNNNNNNNNNNNNNNNNNNNNNNNNNNNNNNNNNNNNNNNNNNNNNNNNNNNNNNNNNNNNNNNNNNNNNNNNNNNNNNNNNNNNNNNNNNNNNNNNNNNNNNNNNNNNNNNNNNNNNNNNNNNNNNNNNNNNNNNNNNNNNNNNNNNNNNNNNNNNNNNNNNNNNNNNNNNNNNNNNNNNNNNNNNNNNNNNNNNNNNNNNNNNNNNNNNNNNNNNNNNNNNNNNNNNNNNNNNNNNNNNNNNNNNNNNNNNNNNNNNNNNNNNNNNNNNNNNNNNNNNNNNNNNNNNNNNNNNNNNNNNNNNNNNNNNNNNNNNNNNNNNNNNNNNNNNNNNNNNNNNNNNNNNNNNNNNNNNNNNNNNNNNNNNNNNNNNNNNNNNNNNNNNNNNNNNNNNNNNNNNNNNNNNNNNNNNNNNNNNNNNNNNNNNNNNNNNNNNNNNNNNNNNNNNNNNNNNNNNNNNNNNNNNNNNNNNNNNNNNNNNNNNNNNNNNNNNNNNNNNNNNNNNNNNNNNNNNNNNNNNNNNNNNNNNNNNNNNNNNNNNNNNNNNNNNNNNNNNNNNNNNNNNNNNNNNNNNNNNNNNNNNNNNNNNNNNNNNNNNNNNNNNNNNNNNNNNNNNNNNNNNNNNNNNNNNNNNNNNNNNNNNNNNNNNNNNNNNNNNNNNNNNNNNNNNNNNNNNNNNNNNNNNNNNNNNNNNNNNNNNNNNNNNNNNNNNNNNNNNNNNNNNNNNNNNNNNNNNNNNNNNNNNNNNNNNNNNNNNNNNNNNNNNNNNNNNNNNNNNNNNNNNNNNNNNNNNNNNNNNNNNNNNNNNNNNNNNNNNNNNNNNNNNNNNNNNNNNNNNNNNNNNNNNNNNNNNNNNNNNNNNNNNNNNNUUAAAAUAUACCAAAUCCCAAUUCGCGAAAAUUUUCAAGCGGUUUGGUUCUCCCGGGUAAAUUUUAAUUCCGACGGAAUUCCGACGACUUAGUGUUUAGGGUGUUGAUUUCAAGUUUCUAAAUGCAAAAUCCAAAUCUUUGAUAAUAUAUAUAUAGUAUUUUGCAUAAAGAUUUAACAAUAAAAAUGUUUUAUAACACGAUUUUACACAAUAACAUUUUUUGUAGUGUAAGCUUAUAUAAAUAUGAUUUUAUAAGUAUAUAAUGUUAAGAUGAGAUGUUAUGAAAACAAUGAUAUGCAUACAUAAAUAUUUUAAUGAGUUGUUAUAUUUGAACGGUUGCGAUCUAAUACUAUACUAAACACUUAUUAUGUGUUAUUUUCAUAGUUUUGGCAUCUAAAUUUAUAGAUUUUUAUGAUUGAAACUUUAUAGAAACACAUGUCGUCGGUAUUUUCCGACGAAAUACCGACGACCUUCCCAAUUUUCAAUGAAACCCAUUGUCGUCGCUAUGUCGUCGGUAUAUUGCGAGGGAUUUCCGACGGACCAUUAAAAAAAAAAAACUAAUCUGAAUCUUCUGAAUCUUCAUCAAACUCCCCAACCUCGGCUUCCGGCUCUGAAUGUACGACAGCAUCAUGUCCAAACACAGUCAAAUUCUCAAAGAGUUGAACAUUUUCCAAAUCUUCAACUGCCUGGGCGUUGCUGGUAGACUCUGGUUGCAAUGGUUCAUCAUCAUCAGAAGUUCCAUCCACUCAUCCUCUUGGGUUGAUUUGCGUUACAGUAACCCAUGGAUCGUCUCUGUACGUCACCCGAGGGUAACUGAUGUAGCACACCUAUACAUAUCAAUUGUACAAGUAUUAGUAAAAUAUAUAACAUUAAUUAAUUAUAUUGGUAAAAAAUUAUGAAUAGAUUGACAUACCUGAUCAGCUUGCAAACCAAGAAUGAAGGGAUCAUAAUAUUGAAGUUUCUGCCGCGAAUGAACUGAUGUAACACCAAACGCAUCAAUCUUCACUCCUCUAUCUGGGGUGGUGUCAUACCAAUCACAAUAGAAUACUACACAACGCAAUCCAACCAUUCCAGGAAAUUGGAUUUCCAAUAUUUCUUUUAUGUUGUCGUAGUAGACAUCGUCACGAGAAGAAGAUGAAACACCAGCAUCAUAUGUUGUCUUAGAAUGACCUUUCCUUGUGAAUGCAUAUCCUCGCGUACAAAAUUUAGGAUAUGAUUUGACCACAUAGUUUGGUCCCUGCACAAAUUCGCGUAUCCAAUCAUCGAACACAAGACCUCUGGCCAAACCAUCAUUCACCUAUAAAAAAAACAUAUAUGAUUGCAAAAUUAAUUAGUUUAUAUAUAUUAAAUUUAAACUAAUCAUUUGCAUAGGGUAAUAUGAUAUAUGACUCACAUAACUACGAAGCCACGCAGCAAAUCCGUUAUCUCUAAGUUGUCGAAGCUCAUCUUCUGUUGCAUGCCUGUGAGUCAUACGCAACUCCGCCAUAUAUACACUAUAUACAAAAAUAUUAUCAAUAUGAAAUAAAUUUAUUGAAUAUUAAUCUAACAAUAAAUGAAUAAAUAUUUUUACCUCUCAUAUUGUAGAACAUCUUCACAGUUGGUGAGCAAAUAUGUUUGCAAAUGAGCGUGCUCAGUGUCCGUAAGUCUCUGCUUCGUGAAUUUUCCACUAAGUCGUCCUAUUUCCUUGAACAUGCUUGGGACAGUAACAUGAUAUGUUUCUCUCUCCCCUCUAUCAUCAUGCCGAGCAGGUCUUCGGUGUUUUGUAUGCACUUCUGGUGGAAAAUAAUUUUCAGCAAAGAUUGCAGUUUCUUCAUUGAUCACCUGUGCCACUAUAGAUCCUUCCACCCUGCUUUGAUUUUUGACCAUCUUCUUCAGAUGAUGCAUAUAACGCUCAAAAAUAUACAUCCAUCUGUACUGCACAGGACCACCAAGUUCCAAUUCUCUUGCGAGAUGAAUAGCAAGAUGUUCCAUUACAUCAAAGAAUGAUGGAGGAAAUAUCUUCUCAAGGUUGCACAUGCUGACUGGUGCGUUUGUCUUCAAAUUAUUAAUACCCUAUUUAGUCACUACUCUGCUGCAUAAGUCGCGGAAGAAAACACUAAUCCCUACAUAGAUAAAAGACAUAAUUUUCGUAAGUAUUAAGUUUUUAUAAGCAUAAUUGUUAAAUAUAAAAAUAAAUUAAAUUGUAAAAAUAUAAUAUACCUGCAAUUGCUUCAUGAACAUUACGUGGCAAUAAUGCUGAAAAAGCAAACGAAAGGAGGCGCUGCAUAAUUACAUGACAAUCAUGACUCUUCAAGCCAGUAAACUUUCAUUCGCUUCUAUCAACGCAGUUCCCCAAAUUUGAUGCAUAUCCGUCAGGAAAUUUCACUUUAUCUGUAAUUCAAUCAAAGAACUCUUCUUUUCUAGCACCAUCUAGCCGAUAAAUGGGAAAAGGGGCCGUACCGUUCUCAUCAACGUGAAGUUCAGAACGAUCACAAAUAUCGACUAAAUCCAACAUUGACUUCAAAUUAUCCUUCGUUUUACCUUGGAUGUUAAGGACUGUGUUCAUCAGAUUAUCGAAGAAGUUCUUCUCAAUAUGCAUGAAAUCUAAAUUAUGCCGCAAUAGAUGACUCUCCCAAUAUGGCAGAUCCCAGAAAAUACUCUUUUUGUGCCAGUUAUGUAGCUCUCCAACCGCAUUGACUCGAAUGUUUUCAUGUCCACCUACAUCUGGCGUCCAUUCUGCAUCAAAAUACCUAAACUGCUUCAACAAAUCUUUCCCACUAACUUCCUCAGGUGGACCAUCAAACACCUGCUUGUUCUUCGUAAACGAAGUCUUACUCCUGCGGUAUGGAUGAUCAGGUGGUAGAAAUCGUCUGUGACAGUCAAACCAACACGUUUUCCUUCCGUUCUUUAGUUGGAAAGCAUCUAUGUCAUCUUGACAAUAUGGACAUGAUAGCUUCCCAUGUGUUGUCCAUCCAGAUAACAUACCAUAUGCUGGAAAGUCACUUAUUGUCCACAUAAGUACUGCCCGCAAAACAUCGUAUGUCUCAAAACCAUGCGCCCAUAGUUGUUGCAACUCAUAUAUUAGUGGUUGAAGAAACACAUCUAGUGAUCUUUUAGGAUGAUCUGGCCCGGGGACGAGAAUUGAGAGAAACAA